CAUUCACAUCACAUCAACCAGUUUAACCAUCGAAUCUUGCAUACCCAGGAACUUCAAACUUCACCCAGAUCCACACAAUCAUAAAUAAUGGGAUCUACAAGUGGACCGCUCUGCCAGUACAAAAGCUAGCUGCUCUUCAACAUGGGUAGAAGUCCUCAACGGAGUUCCAUUCACCUACAAGAACAGAAUGGAAUAUCAAGUACUUGCAUUCUUCAAGAAGAUUACAACCAACAUAUAUAUGUACAGGGACAUCAGGAAAGCUGAUGGAGCAAAAUCAAACAACAGAUAAAUCAAGUAAACAGACCAUUUGGAAAAAAAUAUACUACCAGGCUUGAACAUGAGCAUAGAAAAGAAAAGAUGAUUUCAGUGAAAUUAAAACUUCCAAUGAAAGCUGAAUAACAGUGCAUAGCUCCUAGUAUGGAGGAAUAUCACAAAAUUAAACAAGAUGGUCAUGCAAGUUUCUAUACAAGUAUUCAUGAUUAUAGUUUAUUAUCGUUGUCUAAAUUCUCCAACAUGCACAAAAUUAAUUAAUAUAUUUGAAUGUGCUACCAAUGAAGCAAAUUCUAAAAGAUACACGGACAGGGCUUAAUUAGCCAACCAUGUCAUUUUAUAAACACAUAGCAAACUCAACGAUAACGUGUAUAGUUAUUACCAUAGAGUUUCUAUAUGAGUAUUCAUGAUUUCAGUUUGUCAUCAUCAUUUAAAUAGCUUGGCGAACAUUGACAGCAGAGAAACAAAAAAAAUUAAGUCAAUAGCUUUGUGAGCAUGCAGUAGACUGUUCACAUCCUAAUGAAAUACAUGGCAAAGAAGCUUUACCAUGUAGACAAACACCCACUUACUCAGACGCUACAGGUGCUUUGUUUCAUCAUGUUACAAAGGAGAAGCACAAACCACAAUUUUACUCCACACACACACACACGGACUAGUAGAUCAACAGGAGGACAUAGAUUAGACCAAAUCCACAUAAACAAAUCCAUACACAUAGCAGUAUAACUGGAUAGUGGGCAAUUGGUUUGAUCAGGAGCAACAGUGCAUAUUUUCCCUAAACCUAAAAUUGCCAUAGUGGGUAAAUCAUGUCACUGGUCAGAGCACAACACCACAAUCACCAGUACAAGGCCACCAGAAGCACCACAGAGAGGGAUAGAGCUCACCUAGGUGGUUUGUAGUCGAUGCAGAAGCACAGCCGGCCGCGGUUGCAGUAGAGUUCCUUGCAACGCACAUGCAGACCCUUGGGGCUUGUUGUCUUUACCAACACUUCAUCCCACAAAACAACUCCCUCGGUUGCCAUGUCACAUGCUUCUACUGCCUUGUCCAUCAUGUCAUAGAUGCUUCCAGAGUAGUUGGACUGAGAUCCUCCAGCAGAGGGGCACAACCAACUAACAUACUAAAGGAGAAACAGUCACUUUAUAUAAAAUCAACAACAUGUUGUAACAGUACCACUGUGCUCCCAAUCUUAAACAACAAGAUUUGGGACAUUUAUCAUGCCAACAAUACCACUAGUAGUAGUACCAAUGUGUUAACAAAAUUUAGGCCAGUAUACCAGGACAAAGCCCCUGCUGCUCUCAAAUAGUAGGUCACUGCCAUAAGCUUUGAUUUUUGGCAACAAGGGGAAUUGAAUCAAUUGCAAUUCAAGAUGGUGCAUUAUUUGCUAGUGGCAAAGCAGGUUCGUUUUUACUGAGUACUGACAAAGUUGGUUUUUACUAGAUAGCGGCAUAGUAAGUUGUGACAUUUAAAAAAACCAGUAAGAAAACCAGCGGUGGCUGCUCCAGCCCGCUGCUCUUCUCCUGGACAACACCAUUGUAAAUUUAGCUAGCAAUCAUCAGCAGCAAGUACAGAGUAAAAUGGGACUUUGUUGUAGCUACAGAAACUGAAACAACACACACAUCAUGGAAUUUCAUAUCAUAGCCAACAAAUAUUUUACCAGAACACAGGGUGUUCUUCUCUGUAUUUUAGAAACAUGCAAACAAAGGUUUCAGUACAAACAAACAAGUGGAGUAGACAAAUUUCAGAACAGAAUGUGUUCGCACUGUUUGGUUUAUUUGCUUGGUUUAUUUAAACAAAAGUUUCUGUACAAAUAGACAAGUGGAGUUAAAAAAAUACAGAAACUACAUAAACUGCACAUUCAGGUUGUGAUACUCCCAUCUGCAGUAUAUGCAUGUUGUGAUACUCCCAUCUUAUGCAAUUUGACUCACAGAACAAGAACAAAACUGAUUUUGAACAUUCGAUGCAAAAUAUGGUAAAUACGUCUUGUAUCUACUCCUUGGCUACUGUUAUUUCAACUGUAAAUUUAGCCAGCAAUCAUCACCAGCAAGUACAGAGUAAACUGGGACUUUGUUGUAGCUACAGAAACUAAAACAACACACACAUCAUGGAAUUUCAUAUCAUAGCCAACAAAUAUUUUACCAGAACACAGGGUGUUCUUCUCUGUAUUUUAGAAACAUGCGAACAAUGGUUUCAAUACAGUCAAACAAGUGGAGUAGACAAAUUUCAUAAUAGAAUGUGUUCGCACCAUUUGUUUUAUUUGCUCGGUUUGUUUAAACAAAAGUUUCUGUACAAAUAGACAAGUGGAGUAGCAUGUGUUUACUUUGCAUGCUCAAGGUACACUAGUCUGAUGAAAACAAUAUGCUCGAGGUACAUUAUCUUGCAUGCUCGGACUACAUUCAAAAAUUCUGAACAACAUCAAAUUGGCUAAAUAACUUGGCCUUGAACACCAAUCUUAAAGUGAAUUUAUGAGAGCAGUACAUUCAUGAAGUUCUACUCUGAAUUUUAACUUCCUUUCUCUGAAUUUUCUGCAGGAGGGUAAUAUCUCAAAAGAAAACAACACUGUAAAUAGGCAAUUAACUAAAACCCGGAGUACUAAGAUAGGGAAUACCCACAUUCAUUUCAGAAAUUGGUGUUCGACAUACGACAACCCCUUGAAGUACACCUAAAUUUAUACUGAAUUCCUUGCUCUAUGACUAAAACCCGUAGUACAAACAUAAGGAAUUGAAAUGUCUGCAUUCAUUUCAGCAAGAAAACUAGUAGAUCUUGGAGGUUGAAGCACUAAGGUUAAGGAGUAACUUAACCAGAAGGGCCUAGCAAGCUAGCACAAGCAUCAACAGCCGUUUUAAUCAAUCAGAAGGGCAGGAGUAGCUUAAUCAAUACCCUUAUCCGUGAAUUACAGGUAGGACUCAAUCUUUAAGGUUCAUGUUGGGCUCUUGGUGGCGCUCCAGCCUGCCGCCUUCCCUUGGCGCUUGAGUAGGGCGUCAACUCCUUGUUGUACGCCAUCCUCACGUUCAUACUCACAGCAAGGGCGGCAAACCAGGAGGGCGCACUCAUUGCAGGCCUAACCACCUGCGCCUUUCAACUCCUUACCCUGCAUCAGCAAGAUCAAAACAAUGUCAGUAUGCACCCCUAUGAAAUUAACACAACUUGCCAGGAGACACAACAAUUGCUCAUGUAUUCAUUGAUGCUACAUGAGGAAAUCAUCUACUUGGCUUAAAGUUGAAACUAUGAUCAUCAAUGAAUACUAAACAAGGUCCCAAUAUAUCAGUGAGGUCUGGAACAGAAAAAUCUCUUAAUUGCUCCAACAAUUAAUAGAGAGGGAAAAUGCGCCAAAUAAACGAAUCCAACUCGCAACUACGCAACCCCCGCGGUUACCCCUAAUCUCGCAACCUAGAUCCACUGCCUUGCGCGUGCCAGAUCCACCGAUACAGGCACCGCAUGAAGGAGCUGUGACGAGCAGAGAUGACACCGAAACAUUAAGGCGUCGAGGCAGGCAGGAAGGGUGAGAGAGGGGGAGACAGACGUACCCAUCAUGGUCGGAGGUCCACUAGUAGAAAACGGGCCUAUUGUCCCGGUUCGUAAGGGCCUUUUGUCCCGGUUCCUGAACCGGAACUAAAGGGUCAUUGCUAAUGCCCUAACCCUUUAGUUCCGGUUCUAGCCAGAACCGGGACAGAUGGGCCUCCACGUGGCGAGCCCAGGCAGGAGGGCCUUUGGUCCGAGUUGGUGGCACCAACCGGGACCAAUAGACCUCCACGCGUCAGCAUUUCUGUGGCUGGGGUUUUNNNNNNNNNNNNNNNNNNNNNNNNNNNNNNNNNNNNNNNNNNNNNNNNNNNNNNNNNNNNNNNNNNNNNNNNNNNNNNNNNNNNNNNNNNNNNNNNNNNNNNNNNNNNNNNNNNNNNNNNNNNNNNNNNNNNNNNNNNNNNNNNNNNNNNNNNNNNNNNNNNNNNNNNNNNNNNNNNNNNUGGCGGUUUUGGGGGGUUAAUUUAGGUAUUUCAUAUAUUGUGUUAGAUAGCUAAUUAAUAGAGAGAAGUGUCCUCUCUUAUGUCCGUGCUUGGUCGGCGCUAUGUACUAUACAUACAUAUAGAGAGGACUAGACACGCUAGCUAGCUAGUAAGCAAACGAAGGAAACAGAAGAUCGUCAUGAACAUAUAUGCAUACAGAGAGAAGUGAUAUCGACAACCUCUCGUUCUCCGAGAGAUUGGUCGAACAACAAGUUCUCGGAUAUCCACUAGUAGAAAACGGAGCUUUAAAACUGGUUCGUAAGGGCCUUUAGUGCCGGUUCCAUAACCGGCACUAAUUGGUGGGCACUAAAGCCCCCCCCCCUUUAGUACCGGUUCGGCACGAACCGGCGCUAAAGUGCCACCACGUGGCGUGAGCUCGCGCCGUGGUAUGGGGGACCUUUAGUACCGAUUGGUGUUACCAACCCGUACUAAAGGUUUUUUUUUGAAAAUUUUUGAAAAAAAAAUUGAUUUUUUUUCCCGAUUUUUAAUUUUUCUGAAUUAUUUGGUGAUUUAGUCUCUAAUCACCUCUCUUAACUGCUCAAGUGUGGAUCACUCAUUCCAAAUCAUCUAUCUUCCCGACCGGUCACCCAGCCCUCUCACUACUCCAGCCCAAGCAUGCUUAACUUUCGGGUUCUAUUCUCCUUCGUUUCCAAGUCUGCACUUGUUGUUUUCCUGACAAUAGUAAGAUGUCAAUCCUAUUAACCCUCAGGAGUUUAGCUUGAGCAUGAAGUCACACAUUUCACUGUUUGAGUUUGAAACUAUUAUUCUAAAAAACAGCAAUUAUUUAGUAACACUAAUAUUUCUUGAAUAAGUUUGACCAUAGUUUGACCAUAGUUUGACCACAGUUUGACCAGAUUUGACCAAAAUUCAAAAAAUUGAAAUAAUUAUUUAGUAACACUAAUAUUCUUGAAUAAUUAUGUAGUAACAUUCCCUACACUUUUUGCAAAACAUCUCCAAAUUUAAGUUUUCAAAUUUUCCUAACGUGUAGAUGUAGUAAUAUAACUACCUCUCGAAGGAUUUUAUUUUUUGAAGUUUUUAUCAUUUUCUUUUGAUUUUUUCAAAACUAAAAUGGUGAUACACGGGGGGGGGGGGUAGAGUUUGAAAAUUGCCCUAUAGUGUCGGUUUGUGUCUUCAACCGAGACUAUAGGUUAAGACUCUGUACUAAAGGUUCAUUACGAACCGGCACUAAUGCAUAGCCAUUCGAACCGGCACUAUUGAUCACAUUAGUGCCGGUUUUUUUACAAACCGGCACUAAUGUGCUUCACGUUUGACCCUUUUUCUACUAUUGAUCUAUCCGACACUACCGGCUACAUAUAUACAAUAAUUAUCUCUUACAAAUAUAAUCUCCUAAAUUACGGACGCAUGGUCCACAUAGUAUUCUCCGUCUUCAGCGAUCAUGUGGUCAAGAAAGAAUGCUGCCAAUUCUUCUUGAAUUGCUCGCAUGCGAACAGAUGCUAGGAGUUCAUCCCGCUGCCGAAACAUCUAAUUUGAAGAAGGGGUUCAAUACAUAUAUAUAUAUAUAUAUUAAUGAAUGAAACUCAACACAAAUGAUGGUAAUAAACUAAAAUUGUGAAUAUUAUUUCUUACGCACUUCAUAUUGUUUGUCAGAGUACCCGCCCCGCUCACAGGUCGUGUGGCGGAUGGACUCGCAAACGUAGUAUCCACAGAAAUCAUUCCCUUGUUCCUGCCACAACCACUUUACAAGAAAUAAAGGUCAAUCAAACUGAUAAGCAAGAAUGCCAAAUGGUAUUGAUGAAACUAGCGCUUGAAUCAAUAGCUAGGAGACGCGCGGAACAUGCUAAUAUAGUACUUACUUUCGGGUAUCUAAAUUGCAGCAUCUUCGGUAGUCCCGGAGAUUUUUUGGUGAAUUUUCUCCAAACCCUGCUAGACAAAAGAAAACAAUUACUUGAUAUCAGGAAAUGAACAAAGUUGUUGGUAUGGUGGAUAAUGAUCGAUUUAACUUACUUCUAGAGGAUUUCAGUCAUGUCCGCAUACUCCUGGGGAUCUUUUUGUUUAGAGUCCGAGACAGUUACUACUCCCUGCUCAAGCCUAAUCUCUAGGAGAAUAUAGUGGUACCUGCGCACGCAUGCAUAACUCAUCAAUUACAUUACUAUAACCUGGACUAAUAUAUAAGGGAAACUGAAUAUGCACAAGACAGUAACACUCACUUGAAGUUGUAAGGAAAGAGUAUUAUAUCUUUGUUUUCAUUUAUUUUGAAUGAUCAUAGCAAGUUGGCCUCGGUAUCUGUGGCACGAUGUUCAACCUCAGUUGCAUCUAUGAGAUAUGUGUUAACGAACCCAAUAUCACCGAUUUGUCUUUUCUUAAAUUCGGUGAUCUUCAAUCUACAUAAUAUAGUGAGGAUAAUUAUAAAUACAUGCAAUGAAAGAGCUGAGCUAUAUAGAGAGACUUAAUGACAGAAGUAGUAGUACUUACAGACAGUAGCAGGUGACCGUUGCUUUAUCGAGAGCCAAUUGAUUGAAAAACUGAUAGAACUCCUCAAAUGGAAUAGGCAACAGAUCAAUUCCAACGAGGUCAUGCUCUGGUUUAAGUCUCACAUACAAAGUACUCCUCCCCCCAGACUCUCUGCAGAUUUUCAAGUACCAAUCAUGCAAUCUUCGCAUCAUCGUUGAUAGAGAUCUUUCAUCUUUGACGAGAGGCUUCCCGUACUCGUAUCUGUGUAUCUGCACGUCCAUGAAAUCAUAAUGUACAUCGUUGGGCAGGUAAUCUCCAAGAUUGCUAUAACCGGGCACCAUCCUCAGAUCGACGAUGUCUCUAGGCACCUUGAGCGGGGGGCACGAUUGAUUCCCUUGUUCGCCGAGCUGGGCAAUUUGUUUCCCAGCUGCUUGUCGUUCUUUCAUCCUUUGAACACUGAUUGUACUUCCCGACCGCUCCGCUUCGGCCCAUGUCUUCGCAAUAAUGCGCUCAUAGUUGCCUUUCGGCGGAGACUUGGGUGGUUUUGCCAGGGCAGCCAGAGUGCGCUUCGCUUUCACCGGAUCUACCUUCUCCUCCGGAGGUGGAUGUCUCUGUGCUUUCAACACUUCAAACCAUUCCUUCGCUUCGGUUCGCGCGAUCUCCGCGUUCUCCUCCGGGCUCAUCUCGUAUGGUAACUUCUCUGGAGUCUUCAGAGAAGGACCGAAUCUGUAUGUCUUCCCGCCUCUGGCUGUACUGCUAGACGCCGGCCGAGCAGACGGAGCGGCUGUCUUCUUUACUUGCUUACGAGGCAGAGGAGAAGGACUACGACGCGCCGGAGCAGCUGCUGGAGUGGCGGUGGGUCUCUUCCGCCCUUGCUUACGAGGCGGAGAAGGAGGAGGCUGGCUGCUCGGGCGUGCAGGCGCAGGCGGAGAAGGAGGCGGAGUGCCGCCACGCGCCGAAGAAGGAGCCGGCCGAGUGCCCUGAUCGUCACUCACCGGAGGAGGAGGCGGUGGAGGAGGCGGAGUGCCCUGACUCGCCGAAGGAGGAGGAGGAGGCGGAGGCGUCCAGUUCUGAAGGUUGAUGAGAUCCUUCUGCCAUAGGCAUGGAGUCUUCAGAGCAGAACCCAGCCGAGUCUCCCCUUCACUGGUAGGGUGGUCAAGCGGGAGCUCCUCAAAUCCCUUCGUUAUUUAAUCCACCAUCACCCUAGCAUAUCCUUCUGGAAUCGGCCGGCAGUGAAAAGUUGCGCCGGGUUCAGAAGGAUAAACAGAGCCAACAACCGCCUUGACCUUCAUAUUAAUCCAUUGUGUCAUAAGGUGGCAAUUUUGAGACUCCGUGAUAGCAUCCAUGGGAUAGCUGGCAGGAUCCGUCAAGACAUGCUCCGGCUGAAGCAGCUCGGUGGAAACCAUGCUGCUUCUCCGCUGAGAUGGCGGGGUAGCUUCUGGGGAGGCUUCGGUAGUUCGUUUGCUGCGAUUUGCUUCUCGUUCCUCUAUCCCGAGUACCCCUGCUUUAAGCACCAGCAGUUCAGACUGCUGCACUUUCUUCCUCCUCUCCUGGCAUUUGUAACCGCCUGCGUCCAGAAACCCAGCCUUCCAUAGAAUGGAGCCUGGCGUGCCUCGUGUCCGCCUAGGGUGCUCAGGAUUCCCGAGGGCCAUUGUGAGCUCGUCCUUCUCUCUGUCUGGAACGAACGUCCCUUGCUGCAUUGCUUCGAUAUACUGCUGAAGCCUCUUGGCUGGUAUAUCCAAUUGAUCGUCCGUCCAAAUGCACUUCCCUGAUACAGGGUCCAAGGUUCUGCCAGCCCCGAAGAACCAAGUCCGGCAACGGUCUGGCCAGUUCAUUGUCUCUGGUUCGAUCCCUUUUUCAACCAGAUCAUUCUCAGCCUUGGCCCACUUAGGCCGGGCUACGAGGUAGCCACCUAACCCCAUGCGAUGGUGAAGCGUCUUCUUUGCAGCAUUUUUCUUGUUUGUCGCCGACAUCUUCUUACUCUUUUCUGAUGUCUUGUGGGCCACAAAUGCAGGCCAGUGAUCUCUGAUCUUCUCAUAUCUGCCCUUGAAUUCUGGUGUCUAUUUUUUAUCGACAAACCUAUUCAGCUCUUUAUUCCACCUCCUGAAUAGGUCUGCCAUCCUCUUAAGAGCAAAAGACUUGAUUAAUUGCUCUUUAACUGGCUUCUCCGGAUCAUCCUCUAGCGGUAGGGUGAAAUUUGACUUCAGCUCAGUCCAAAGAUCAUUUUUCUGCAUAUCAUUGACGUAAGACACCUCAGGCUCUUCUGUAGCCGGCUUUAACCAUUGCUGGAUGCUGAUCGGGAUAUUGUCCCUAACCAGAACCCCGCACUGAGCAACAAAUGCGUUAUUUGUUCGGAUGGGUUCAAUCGGUUGGUCGUCGGGCGCGAUUGCUAUGAUCUCAAACCUUUCAUCCGAGCUCAACUUUUUCUUUGGGCCUCGUCUCUUUACCUCAGUUGUGCUCGAUCUGGAGGGCUAGAAAAAAGAACAAAGACUUAAUUAAUAUGUGUACAUACCAAAACAAUGAAUGCAUCAAUUAUCUAGUCAGCACAGGCUUAACUAAUAUAUAUACCUGGCCGGACUCGGUUCGGUCACCGGAGCCGUCAUCACGGUCUCCUUCUUGCACCGGCAUUAGGUCACCGGAGCCGUCCUCACGUUCUCCUUCUUGUACCGACAUUAGGUCACCGGAGCCAGCUUCUUCACCCUCUCCUUCCAGAGCAUCGGUGUCGUUGAGAAACAACAAGCAGACGGCAUUACAUCCCAUUGCGAUUAUGUCCCUCAACAACGCUUCUUUUGCUUCAUCUCGGGCGGUGUCCAUAGUUUCUACAAAUAUUUACAACAUGGCAAUUAUUAUUCAAACAUGACAGAUGGAUAUAUUAGUGGCAAAGGUAGAACUAGCUAGCUAAUCAUAGUAAGGAAUCAUAUAUAUAUUAAUUAGUGGCCUCGACGCUGCUUCUCUAGGGUUUGGGGUGGCCUCGACAACGCUUCAAGGGUUUGGGGUGGCCUCAAGAGAGUUUGUCGGGUAGGGGCGCGGCGGGAGUGGGUAGGAGAACGACAUCGUUUUUUCUAGGGUUUGGGUGUCCUCGAGAGUUUUGGUGGCAUGAACCGGGACUAAAGGGGAGCCUUUGGUCCCGGUUCAUGCCACCAACCGGGACCAAUGGUGGUGGGCCAGGAGCGAGGCCCAUUGGUCCCGGUUCGUCCCACCAACCGGGACCAAAGGUCUAGACGAACCGGGACCAAUGGCCCACGUGGCCCGGCCGACCCCCUGGGCUCACGAACCGGGUCCAAUGCCCCCAUUGGUCCCGGUUCUAGACUGAACCGGGACUAAUGGGCUGACUCGGCCUGGACCUUUGCCCCCUUUUCUACUAGUGGUCGACGAAGAACCGACAUUGUGGUUGAAGCAGUAGAUGACGGCGUCGUGGUUGAAGCAGUAGACGAUGCAGUAGCUAAUCACCAGGGCCAUCGUGGCAGGAUCCCCCGAGAGAAGGUGGGUGCGGAUCCGCCGUUGGCCCCCCGUCCCCAUCCAUCCAUAGGUGAUGGGUGGGUUUCGGCCGCUGUUGCCACAUCCGUAGAUCUCAAGAGGAAGGGAGGGAGGGAGGUCGCCGGUGGGGGUGGUAGUCCGCUAGCGGCGGGACUAGAGAGGAGUCGGGGGAGGGAGAGGAGUCGGGGAGGGAGUGGACCUCUAGCUGAAGGAAAUAUGCCCUAGAGGCAAUAAUAAAGUUAUUAUUUAUUUCCUUAUAAUCAAGAUAAAUGUUUAUUAUUCAUGCUAGAAUUCUAUUAACCGGAAACAUAAUACAUCUGUGAAUACAUAGACAAACAAAGUGUCACUAGUAUGCCUCUACUUGACUAGCUCGUUAAUCAAAGAUGGUUAUGUUUCCUAACCAUGAACAAUGAGUUGUUAUUUGAUUAACGAGGUCACAUCAUUAGUUGAAUGAUCUGAUUGACAUGACCCAUUCCAUUAGCUUAGCACAGCAAGCAAGCAAGUUGCUGCUCAAGUGAAGAAGCCCAUGUCUGAUCCUAAGCCUGAAACUAAGUGUUUCUACUGCAAAGGGACUGGUCACUGGAAGCGGAUCUACCCCAAGUGAUUGGCGGAUAAGAAGGAUGGCAAAGUGAACAUAAGUAUAUUUGAUAUACAUGUUAUUGAUGUGUACUUUACUAGUGUUUAUAGCAAACCCUCAGUAUUUGAUACUAGUUCAGUUGCUAAGAUUAGUAACUCGAAACGGGAGUUGCAGAAUAAACAGAGACUAGUUAAGGGUGAAGUGACGAUGUGUGUUGGAAGUGGUUCCAAGAUUGAUAUGAUCAUCGUCACACACUCCCUAUACUUUCGGGAUUAGUGUUGAACCUGAAUAAGUGUUAUUUGGUGUUUGCGUUGAGCAUGAAUAUGAUUUGAUCAUGUUUAUUGUAAUACGGUUAUUCAUUUAAGUAAGAGAAUAAAUUGUUGUUCUGUUUACAUGAAUAGAACCUUAUAUGGUUACACACCCAAUGAAAAUAGUUCGUUGGAUCUCGAUCGUAGUGAUACACAUAAUCAUAAUAUUGAAACCAAAAGAUGCAAAGUUAAUAAUGAUAAGUGCAACUUGUUUGUAGCACUGCCAUUUAGGUCAUAUGGUGUAAAGCGCAUGAAGAAACUCCAUACUGAUGGGAUUUUGGAAUCACUUGAUUAUGAAUCACUUGAUGCUUGUGAACCAUGCCUUUUGGGCAAGAUGACUAAAACGCCGUUCUCCGGAACAAUGAAGCAAGCAACAGAUUUGUUGGAAAUCAUACAUACUGAUGUAUGUGGUCCGAUGAAUAUUGAGGCUCGCGACAGGUAUCAUUAUUUUCUGAUCUUCAUAGAUGAUUUGAGCAGAUAUGAGUAUAUCUACUUGAUGAAACAUAGGUCUGAAACAUUUGAAAAGUUCAAAGAAUUUCAGAGUGAAGUGAAAAAUCAUCGUAACAAGAAAAUAAAGUUUCUACGAUCUGAUCGUAGAGAAGAGUAUUUGAGUUACGAGUUUGGCCUUCAGUUAAAAACAAUGUGAAAUAGUUUCAGUACUCAUGCCACCUGGAACACCACAAUGUAAUGGUGUGUCCGAACGUCAUAACCGUACUUUAUUAGAUAUGGUGCGAUCUAUGAUGUCUCUUACCGAUCUACCACUAUCGUUUUGGGUUUAUGCAUUAGAGACAGCUACAUUCACGUUAAAUAGGGCACCAUCUAAAUCCGUUGAGACGACACCGUAUGAACUAUGGUUUGGCAUGAAACCUAAGCUGUCGUUUCUUAAAUUUGGGGUUGUGAUGCUUAUAUGAAAAAGUUUCAUCCUGAUAAGCUCAAACUCAAAUCGGAGAAAUAUGUCUUCAUAGGAUACCCAAAGGAGACUGUUGGGUACACCUUCUAUCACAAAUCCGAAGGCAAGACUUUUGUUGCUAAAUUCAGAGUUUUUCUAGAGAAGGAGUUUCUCUCGAAAGAAGUGAGUGGGAGGAAAGUAGAACUUGACGAGGUAACUGUACCUGCUCCCUUGUUGGAAAGUGGUACAUCACAGAAAAUUGUUUCUACGACACCUACACCAAUAAGUAAGGAAGUUAAUGAUAAUGAUCAUGAAACUUCAGAACAAGAUACUACUGAACCUCGUAGAUCAACCAGAGUAAGAUCCGCACCAGAGUGGUUCAGUAAUCCAGUUCUGGAAAUCAUGCUACUAGAUCAUGAUGAACCUACGAACUAUGAAGAAGCGAUGGUGAGCCCAGAUUCCACAAAGUGGCUUGAAGCCAUGAAAUCUGAGAUGGGAUCCAUGUAUGAGAACAAAGUAUGGACUUUGAUUGACUUGCCCAAUGAUCGGCGAGCCAUUGAGAUUAAAUGGAUCUUCAAGGGGAAGACGGACGUUGAUAGUAGCGUCACUAUCUACAAAGCUAGAAUUGUCGCAAAAAGGUUUUUCGACAAGUUCAAGGUGUUGACUACGAUGAGAGUUUCUCUCUCGUAUCUAUGCUUAAGUCUGUCCGAAUCAUGUUAGCAAAUUGCCGCAUUUUAUGAAAUCUGGCAAAUGGAUAAAGAAAACUGCAUUCCUGAAUGGAUUUCUGGAAGAAGAGUUGUAUAUGAUGCAACCAGAAGGUUUUGUCGAUCCAAAGGGAGCUAACAAAGUGUGCAAGCUCCAGCGAUCCAUUUAUGGAAUGGUGCAAGCCUCUCGGAGUUGGAAUAAAUGCUUUGAUAGUAUGAUCAAAGCAUAUAGUUUUAUACAGACUUGCGAUGAAGCCUGUAUUUACAAGAAAGUGAGUGGGAGCACUACAACAUUUCUGAUAAGUAUAUGUGAAUGACAUAUUGUUGAUCGGAAAUAAUGUAGAAUUAUUUUGUAAAGCAUAAAGGGGUGUUUGAAAGGAGUUUUUUUCAAAGAAAGACUUCGGUAAAAGUUGCUUACAUAUUGAGCUUCAAGAUCUAUAGAGAUAGAUCAAGACGCUUGAUAAGUUUUUCAGUGAGUACAUACCUUGACAAGAUUUUGAAGUAGUUCAAAAUGGAACAGUCAAAGAAAAAGUUUCUUGCCUGUGUUACAAGGUGUAAAGUUGAGUAAGACUCAAAGCCCGACCACGGCAGAAGAUAGAAAAGAAUGAAAGUCAUUCCCUAUGCCUUGGCUAUAGGUUCUAUAAAGUAUGUCAUGCUGUGUACCAGAUCUAUUGUAUACCUUGCACUGAUUUAACAAGGGAGUACAAUAGUGAUCUAGGAGUAGAUCACUGGACAGCGGUCAGAAUUAUCCUUAGUGAAAUAAGGAUAUGUUUCUCGAUUAUGGACGUGACAAAAAGGUUCAUCGUAAAGGGUUACAUCGAUGCAAGUUUUUGACACUGAUCCAGAUGAUUCUAAGUCUCAAUCUGGAUACAUAUUGAAAGUGGGAGCAAUUAGCUAGAGUAGCUCCAUGCAGAGCAUUGUUAACAUAAAUAUUUGCAAAAUACUUACGGCUCUGAAUGUGACAGACCCGUUGACUAAGAUUCUCUCACAAGCAAAACAUGAUCACACCUUAGUACUCCUUGGGGGUUAAUCACAUAGCGAUGUGAACUAGAUUACUGAAUCUAGUAAACCCUUUGGGUGUUGAUCACAUAUCGAUGUGAACUAUGGGUGUUAAUCACAUGGUGAUGUGAACUAUUGCUGUUAAAUCACAUGGCGAUGUGAACUAGAUUAUUGACUCUAGUGCAAGUGGGAGACUGAAGGAAAUAUGCCCUAGAGGCAAUAAUAAAGUUAUUAUUUAUUUCCUUAUAAUCAUGAUAAAUGUUUAUUAUUCAUGCUAGUAUGCCUCUACUUGACUAGCUCGUUAAUCAAAGAUGGUUAUGUUUACUAACCAUGAACAAUGAGUUGUUAUUUGAUUAACGAGGUCACAUCAUUAGUUGAAUGAUCUGAUUGAUAUGACCCAUUCCUUUAGCUGAGCACACGAUCGUUUAGUAUGUUGCUAUUGCUUUCUUCAUGACUUAUACAUGUUCCUAUGACUAUGAGAUUAUGCAACUCCCGUUUGCCAGAGGAACACUUUGGGUGCUACCAAACGUCACAACGUAACUGGGUGAUUAUAAAGGAGCAUUACAGGUGUCUCCGAAGGUAGAUGUCGGGUUGGCGUAUUUCGAGAUUAGGAUUUGUCACUCCGAUUGUCGGAGAGGUAUCUCUGGGCCCUCUCGGUAAUACACAUCACAUAAGCCUUGCAAGCAUUGCAACUAAUAUGUUAGUUGUGAGAUGAUGUAUUACGGAACGAGUAAAGAGACUUGUCGGUAACGAGAUUGAACUAGGUAUUGGAUACCGACGAUCGAAUCUCGGGCAAGUAACAUACCGCUGACAAAGGGAACAACGUAUGUUGUUAUGCGGUCUGACCGAUAAAGAUCUUCGUAGAAUAUGUAGGAGCCAAUAUGGGAAUCCAGGUCCCGCUAUUGGUUAUCGACCGGAGACAUGUCUCGGUCAUGUCUACAUUGUUCUCGAACCCGUAGGGUCCGCACGCUUAAGGUUACGAUGACAGUUAUAUUAUGAGUUUAUGCAUUUUGAUGUACCGAAGGUUGUUCGGAGUCCCGGAUGAGAUCACGGACAUGACGAGGAGUCUCAAAAUGGUCGAGACGUAAAGAUUGAUAUAUUGGAAACCUAUGUUUGGACAUCGGAAGUGUUCCGGGUGAAAUCGGGAUUUUACCGGGUUACCGGGAGGGUUACCGGAACCCCCCGGGAGCCAUAUGGGCCUUCAUGGGCCUUAGUGGAAAGGAGAAAGGGGCAGCCCAAGGUGGCUGCGCCUCUUCGCCCUCCCCUAGUCCUAUUAGGACUAGGAGAAGGUGGCCGGCCCCCCUCUCUCCCUUCCCCUCCGAGGAAUCCUAGUUGGACUAGGAUUGGGGGGAGGAAUCCUACUCCCAGAGGGAGUAGGACUCUCCUGCGCCUCCCUCCUUGGCCGGCCAGCCUCCCCCCUCUACUCCUUUAUAUACGGAGGCAGGGGACACCUCUAGACACACAAGUUGAUCCACGUGAUCUAUUCCUUAGCCGUGUGCGGUGCCCCCUGCCACCAUAUACCUCGAUAAUACUGUAGCAGAGUUUAGGCGAAGCCCUGCUGCUGUAGUACAUCAAGAUCGUCACCACGCCGUCGUGCUGACGGAACUCUUCCCCGACACUUUGCUGGAUCGGAGUCCGGGAAUCGUCAUCGAGCUGAACGUGUGCUCGAACUCGGAGGUGCCGUAGUUUCGGUGCUUGAUCGGUUGGAUCGUGAAGAUGUACGACUACUUCCUCUACGUCGUGUCAUCGCUUCCGCAGUCGGUCUGCGUUGGGUACGUAGACAACACUCUCCCCCUCGUUGCUAUGCAUCACAUGAUCUUGCGUGUGCGUAGGAAAAUUUUUGAAAUUACUACGAAACCCAACACUAGCCAGGGCGGGGAGGGGAGGUGGAGGCCGUGGUUAUGGUCGCCGACGGUGUUGAAGUGGUGAGCGCCGCCACAGGAGAGAGAGAGGGGACGCUGGAGAGAGAGAUGGAUGGGUGGGGGCUGGUUGAGAGGAGGUCGCCGCCGGCCGGUGGGAUCGGGGGAGACGAGGUGGAGGGAGGGGUCGGGGAAGAGGAUUGGAUCGAAUCGUGUGAGGCAAGAAAGAAAGGAGGCGGGGGUGGAUGGAAAAUGACCAGAGGACAGAGCUAGGGUUUCGGGGUUGGUGUGGAAGGGUUGAGGACGGCCGUUGGAUCUGCGAGCAUCCGAUGGCGUAUGAUGCACGAUCCGCGUGAGACGUCCACGGACCAAUCACAAUGCAGUAUGAUGUUAUGACCAUCUAAAUAGGUAAUAGUUGCCUAAAAAUAAUGUGUUAAAAUCAUGUAAUCUCAUAUUGUGCACAAAUGAUCAAUCUUAUGGCCACAUUCUAGGCAUAGUUUGUUCAAAUGAUCUCAUAUUGUGCACAAGGGUGCAUCUUCGAAUUCCAAACAAUGAGUUUUCAUUUUCUUUGCAUGGAAAAUACAUUUUCCAUUUUCGAGUGCCCGAAAUGAGUUUUUUUUUUGUGAAGGACAACCCAAAUAAUUGUUGCAAAAUUGGACCAAAUCAAUUUUCUAAAAUACUAGGACAUAUUUAAUGCACAAUUGAAAAAAUGGUCGGGUGUAAAAAGUUUUGAUCCACCUCUCGUGAAAAAGACAAAUUUCUGCCGAUUCAGCUGGAAGCGGGUCAAAUUUGAACUGUAGCUACCAUGUAGUUUGCUCUUUAUUUUUUUCAAAAAUCAUUUCUAGGUACAUAAGUAUCUAUUUAAUCAGAGAAUACCCAAGAAAAUUCCAUGAUUCAACCACUAGCUAGGAACGGUCAUUCCCGCCGUUUUGAUCGCAUUUUGAAACGGGCAUAAAAAAUAAAAAUAAAACAAAAAAUUGGGAAACCUUCACAUUGUGUCAUUAUUUGUGGCAAAGUUCCUAGGAAAGAUAACAAACUUGUAAUACAUCAAUUAUUUUUUUAAAGUGUUCUCAGAAUCGAGAUAUCACGUGUGGAGAUCAAUGGCUUUCAAGACAAAUGAUCAAUAUUAUGGCCACAUUCAUGGCAUAGUUUGUUCAAAUGAUCUCAUAUUAUGCACAAGGGUGCAUAUUGGAAUGGAAAACAAUGUUGCCUAAGGAAGUUUUCAUUUUCUUUGGACGAAAAAACCACUUUCCAUUUUUUGAGUGUCCAAAAGGAGGUUUUUUGGUGAAGGACCUCCCAAAUAAUUGUUGCAAAAUUUGACCAAAUCAAUUUUCUAAAAUACUAGGACAUAUUUAAUGCACAAUUGACAAAAUGGUCUGGUGCAAAAAGUUUUGAUCCACCUCUGGUGAAAAAGACAAAUUCCCGCCGAUUCAGUUGGAAGCGGGUCGAAUUUGAACUGUAGUUGCCUCGUAGUUUGCUCUUUAUUUUUUCCAAAAAUCAUUUCUAGGUACAUAAGUAUCUAUUUAUCAGAGAAACACCAAAAAAAUUCCAAGAUUCAACCACUAGCUAGGAACGGUCAUUCCCGCCAUUUUGACUGCAUUUUGAAACGGGCAUAAAAAAUUCAAAAAAAAAUUAAAAAAUUGGGAAACCUUCGCAUUGUCUCAUUAUACGUGGCCAAGUUCCCAAGAAAAAUAAUAAACUUGUAAUACGGCAAUUAUUUUAAAAAAGUGUUCUCAGAAACGAGCUAUCACGUGUGGAGAUCAAUGGCUUUAAAGCCAAAUAAUCAAUCUUAUGGCCACAUUCAUGGCAUAGUUUGUUCAAAUGAUCUCAUAUUGUGCACAAGUGUGCAUAUGUGAAUGGCAAACAAUGUUGCCUCAGGAAGUUUUCUUUUUCUUUGGACGAAAGAACCAUUUUCCAUUUUUCGAGUGCCCAAAAGGAGGUUUUUUUGUGAAGGACUCCCAAAUCAUUGUUGCAAAAUUGGACCAAAUCAUUUUCUAAAAUACUAGGCCAUAUUUAAUGCACAAUUAACCAAAUGGAUGGGUGUAAGAAGUUUUUAUCCACCUCUGGUGAAAAAGACAAAUUCCCGCCGAUUCAACUCGAAGCGGGUCAAAUUUGAACUAUAGUUGCCUCGUAGUUUGCUCUUUAUUUUUUACAAAAAUCAUUUCUAGGUACAUAAGUAUCUAUUUAAUCAGAGAAACACCAAAAAAGUUCCAAGAUUCAACCACUAGCUAGGAACGAUCAUUCCCGCAGUUUUGAUCACAUUUUGAAACGGGCAUAAAAAAAUCAAAAAAAUCAAAAAAUUGGGAAACCUUCGCAUUGUAUCAUUAUAUGUGGCCAAGUUCCCAGGAAAAAUAAUAAACUUGUAAUACGGCAAUUAUUUUAAAAAAAGUGUUCUCAGAAAUGAGCUAUCAUGCGUGAAGAUUCAUGGCUUUCAAGCCAAAUAAUCAAUCUUAUGGCCACAUUCGUGGCCUAGUUUGUUCAAAUGAUCUCAUAUUGUGCACAAGGGUGCAUCUUUGAAUUCCAAACAAUGUUGCCUAAGGGAGUUUUCAUUUUCUUUGCACGGAAAAUACAUUUUCCAUUUUCCGAGUGCCCAAAAUGAGUUUUUUUUGUGAAGGACCUACCAUAUAUUUGUUGCAAAAUUGGACCAAAUAAAUUUUCUAAAUUACUAGGCCAUAUUUAAUGCACAAUUGACAAAAUGGAUGGGUGUCAAAAGUAUUGAUCCACCUCUGGUGAAAAAGACAAAUUCCCGCAGAUUCAACAGGAAGUGGGUCAAAUUUGAACUGCAGUUGCCUCAUAGUUUACUAUUUAUUGUUUCCAAAAAUCAUUUAUAGUUACAUAAGUACCUAUUUAAUCAUAGAUACAUGGUUUGGUGGCGAUACGUCGAGGUUUGGGCGGUGGCCGAGGCCCCCAACUCUAGAGCGCGUAAACUCGCAUGCCCGCCGCAAAUAGCAUAUAGCAUAUCCAGUAACCUGACCCUUACAGAAAAGUUUAGUUUGUUCAGAACUCAUUAAUUUAAUAAGCAAAUAUUAUGGUAAUAAAUUGCUUUGGUACAUGAAGGAACAAAGGAGAUUAAACACUAGGUUGUGUGGAUGUGGACCAACAAAGAUGAAUUGAUUCCUGUAGUUGAUGUGAAGUUCAUAAAGUGGUAGCCUAAUGUGAUUUAUUCUCCAUAUACAUGGCAGCUGACUCUUCUAUUUCAUAGCAUAGAUAUUCUGCUGUACAUUGCAGCACAUUGCUUCUGUCAAAUUGAAAAACAAACAGGCUUCAAUAAGAAAUAAUUCCAGUGACUCCAGUAUCAAGUGAAUAUCUUGGUUCGAUAGUUGGAUGCGGCUUCGAAGCUCUGAUAUGAAUAGAAGUACAAUUACUAUUGGAAAGGGUACAAUGGACUGUAUAUUUCUUCAAGCUGUAGUACGACAGUUGCUUCUCAUUGCAACAAGAUGACCCGGUGCGCCAAAUGGCGCAGCUACCCAAUUGAAACCAUGUUCGUGUUGAGAAAUAUUUGCCUUUUUUAGUAACUUUAUGUUUGAUCAAGGAUAGAGACCAUUUCAAACCCGAAGUGUUUUGAACGUGUAUUUGGACAAUGUGCCAUUUAGCUCUAUGUUACCCAAGUAAGGUGCAAGGUCCAAAUUCAAGCAUCAAGGGUAAUGAUUCUAAACCUUUUGUAACAGAAACCUAUGCAUUUGUUAGUCGAGCGCCUAAAUAGAGGAAUUGCUAUGGCAGUGGCCUGACAUGGGUCUGCUGGUGUCAAAGCUUUGCCUUAGAAAGCUUCACAAAAUAUAUCAUGUGCAUGCCCAAAAAUGUGCUGAGUUGACGAUCUCCGGACCCCAUGGUCAGACCGUUGCUAUGGCGCAGCAGAGCUGAGAAACGUUCUUCAGAAACACACCCAUCUAGCGGUAAACCUAGUUUGAUAAGUAAGCAGAUCGCAGAAGAUUCUGUGAGGAAAAGAGAAACCACAAUCGUUAUAUGAUGACACAUUAUUUAGCACGUUGUAUCAAACAUGGAACCCAAGAAGCGCUAGUUAUACCGUAUGUACAUAUCUAGUCCAACCGAUGGAAGAAUUGCUGCUUUGCUUUCUUUGGAGCGCCAGCCCCCUUUGCAGCAGCGUUUGUCCUGAGUUUCGUUCUUGGAGAAAAGAGGAGGUAUUUUAGUAAUUUUGUUCAUACCAGAAACGACCCACAGCUAUAGAAUGUAAUUUCCAUGGUAGCUUCAGUUCAGUUCUGUACAUACAUGAGUGUUUCUUCCUAUAGUUUACAUGAGAAUAAAAUAAUCCAUGACAAAAAACCUGAGAACAAUAGGGUUUUAGCUCACUGAGAUUGUAGAUUACACAUUCAUGUAUUAUCUCUUAUGCACCAACAAAAUAGCAUAUUAAUAUAUAUCAACAUGUACAAAUAGAUUAUUUAGGUGUUGAGUAGGAAGCGUACACGCAAUAAGGAUUGAUAACUUGAUCAAGGAGGAAAAUUCAUUUCCUUAAUAGCAUUUGGCAGAUCAAGCUAUAGAAUAACACUAGUAGAAAAAGGGGCUUUCGUUCGGGACUGGCCAGCCCAUUAGUCCCUGUUCUGCCACGAACCGGGACCAAUGGAGGCAUUUGUCCCGGUUCGUGAGCCCAGGGGGCCGGCCGGGGCCUCGUGGGCAUUGGUCCCGGUUCGUCUAGGCCCAUUUGUCCCGGCUCUUGGCACGAACCAGGACCAAUGAGCCUCGCUCCUGGCCCACAACCAUUAGUCGCGGUUCAUGGCAGGAACCAGGACAGAAGGAUGGCCUUUAGUCCCGGUUCCAGCCACGAAGCGGGACAAAUGAGUUGCCUAUAUAUACCCCAUCGCCGGUGAGCAGAGCACUCCAUGGUACUCUGUUUUUUGCUGGCUGGCCAGGAAGGGCAUUUGGGUGCUCUGGCUCACCUCUUAUGCAUGUGAGGUGUUCGAUGAAAUACCCGAGCCACACGAGUUAAGCUUUCUCCUCUCGAAGCUCGACCUCCGAGCUCCAUUUUUUUUCGAGAUUUGUCUAGGUUUAGCGGUCCGUCACGCCCCGUCCUCGUCUUCACCGCCGUCGAUCGCCCGCGCCGAUCUCGUCGCCGACACCACCGUCGUGAGCCUCUUGUUCUUAUCUUCUUUUUGAAAGAAAUAAAAAUCUUACUUUAGAUAGGUACUUGUCUAAUUUUCUUACUUUUGACACACAUAAUUAUAUAUAAUGCACGCAGAUGAACCGGCAAUGGAUGUACGGUGAUAGACACACCUCUGAGUACAUUAAGGGCGUGCAUAAUUCUCUCGAAGUGGCUGAGGCAAACAAGCAGAAUGGUUUUAUGUGUUGUCCAUGCCCUAAUUGUGGGAAUACGAGGUCUUACUCGGACAAGAAAAUCCUUCUCACACACCUGCUUUAUAAGGGUUUCAUGCCACACUAUAAUGUUUGGACGAAGCAGGGUCCAUGCCCUAAUAGGGGUUAUGAUGGAAGACAACGAAGUAGAAGAGGAUGAUGACAACUAUGUGCCCCCUGAAUACGGUGAUGCUGCAACGAGGGAAGCUGAAGAUCAAGAGGAAGCUGAAGAUCCAGAGGAACCAGACGAUGUGCCCGAUGAUGAUCUCUGCCGUGUCAUUGUUGAUGCAAGGGAAAAGUGCGAAAGUGAAAAGGAGAAGCUGAAGUUCGAUCGCAUGUUAGAGGAUCAUAAAAAAGUGUUGUACCCCAAUUGCGAAGAUGGCAACACAAAGCUCAGUAUCGUACUAGAAUUGCUGCAGUGGAAGGCAGAGAAUGAUGUGCUUGACAAAGGAUUUGAGAAGCUACUGAAAAUAUUGAAGAAGCUUCCAAAGCAUAACAAAUUGCCCGAUAGUACGUACGCAACAAAGAAGGUCAUAUGCCCUCUAGGAUUGGAGGUGGAGAAGAUACAUGCAUGCCCUAAUGACUGCAUCCUCUACCAUGGUGCAUACAAGGAUUUGAACGCAUGCCCGGUAUGUGGUGCGUUGUGGUAUAAGAUCAGAUGAGAUGACCCUGGUGAUGUUGAGGGUGAGCCCCGCAGGAAGAGGGUUCCUGCGAAGGUGAUGUGGUAUGCUCCUAUAAUACCAUGGUUGAAACGACUGUUCAGAAACAAAGAGCAUGCCAAGUUGAUGCGAUGGCACAGUGAGGACCGUAAGAAAGACGGGAAGUUGAGAGCACCCGCUGAUGGGUCGCAGUGGAGAAAAAUCGAGAGAAAGUUCUGGGAUGAGUUUGCAAGUGACCCAAGGAACGUAUGGUUUGCUUUAAGCGCGGAUGGCAUUAAUCCUCUCGGGGAGCAGAGCAGCAAUCACAGCACCUGGCCCGUGACUCUAUGUAUGUAUAACCUUCCUCCUUGGAUGUGCAUGAAGCGGAUGUUCAUUAUGAUGCCAAUUCUCAUCCAAGGCCCUAAGCAACCCGGCAACGACAUUGAUGUGUACCUAAGGCCAUUAGUUGAAGAACUCUUAAAGCUGUGGAAUGGAACAGGUGUACGUGCGUGGGAUGAGCACAUGGGGGAAGAAUUUGACCUAAAGGCGUUGCUGUUCAUGACCAUCAAUGAUUGGCCCGCUCUCAGUAACCUUUCAGGACAGACAAACAAGGGAUACCACGCAUGCACACAUUGUUUAGCUGACACCGAAAGUAUAUACCUGGACAGAUGCAGGAAGAAUGUGUACCUGGGCCAUCAUCGAUUUCUCCCGACCAACCAUCAAUGUCGAAAGAAAGGCAAGCAUUUCAAAGGCGAGGCAGAUCACCAGAAGAAUCCCGCCAUGCAUACCGGUGAUCACGUACUUGCUAUGGUCUCUAAUUUAAACGUAAUAUUUGGAAAGGGUCCCGGCGGACUAGCUAUUCCGAAUGAUGUUGAGGGAUGCGCACCCAUGUGGAAGAAGAAAUCUAUAUUUUUGGACGUACCCUACUGGAAAGAGCUAGAGGUACGCUCUUCAAUCGACGUGAUGCACGUGACGAAGAACCUUUGCGUGAACCUGUUAGGCUUCUUGGGCAUGUAUGGGAAGACAAAAGAUACACCUGAGGCAGCACGCCUCCAAAGCAGUACAAAGGUCCUGCCAGCUACGCUCUUACCAAAGAAGAGAAGGAAAUAUUUUUUUGAAUUCCUGCUCAGUAUGAAGGUCCCGAGUGGCUUCUCGUCGAAUAUAAAGGGAAUAAUAAAUAUUCCAGAGAAAAAGUUACAGAACCUAAAGUCUCAGGACUGCCACGUGAUUAUGACGCAACUGCUUCCGGUUGCAUUGAGGGGGCUUCUACCGGAAAACGUCCGAUUAGCCCUUAUGACGCUAUGUGCAUUCCUCAAUGCAAUCUCUCAGAAGGUGAUCGAUCCAGAAAUCAUACCAAGGCUAAGGAGUGAUGUGGCGCAAUGUCUUGUCAGUUUCGAGCUGGUGUUCCCACCAUCCUUCUUCAAUAUCAUGACGCACGUUCUAGUUCAUCUAGUCGACGAGAUUUUCAUUCUGGGCCCCGUAUUUCUACACAAUAUGUUCCCAUUUGAGAGGUUCAUGGGAGUCCUAAAGAAAUAUGUCCGUAACCGUGCUAGUCCAGAAGGAAGCAUCUCCAUGGGCCAUCAAACAGAGGAUGUCAGUGGGUUUUGUGUUGACUUCAUUCCUGGCCUUAAGAAGAUAGGUCUCCCUAAAUCGUGGUAUGAUGGGAGACUGACUGGAGAAGGCAUGCUAGGAGAGGACUCAAUAAUAUGCAGGGACGGGCAUUCUUGGUCUCAAGCAUACUACACAGUUCUACAGAACUCUACCUUGGUGACUGUCGGUGUCAAAACCAGCAGAUCUCAGGUAGGGGGUCCCGAACUGUGCGUCUAGGCGGAUGGUAACAGGAGACAAGGGACACGAUGUUUUUACCCAGGUUCGGGCCCUCUCGAUGGAGGUAAAACCCUACUACUGCUUGAUUAAUAUUGAUGAUAGGGGUAGUACAAGAGUAGAUCUACCACGAGAUCAGAGAGGCUAAACCCUAGAAGCUAGUCUAUGGUAUGAUUGUUGUUCGUCCUAUGGACUAAACCCUUCGGUUUAUAUAGACACCGGAGAGGGUUAGGGUUACAGAGAGUCGGUUACAAUGGGAGGAGAUCUCCAUAUCCGUAUCGCCAAGCUUGCCUUCCACGCCAAGGAAAGUUCUAUCCGGACACGGGACGAAGUCUUCAAUCUUGUAUCUUCAUAGUCCAAGAGUCUGGCCAAAGGUUAUAGUCCGGCUAUCCGAACACCCCCUAAUCCAGGACUCCCUAAGUAGCCCCUGAACCAGGCUUCAAUGACGACGAGUCCGGCGCGCAGAUUGUCUUCGGCAUUGCAAGGCGGGUUCCUCCUCCGAAUACUUCAUAGAAGUGUCCGGCUCUACAAGAUAAAUUCCACAUAUUUACAUAGAGAGAAUAGUAUUUACACAAGUCUAAUCUUCUAACGUAUUUCGUAGCAUGACAUCACACCACAGCCAAGCCUUUAUUCGAAUCGUUUUACUGUCCCACCUCAGCACAUUUUGCGAGGCGGUUUCCUUGGCACGUCUUGUCGAAGUAGAGAUCGUGUCCCCUUAAUUUACGGGAUUCUCAUCAAUACGGACAUGGGUAACCCAGUCGUGCCCGUUGGUAUAUUUCCUUGAUCAAAGGCGAGUCCCGAACGGUUACGGGGAGGGCUCUUGGUAUUCGACCCCUUUUAUAGAGACCAAGGCCUUACUCCUUUAUUUCAAUCUCAAUUGAGUUCUCCCUUCGCCUCGAGCUCCAACACCCAAGGUUCCAGAUUCCAGGCGCUUCGGACCUUUGAUGAUGUCCGGUUCUGACCUUCGAGGCCGAUGGAUGCCUUCCUCCGUCAUGGAGGAGGACGUGCUAAAGCUGAGAGAGGCCAGGUUCUUGACCGACGAAAUCUCGCAUAGGCUGCCUGCUCAAGGGAAGGUUAUUCCUACUCCUGAGCCUGGUGAGAGUGUUGUCUUCAUGUCUCACUUCCUCCGAGGGCUCGGCUUCGCAACGGAUCCCUUCCUGAGGGGGCUCAAGUUUUAUUAUGGGCUGGAAUUUCACGACCUAGCUCCGGAGUCCACCCUCCACAUCUCAUCGUUUAUCGUCGUGUGCGAAGCCUUCCUCCAUGUUACUCCACACUUCAGACUAUGGCUUAAGACCUUUAAAGUAGAGCCGAAGAUGAUCGAGGGAUGGCACUCUGAGUGCGGAGGCGCUGUUAUAAGCAAAAAUGCUGACGCUCCAUGACCCGAGGGCUCUUUUCAAGAGGAGUUCAACUUAUGGCAACAAGAGUAGUUUUAUAUCACAGCUCCCAGGGGCACCAAGUGGGUGGCGCCUCCUGCUUUCCGCUCGGGUCCCCCACCACGACUAGCGUCAUGGGUCAAUAAGGGGCUGGACUAGGGGCCGGCGAAGGAUGUCCCCCUGUUGUAGGGCCGCAUCCGAGAUCUCCUAGAAAGGGACAUCUGCCUGGUCGUGGUGACACAGGUUAUGCUAAUUCGCCGAGUUCUGCCCUACAAACGUCGCCCCCUCCGCCAGUGGGAGUUCAAUCCGGAGGGACCGCGAGCUCUCCAACACUUUCUUGGCAUAACGCCCGUGGAGAUGUACAAAUUGUUCUUCGGAUCACAAGUAAUGUGUCCGGAUGCUACGGAGGACGCAGGACUAAGCUGCAAUCGUCCGGAUACUCAAGUAAGUAGCCCUGUCUCCGGACACACCAUCCGUUCAUUCAUCACAACAUCACUCUUAAAAGAGUUGUCUUUGAAACAUGAGUGGGUAGCGAAGGCGAAGUUAAUCAGGUGUCCGGCCCCCCUUCCUGAGACCUCGCCGAAUCCCGUGUUGACCAGGAUGCUGGAGAUUGUUCCUUUGGAAGAGAACGAGGAGGGGGACAAGGGAGCUACCGCCUCCUCGAAGGAGUCUGUUGGGAAAGGAGGAAUCAAAAAUUCCUCUACCCAUGGGAAGAAGAGGACCGCCUCUAAUGACCCAGAGACCAUGGUCUGGAAGCAGGGGAAGAAAUCUUCGGCAGAGGGUCCUGCGCCGGGGGAUACCUCGGCCAUACUGUGCCCCCAAGGGAAUUAGCCCUUCACCGAGCCGUAAGUAGAGAGGGGAGUUUGAAAUGAGAGACACCCCUGUUCUAUUCCUGAGGAGAAUAACCGAAAUUUUACCUUGUAGUUCGGAUCUCAGCCCUUCUCAGCAGAGCUCAUCUUCGGGGGAGCUUCUUCCGGAGAUGAUGGAGAGCGGAACGCCUCCCCCUGUCAUACCGCCUCACGAGGCGGGCGACCCUGAGGUGUCGUCACGGAGGGUUUCUCCGAAUCCGGCAGGGUCGGAAGGCAGUCAUAUGGCCCCCCAAAGCCCUCCAUAUCCGGCCUUUGAAAAAGGCCAUCGGACGAGUUCGGCACCGUCCGGUGCACGGCCGGAGGAGUUGAAGGAUCUGCUCAGGCGAGCGUCUAUCUCAAAAGAGCACCGUACGUUGAUGGGUACGGUGAUUGAAAGGAUUUCAUCCACGGAGAGCGGGUUGCACGAGUCCGUCAGGAGUUUACUGACAGGUUUUCAGGUACGCGAAAUCAUGUACCUUUUGACAGUUCCGCAUAUAUAAGAUGCGCCCUAUGUAGAUAGUAGCCCCUGAGACUCUAUGCGUUGUCAAAAGUGACGGCGCGCAGAGGAUCAUAAUCCCAGGUAUAAUAUGUCGCCCUUCCUAUGUAGGUGGCGAAGUGUCCGGUGGCUAGCCGGACUAAUGAAUUUGCCGAACUAAAGCGGCAACUUGAUGUGGUAGAUGCCGACAUCGCGCUUGUCAACAAGCGGCUUGACGAGGCACAGGGUAUGUAAUUUCUCCGGAGACACCUGGUAAGAGAAGCUUGAUGCCCGUAUCUUACAUCAUGUGUGCUUGAUGCAGAUGGUGCCGCUGCCAUGGAGAACCUUCGGGAGGAACUUGCCCGGGCCAAGGAGCAGGCCAGGAAAAGCGAUGCUGCUGCCUUAAAGGCGGUUGAAGAGCUGAAAGCCGAACAGGCUGCUCACUGCCAAAGCAGAAAGGAAAUGGCCGAGAUGGCUGUAAAGUUGAAGAGCACUGCCGACCGCUGCAAGCUUCUUGAGAAAGAAGAUCAGGAGGAACAGACGGACCUAGAGAAGGCCACUACAGAAGCCAAGGAUGCUCGCUCUACAAUGAGAGCUAUGAAGGAGGAGCUACGUCAGGCCGGAGAUAUCGCGGCUGGACAGCCCUUUAUGCUGCGGAUGAUGUUCGGGGAUCCUAAAUAUGCUCCGUUGGACCGGUUAUGGAGUACGACGGACCCUUAUCUGGAUUUGGCGGCGAGUGUCGCGGACGCGGCCAAACACUUCCGAGAUCAAAAGGAUCGCGAAGUGGAAAAGCUCUUCUGGUCGCACUUCCACAAUCCAGAGCGUCCACUUCCAUUAACCGAUCAUUUAGCCGAAUGGGCCGAGCGGAAUAGGUUAUCCGAACUCGCCAUGAAGUAUGUCGUGAGUCAUCUGUGGCCAGAAAGGCCUGAGCCAAAAAGUUAUUUUAGCUUGGUGCAGCAGUUCCUUGGUGCGGUGCCGCAUAUCAAUGCAAUGAAGAGGUCAGCAUGCAUAGAGGGUGCGCGGAUGGCUCUUGCCCAUGUCAAAACAUACUAGGCGGAGAUGAAAGCCACUACUAUUGCAUCCGACGACUCGGACGGGAGCCGAGUACCUACCAAGCACUAUUUUCAGAAAGUUCUGCAGGGUGCUCGUUUAAUAGAGACGCGGUGCUCGAAGGAUAUUAUGUUCGAAUAACAUGUAUUAUUGUAAAACAAUGUUUUGAUCAAAUAUAAAAGCUUUUGAUACUUGUGCCUUCAAGAAUUUAAAACACCUCCUGUGCGGCUGUUAAUGUAUAUGUGUAUAUAACCUGAAAGAUGGCAGUCUUUGGCUUUAGCCCCCACGCAUAUAAUGCGGGGGUGUUCGCAGAAGGCGCAUUUUCACACUUGAUCCAACAUCUUAGUCCCAUUAAGGAGGUGAUAGCGCAGCGAACUAAUCAACCAGACUAUAAUGCUUUAUCACUUUCACUUAGCCAUAGGAGUUUGCCAGUGGGGCUACUAUAUAGCCCCUGGGGGCACCGCGCUCACCCGAAUUCGGGGCGCGUGUGUGCCUGGCCGGGAAACGACCCUUCGUUAAUACGGAGGAAUCCUAAAGAUUUGGGCGGGUCAUCGAGUGGUUGACCAGUCUCACGCUAUAUCAUGACAGUCAGUUUUCGGCUUUCUCUACUGAGGUGCUCGCGUGGCUGAACCGGGGCACAAUCGCAGUAGUUCUCCUUGUGCCGCCUUAGCCGAUAGAGCGGAACGUAAGGCAGCAAAACACAGGAGCCGGGCAAACCCAACAUUUUACCAAAGACAUGAUUCAGAGCUGAUGCAUAUAAGUCCAAACUCGCGACGUCGAACACUCCCUAAGGUAUUCGGUCUUUUAUGAAAACGGGCGGAACAGCGCCCUUGGUAAUAAGCCCCUGGUGUCCAGGUACGUGCAAAAUUCUAACGUGGCCACAUGCCAAGACGCCAGCCUCCUCCUCGGCUAUACUGAGAAUCCGGGGGACGUGUAUCAACAAGAGACAGUAAAAAAGGUUUACGCAGGGUCUUAAUCUAAAAAGAAUCCUUCGAACAGGUCCCUGCUGCAUGUCUGCGCCUGUGUCUCCGUUGUGCCGUAUCCUGGACGGGUAUAGCAUGGUGUUCAUCUGUAAAAGAGAAGAACUUAGUUGUAAGGGGGUGUACGGCUAUUAAGCCUUUAUCAAUUGUAUGUUUAUGUCAGACUCGUCGAGCCGCGUCCGUGGUCUUGACGACCUAUUUAGGUGCUUUGAUUGGCGAAGCCGCUUUAGUGUGUGGCUCUCAAGGCAGCCGCACAGUCUUCCGCGCGGGGGGAACACUCAAUGUUUCCCUUUAGUGAUAUGAUGCCUCGUGAACUGGGCAUCUUAAGCGUAAGAGAUGCAUAAUGCGGUAUUGCAUUAAAGCGGUCGAAGGCCUCUCGUCCCAGGAGUGCUUGAUAGCUACUUGAAAAAGGGGCGAUGUGGAAGGUUAGCUUUUCGCGGCGGAAGUUAUCAAGGGAGCCGAACAUAACUUCUAGCCGGAGAGAACCCCUGCAAUGGGCAUCCGGGCCUAGCAUUACUCCUUGAAAGGAAGUGUUGCUAUGGCAAAUUUUUGUUGGGUCUAUCCAUAUUUUGCGGAUUGUGUCCUCAUAUAGCAGGUUUAGACCACUGCCGCCGUCCAUCAGGACAUGUGUAAAGUGGAGUCCGUCUAUUAUCUGAUCUAAUAUCAAGGCAGUCUAGCCUGCGUUCUCGAUACUUCUAGAGUAAUCCUGAUGGUCGAAGGUGAUCGGUUUUGACAACCAGUGGCGAGACUCCUUUGGGAUGGGCCGUAUGGCGCAUAUCUCUAUAGGCGCCACUCCUUUUGUCACGUGAAGUAAGUUUACUGUUUUGACUUCUUGUGGGAAAUUCUUUUGUUUCUCGGUGCUCUGCUUGUGGGGUUCGUCAUCGUCCUCACUUGGUGUGUCGAGCCCCUUGUGUUCAGUGUUGAGUUGGUCGGAUUGCUUGAAGACCCAACAUUCUCUAUGGGUAUGGUUUGCAGGCUUCCCGGGGGUGCUGUGGAUUUGACAUAUCUUAUCCAAGAUUUUGUUUAGGUUAGAUAGCUCGUCCCUGUUAUCCUUGAGGGGCAGCUUUUUCUGAUUCUGCCGAGAGCUUUUGAAUCCGGCGUUGACUGUCGUCCUCUUCGAGCUGCUUUCCUUAUUCCGUCGCUGUUCCUUGUUGCGUCGCAGUUUCCCGUUUCCAUCCCUGACUUCGGAUGUACUUGGGUCGCUGGUGUUGUAUCUUGCCAACCAGCUGUCCUCUCCCGUGCAAAAGCGGGUCAUGAGGCUUGUUAAUGCGUUCAUUGUUCUUGGCUUUUCUUGGCCGAGGUGUCUGGCAAGCCAUUCGUCUCGAACGCUGUGUUUGAAAGCUGCUAAGGCUUCGACGUCCGGACAGUCGACUAUCUGGUUCUUUUUAGUAAGAAAUCUGUUCCAGAGUUUCCGGGCUGACUCUCCGGGCUGUUGAGUUAUAUGGCUUAAAUCGUCUGCAUCCGGAGGUCGGACAUAGGUCCCUUGAAAAUUUUCUCGAAAAGCAUCCUCGUUCUCUUCCCAACUUCCAAUGGUGUUUUCGGGAAGGCUUUUAAGCCAAUGCCGGGCUGGCCGUUUGAGUUUGAGGGGCAAGUAUUUUAUGUCGUGGAGGUCGUCUCCUCUGGCCUUGUGUAUGUGGAGGAUAUAAUCCUCAAUCCAGACUCCAGGGUAUGUUGUUCCGUCGUACGCCUCUAUGUUUACGGGCUUGAAUCCCGCUGGAAAUUCAUGGUCUAGCACCUCAUCGAUGAAACAUAGGGGGUGUGCGGCACCCCUGUACUUGGGUGUGCCGUGUUGUUCGGAUAUUUGUUGUGCUUCAUUGCUUACUAGAGCUUGCUUUCUUGGCCCGUAGAUAGAUCUGGCUGGGUCGUCUUUGUGAUGCGAAUCCUUGGGUGGAUCACGUGUUGAUUUGUGUGCGGCGCCAUAUGCCGUUCUAUGAUGGCCAUGGGAUCAUUUAUCCGACCGGGUGGCUUCCUUAUUUUUUUGAUUUUUGGGUCUCUAGGGCCUCCUCAUCAAAUUCGGGCAGUAGCUUUUGCUUCGGGUAGCUCUUUGUGUGGCGACUAUCGCCGUAUUUGUCUGCGGUGUUGAGUACUUUGCUCCAUCUAGUUCUGAGUGCAUCUUCCGCUGUUUUGAGCUUCCACUUCUGCUUUUUCAGGCUACGUGCAGUGGUGAUGAGUCUUUUGUGUUUGUUCUUCUGCUCCAGCAAUUUGUCCGGUGUGAGGUCGUCUGGACUGUUAUCUCCACCGGUGACAGGUUGUUCGGUUUGUUUAUCCAAGUUGCUCUGUUCGGACGGUUGCUCGAUGGCAUGUUCGUCGUCCACCGGUUCGCCCUGCUCUGUGGCCGGGUCUGUAUGGCUGCUGUCUCUGUCGAGGCGGGGCUUGGAGCGGCGGUUACGUCGCCGCUUUGACUGCUUUUCGAGGGAACGAUCCCUCGUUGUGUCCCUUUGUUCCUCGUUGUUUCUUCCUUUAGGUGUGUCCACCAUGGAUACAUCGUGAGAUGAGGUGGUUGUCCAGUGCCCUAUAGGCGCUGGUUCCUGUUCGUCUCCUACAUCAUCGUCCAUACCGUCGAUGUCUUCGGAGUCAAAGUCCAGCAUGUCGGUUAAAUCAUCGACAGUGGCUAUGAAUUGGGUGGUGGGUGGGCGUCGAAUUUCUUCGUCGUCCACAUCCCAAUCCUGUUGGCCAUAAUCCGGCCAGGGCUCUCCUGACAAAGAGAGAGACUUUAGUGAAUUUAGAAUAUCGCCAAAGGGCGAGUGCUGAAAAAUAUCAGCGGCGGUGAAUUCCAUGAUCGGCGCCCAAUCGGGUUCGAUUGGCAAGGGCGCGGAGGGCUCGGAGUCCGGAGAGGAGUCCGGCACCUUGGAGUCACGGGCUUUGCAGAGGAUAAGACUGGUGUUCGGCUCGAUCGCCGUAUAGAUUGCAGCCCCCGAGGCGGUGUCCAGCCAGCCGUCCUCGAUUGGCGCAGUCGGCUCCAAACUAAGGGUCGGAGCGGAUACGGGUGCGGCCUCCAGGGCACUGUUUGUCGGCAGAGCUAGAUCAUGCCCAUCGUGAUAGUGCGGCGCGCUCGGCUGUGCCUCAAAUCCGUCGAAGAUCAAGUCCCUCUAGAUAUUAGCCGCGUAGUUCAAACUUCCAAAUCUGACCUGAUGGCCAGGGGCGUAGCUUUCGAUCUGCUCCAGAUGGCCAAGCGAGUUGGCCCGUAGUGCGAAGCUGCCAAAUACGAAGAUCUGUCCGGCGAGAAAAGUCUCACCCUGGACCGCAUCGUUGUUGAUGAUCGGAGGAGCCAUCGGGCCUAAAAGUGAUGACACGGAGGAACUCUCAAUGAAAGCACCAAUGUCGGUGUCAAAACCGGCGGAUCUCGGGUAGGGGGUCCCGAACUGUGUGUCUAGUCGGAUGGUAACAGGAGACAAGGGACACGAUGUUUUUACCCAGGUUCGGGCCCUCUCGAUGGAGGUAAAACCUUACUCCUGCUUGAUUAAUAUUGAUGAUAGGGGUAGUACAAGAGUAGGUCUACCACGAGAUCAGAGAGGCUAAACCCUAGAAGCUAGCCUAUGGUAUGAUUGUUGCUCGUCCUAUGGACUAAAACCUUCCGGUUUAUAUAGACACCGGAGAGGGUUAGGGUCACACAGAGUCGGUUACAAUGGGAGGAGAUCUACAUAUCCGUAUCGCCAACUUUGCCUUCCACGCCAAGGAAAGUCCUAUCCGGACACGGGACGAAGUCUUCAAUCUUGUAUCUUCAUAGUCCAAGAGUCCGACCAAAGGUUAUAGUCCGGCUAUCCGAACACCCCCUAAUCCUGGACUCCCUUAGUGACCCCGUAUGUUGAUGAACACAAGAACAGUCUGCGCUCCAAACACCUGGAGCAGUGUGACGACUGGAUUACAUGUGAACACAUCAGGACUUUCAGCACUUGGUUGGAAACACGUCUCAGAGGUGAAACCACUGUUUGUGAUGAGUUGUACUCGUUGUCCACGGGACCAUCUUCGACUGUAUUGAGUUACAAAGGAUACGAGAUAAAUGGGAAUACAUUUUACACGAUCGCCCAAGAUCAAAAGAGCACCAACCAAAACAGCAGUGCCCGCUUUGAUGCAGUAACCGAGAGGGGAAAGGUCACAUAUUAUGGUUACAUAAUGGACAUAUGGGAACUUGACUACAGACAUGAUUUUAUGGUCCCUUUGUUUAAGUGCAAAUCGGUUAAUCUAUCAGGAGGCGGGGUACAGGUAGACCCACAGUACGGAAUGACAACAGCGGAUCUGAACAAUCUUGGGUACACUGACGAACCGUUCGUCCUAACCAAUGAUGUGGCACAGGUUAUAUAUGUGAAGGACAUGUCUACCAAACCGAGAAAAAGAAAAGAUAAGGAAGUGAAUACAUCAUACGAUGAGCCAAAGCGCCACAUAGUUCUUUCAGGAAAAAGGGACAUUGUGGGAGUGGAGGGCAAUACAGACAUGUCUAAAGAUUAUGAAAAGUUUCAUGAAAUUCCUCCCUUCAAUGUCAAGGCUGACCCAAGCAUCCUGAUAAACGAUGAAAAUUAUCCAUGGUUACGGCGCAAUAAGCAAAGCACACAAGCGAAAAAAAAGUGAAGACUUUCUCUCCACAACUAUUAUGAUGAUACCAUGCCAACUUUCAACCUUUUCAUACUUCAUAUGAAAUGGCUGUUGUAACAGACGAGUUUCUGUAAGAAAUCCUGAUACUUCGAAACAGAUUGUCCGUUUUGUACACGAAGUGCAUCUCGUUUUUGCCGUAACCCUCUCUAGUUUUUGCACAUGCUAUGUGGGUGAAAUGAUGAUACCAUGCCAACUUUCAACCUUUCCAGAGUUCAUUUGUAGUGCUUUUCAAUUUCAUGGUCUCAUGAAAUAAUCCGUAAAUGCAUGGAAAAUAACAAAUAUCAUAAAAAUAAAUAAAUAAGUAAUUAGAAACAGAAUAAACUAAACUUUAAUAAAAUAUAUAAGUAGAAACAAAAUAAGAUAAACUUUAAUAACAUAAAUAAAAUUUAUGAAACUAAAAUUAUCAACGUAUUUUCUGUUCAAAACAUUAUAAGCAACCUCUAGUAUUAUUGAAACUAAAAUUAUAUAAAAUUGAUGCAACUAAAAUUAUCAAAGUUUUUCUGUUUAAAAUCAUUAAAAGCAAAAAGAAUUUUCAUAAAUAACUUUUUUUGUUAGAAACUUUAAUAGCAAAAAGAAUUAUCAUAAAAUAAAAUAAAUAAGUAAUUAGAAACAAAAUUAAAAAAUAAAUAAGUAUUUUGUUGUAAGUAGAAACAAAAUGAAUAAAUAAAGCAAAAUAGAAAAGAACUAAACUAGGAGAAAAUAAAAAAAUGCCACCUACUGGGCCACCAUGGCCUGAAUACGACUAGAAACCAACCCAUGGGCAAGGAUUCAUGCCCGUAGAAGGCCCAAUAGGACCACAGGCAGAUACAAUGUGUUUAGGCCCGAAAGCCUGCAUUUGAGAGGAGCUCGAGAGGGCAGCGGGAGUGGGGCUUAUAAACCACUCUCGAGCUCCCUCAGCUAGCGAGGUGGGACAAAACUUUCGUGCUGCGAUGCGGGCAGCACAAGGCCUUUAGUCCUGGUUGGUGCCACCAACCAGUACUAAAGGCGUACAUUGGUACCGGUUCAUGCCAACAACCGGUACCAAUGCGCACCCUUUAGUCCCGGUUUGUGGCUCCAACCGGGACCAAAGGCCUCUACUUCCCGCCCUUUGGGCUGCUGAAAAGCGACCUUUGGUCCCGGUUGGUGGCUCCAACCGAGACUAAAGGGGUGCUUUGGUCCCGGUUGCUGCCACGAACCGAUGCUACCUCUUGAGCACUGCGUUGGUUUNNNNNNNNNNCUCAGCUAGCGAGGUGGGACAAAACUUUCGUGCUGCGAUGCGGGCAGCACAAGGCCUUUAGUCCUGGUUGGUGCCACCAACCAGUACUAAAGGCGUACAUUGGUACCGGUUCAUGCCAACAACCGGUACCAAUGCGCACCCUUUAGUCCCGGUUUGUGGCUCCAACCGAGACUAAAGGGGUGCUUUGGUCCUGGUUGCUGCCACGAACCGAUGCUACCUCUUGAGCACUGCGUUGGUUUUUCCAUGAAGAGGAAAGGGUGAUGCAGCAAAGUAGCAUAAGUAUUUCUCUUAGUUUUUGAGAACCAAGGUAUCAAUCCAGUAGGAGGCUACGCGCGAGUCCCUCGUACCUACACAAAACAAAUAAAUCCUCGCGACCAACGCGAUAAGGGGUUGUCAAUCCCUACACGGUCACUUACGAGAGUGAGAUUUGAUAGAUAUGAUAGGAUAAUAUUUUUGGUAUUUUUGUGAUAAAGAUGCAAAGUAAAAUAAAAGCAAAGUAAAAAAGCAAAGUAAAUAACUAAGUGUUGGAAGAUUAAUAUGAUGAAGAUAGACCCGGGGGCCAUAGGUUUCACUAGUGGCUUCUCUCAAGAGCAUAAUUAUUUUACGGUGGGUGAACAAAUUAUUGUUGAGCAAUUGACAGAAUUGAGCAUAGUUAUGAGAAUUUCUAGGUAUGAUCAUAUAUAUAGGCAUCACGUCCGAGACAAGUAGACCGACACUGGUAGAAAAAGGGCCUGUUGUCCUGGUUCGUAAGGGCCUUUUGUCCCGGUUUUGGAACCGGGACUAAAGGGUCGGUACUAAUGCCCUGUCCCUUUAGUCCCGGUUCAAUCCAGAACCGGGAUAGAUGGGCCUCCACGUGGCCUGUGCGCGGAGCCUAGGCAGGAGACCCUUUGGUCCCGGUUGGUGGCACCAACCGGGACCAAUAGGCAUCCACGCGUCAGCAUUUCUAUGGCUGGGGUUUUUGUUUUUUUUAAAGGGGGGGGGGGUUGGGGGUUUUGGGGGGUUAAUUUAGGUGUUUCAUAUAUUGUGUUAGCUAGCUAUAAUUAAUAGAGAGAAGUGUCCUCUCUUAUGUCCGUGCUUGGUCGACGCUACGUACUAUACAUACGUAUAGAGAGGACUAGACACGCUAGCUAGCUAGUAAGCAAACGAAGGAAACAGAAGAUCGUCAUGAACAUAUAUGCAUACAGAGAGAAGUGAUAUCGACCACCUCUCCUUCUCUGAGAGAUCGGUCGAACAACAAGUUCUCGUAUAUCUAUCUGACACUACCGGCUACAUAUAUACAAUAAUUAUCUCUUACAAAUAUAAUCAUACGGACUCAGGGUCCACAUAGUAUUCUCCGUCUUCAACGAUCACAUGGUCAAGAAAGAAUGCUGCCAAUUCCUCUUGAAUUGCUCGCAUGCGAGCUGAUUCUAGGAGUUCAUCCCGCUUCCGAAACAUCUAAUUUAAAGAAGGGGGUCAAUACAUAUAUAUAUGAAUGAAUGAAACUCAACACAAAUGAUGGUAAUAAAAUAAAAUUGUGAAUGUUGUUAUUUACGUACUUCAUAUUGUUCGUCAGUGUAGCCCCGCUCACAGGUCGUGUCGCGGAUGGACUCGCAAAUGUAGUAUCCACAGAAAUCAUUCCCUUGUUCCUGCCACAACCACUUUACAAUAAAUAGAGGUCAAUCAAGCUGAUAAGCAAGAAUGCCAAAUGGUAUUGAUGAAACUAGCACUUGAAUCACUAGUAGAUGCGCGGAACAUGCUACUAUAGUACUUACUAUCGGGUGUCUAAAUUGCAGCUCCUUCGGCAGUCCCGGAGCUUUUCUGGUGAAUUUUCUCCAAACCCUGCUGGACAAAGAAAACAAUUACUUGAUAUAUCAGGAAAUGAACAAAGUUGCUGAUAUGGUGGAUAAUGAUCGAUUUAACUUACUUCUCGAGUAUUUGAGUCAUGUCUGCAUAGUCCUGGGGAUCUUUUCGUCUUGAGUCUAAGACGGUUACUAGUCCCUGCUCAAGCUUAAUCUCUAGGAGAAUAUAGUGGAAACUGCACACGCAUGCAUAACUCAUCAAUUACAUUACUAUAACCUUGACUAGUAUAUAAGGGAAACCGAAUACGCACAAGACAGUAACACUCACUUGAAGUUGUAAGGAAAGAGUAUUAUAUCUUUGUUUUCAUUUAUUACCAACAAUCGUAACAAGUUGGCCUCGGUAGUUGCGGCAUGAAAUUUAACUUGAGUUGCAUCUAUGAGAUAUGUGUUAAUGAACCCAAUAUCACUGACUUGUCUUUUCUUCAAUUCAGCGAUCUUCAAUCUGCAUAAUAUAGUGAGGAUGAUUAUAAAUACAUGCAAUGAAAGAGCUGAGCUAUAUAGAGAGACUUAAUGACAGAAGUAGUACUACUUACAGACAGUAGCAGGCGACCGUUGGUUUAUCGAUGACCAAUUGAUUUAAAAACUGAAAGAACUCCUCAAAUGGAACAGGCAACAGUUCAAUUUCAACGAGGUCAUGCUCCUUUUUAACUUUCACAUACAAAGUACUCCUCCCCCCAGAGUCUCUGCAGAUUUUCAAGUACCAAUCAUGCAAUCUUCGCAUCAUCAUUGAUAGAGAUCUUUCAUCUUUGACAAGAGGCUUCCCGUACUCGUAUCUUUGUAUCUGCACCUCCAUGAAAUCAUAAUGUACAUUGUCGAGCAGGUAAUCGCCAAGAUUUCUAUAACCGGGCACCAUCCUCGGAUCAUUAGCGACAUUGUCGCUAGGCACCUUGAGCGGGGGGCACGAUUGAUUCGCUUGUUCGCCGAGCUAGGCAAUUUGUUUCCCAGCUCGUCGUUCUUUCAGCCUUUGAUCACUGACAGUACUUCCCGACCGCUCCGCUUUGGCAAAUUCCUUUCCAAUAAUGCGCUCAUAGUUUCCUUUUGGCGGAGACUUGGGUGGUUUUGUCAGGGCAGCCAGAGUGCGCUUCGAUUUCACCGGAUCUACCUUCUCCUCCGGAGGUGGAUGUUUCUUUGCUUUCACCCCUUCAAAUUAGUUCCUCACUUCUUCUCGUGCAAUCUCAGCGUUCUCCUCUGGGGUCCUCUCGUAUGGUAACUUCUGUGGAGUCUUCAGAGAAGGACCAAAUCUGUAUUUCCUCCCGCCACUGGCUGUACUGCUAGACGCCGACCGAGCAGACGGACCGGUUGUCUUCUUUACUUGCUUAUAAGGCAGAGGAGAAGGACUACGACGCGCCGGAGCAGCCGGAGCGGUGGCAGGUCUCUUCCGCCCUUGCUGACGAGGGGGAGAAGGAGGAGGCUGGCUGCUCGGGCGCAUCGGUGCAGGCGGAGAAGGAGGCGGAGUGCCGCCACGCGGUGGAGAAGGAGCCGGUUGAGUGCCCUGAUCGUCACUCGCCGGAGGAGGAGGCGGUGGAGGAGGCGGAGUGCCCUGACUCGCCGGAGGAGGAGGCGGUGGAGGAGGCAGAGUGCCCUGUCUUGCCGGAGGAGGAGGAGGCAGAGGCGUCCAGUUCGGAAGGUUGAGGAGCUCCUUCCGCCAUAGGCAUGGAGUCUUCAGCGCAGACCCCAGCCUAGUCUCCCCUUCACCGGUAGGGUGGUUAAGACGGAGGUCCUCAAAAUAGUUGCGGGAGAAAGUCUUCACUUUUUCUUCGCUUGUAUCAUUUGCUUAUUGCGCCGUAACCAUGGAUAAUCUUCAUUGUUUAUCAGGAUGCUUGGGUCAGCCUUGACAUUGAAGGGAGGAAUUUCAUGAAACUUUUCAUAAUCUUCAGACAUGUCUGUCUUGCCGUCCACUCCCAGGAUGUCCCUUUUUCCUGAAAGAACUAUGUGGCGCUUUGGCUCAUCGUAUGAUGUAUUCGCUUCUUAUCUUUUCUUUUUCUCGGUUUGGUAGACAGGUCCUUCACAUAGAUAACAUGUGCCACAUCAUUGGCUAGGACGAACGGUUCGUCAGUGUAUCCAAGAUUUUUCAGAUCCACUGUUGUCAUUCCGUACUGUGGGUCUACCUGUACCCCGCCGCCUAACAGAUUGACCCAUUUGCACUUAAACAAAGGGACGUUAAAAUCAGGUCCGUAGUCAAGUUCCCAUAUGUCCACUAUGUAACCAUAAUAUGUGUCCUUUCCGCUCUCGGUUGCUGCAUCAAAGCGGACACCGCUGUUUUGGUUGGUGCUCUUUUGAUCUUGGGCGAUCGUGUAAAAUGUAUUCCCAUUUAUCACGUAUCCUUUGUAAGUCAAUACAGCAAAGAUGGUCCCCUGGACAACAAGUACAACUCAUCAUAAACAAUGUUGUCACCUCUGAGACGUGUUUCCAACCAACUGCUGAAAGUCCUGAUGUGUUCACAUGUAAUCCAGUCGUCGCACUGCUCCAGGUGUUUGGAGCGCAGACUGUUCUUGUGUUCAUCGACAUACGGGGUCACCAAGGUAGAGUUCUGUAGAACUGUGUAGUUUGCUUGAGACCAAGAAUAUCCGUCCCUGCAUAUUAUUGAGUCUCUUCCAAGAGUGCCUUUUCCAGUCAGUCUCCCCUCAUACGGCGAUUUAGGGAGACCUAUCUUCUUAAGGCCAGGAAUGAAGUCAACACAAAACCCGAUAACAUCCUUUGUUUGAUGGCCCAUGGAGAUGCUUCCUUCUGGCCUAGCGCGGUUACGGACAUAUUUCUUUAGGACUCCCAUGAACCUCUCAAAGGGGAACAUACUUUGUAGAAAUACGGGCCCCAGGAUGACAAUCUCAUCGACUAGAUGAACUAGGACGUGCGUCAUGAUAUUGAAGAAGGAUGGUGGGAACACCAGCUCGAAACUGACAAGACAUUGCGCCACAUCACUCCUUAGCCUUGGUACGAUUUCUGGAUCGAUCACCUUCUGAGAGAUUGCAUUGAGGAAUGCACAUAGCUUCACAAUGGCUAAUCGGACGUUUUCCGGCAGAAGCCCCCUCAAUGCAACCGGAAGCAGUUGCGUCAUAAUCACGUGGCAGUCAUGAGACUUUAGGUUCUGAAACUUUUUCUCUGGCAUAUUUAUUAUUCCCUUUAUAUUCGACGAGAAGCCAGUCGUGACCUUCAUACUGAGCAGGCAUUCAAAAAAGAUUUCUUUCUCUUCUUUCAUAAGAGUGUAGCUGGCAGGACCUUUAUACUGCUCCGGAGGCAUGCCGUCUUUUUCGUGCAAACGUUGCAGGUCCUCCCGUGCCUCAGGUGUAUCUUUUGUCUUCCCAUACACGCCCAAGAAGCAUAGCAGGUUCACGCAAAGGUUCUUCGUCACGUGCAUCACGUCGAUUGAGGAGUGGACCUCUAGGUCUUUCCAGUAGGGUAGGUCCCAAAAUAUAGAUUUCUUCUUCCACAUGGGUGCGUGUCCCUCAGCGUCAUUCGGAACAGCUAGUCCACCGGGACCCUUUCCAAAGAUUACGUAGUGUAAAUCAUUGACCAUAGCAAGCACGUGAUCACCGGUGCGCACAGCGGGCUUCUUCCGGUGAUCUGCCUCGCCUUUGAAAUGCUUGCCUUUCUUUCGACAUUGAUGGUUGGUCGGAAGAAAUCGACGAUGGCCCAGGUACACAUUCUUCCUGCAUUUGUCCAGGUAUAUACUUUCAGUGUCAUCUAAACAGUGCGUGCAUGCGUGGUAUCCUUUGUUUGUCUGUCCUGAAAGGUUACUGAGAGCGGGCCAAUCGUUGAUGGUCACGAACAUCAACGCCUUAAGGUUAAAUUCCUCAUGUCUGUGCUCAUCCCACGUAUGUACACCAUUUCCAUUCCACAGUUGUAAAAGUUCUUGAACUAAUGGCCUUAGGUACACAUCAAUUUCGUUGCCGGGUUGCUUAGGGCCUUCGAUGAGAACUGGCAUCAUAAUGAACUUCCGCUUCAUGCACAUCUAAGGAGGAAGGUUAUACAUACAUAGAGUCACGGGCCAGGUGCUGUGAUUGCUGCUCUGCUCCCCGAAAGGAUUAAUGCCAUUCGCGCUUAAAGCAAACCAUACAUUCCUUGGGUCCUUUGCAAACUCAUCCCAGUACUUUCUCUCGAUUUUUCUCCACUGCGACCCGUCAGCGGGUGCUCUCAACUUCCCAUCUUUCUUUCGGUUCUCACUAUGCCAUCGCAUCAACUUGACAUGCUCUUCAUUUCUGAACAGACGUUUCAACUGUGGUAUUAUAGGAGCAUACCACAUCACCUUCGCAGGAACCCUCUUCCUGGGGGGCUCGCCGUCAACAUCACCAGGGUCAUCUCGUAUGAUCUUAUACCGCAAUGCACCGCAUACCGGGCAUGUGUUCAGAUCCUUGUAUGCACCGCGGUAGAGGAUGCAGUCAUUAGGGCAUGCAUGUAUCUUCUCCACCUCCAAUCCUAGAGGGCAUACGACCUUCUUUGUUGCGUAUGUACUGACGGGCAAUUCGUUAUCCUUUGGAAGCUUCUUCUUCAAUAUUUUCAGUAGCUUCUCAAAUCCUUUGUCAGCCACAGCAUUCUUUGCCUUCCACUGCAGCAAUUCCAGUAUGGUGCCGAGCUUUGUGUUGCCAUCUUUGCAAUUGGGGUAUAACCCUUUUUUGUGAUGCUCUAACAUGCGAUCGUACUUUAGCUUCUCCUUUUGACUUUCACAUUGCGUCCUUGCAUCGACAAUGACCCGACGGAGAUCAUCAUCAUCGGGCACAUCGUCUGGUUCCUCUUGAUCUUCAGCAGCUUCACCCAUUGCAGCAUCAUUGGGCACAUCGUCUGGUUCCUCUUGAUCUUCACCAGCUUCCCCCGUUGCAGCAUCACCGUAUUCAGGGGGCACAUAGUUGUCAUCGUACUCUUCUUCUUCGUCGUCUUCCAUCAUAACCCCUAUUUCUCCGUGCCUCGUCCAAACAUUAUAGUGUGGCAUGAAACCCUUGUAAAGCAGGUGGGAGUGAAGGAUUUUCGGUUAGAGUAAGACCUCGUAUUCCCACAUUCAGUGCAUGGACAACACAUAAAACCAUUCUGGUUGUUUGCCUCAGCCGCAUCGAGAAACUCAUGCACGCCCUUAAUGUACUCGCGGGUGUGUCUGUCACCGUACAUCCAUUGCCGGUUCAUCUGCGUGCAUUAUAUAUAAUUAAGUGUCCAAAUUAAUAGAAGUUCAUCAUCACAUUAAAACCAAAGUGCAUACAUAGUUCUCAUCUAACAACAUAUAGCUCUCCAGAGCAUCUAAUUAAUUAAACCAUACAUUGAAACUAUGUAAAACAUUUCAGUGCGAAAACAAAUGCGAUCAUAAUCGCAACCAAGGUAACAAUUGAUCCAACAGCAUAAUGAUACCAAGCCUCGGUAUGAAUGGCAUAUUUUCUAAUCUUUCUAAUCUUCAAGCGCAUUGCAUCCAUCUUGAUCUUGUGACCAUCGACAACGUCCGCAACAUGCAACUCACAUAUCAUCUUCUCCUCAAUUUUUUUUAUUUUUUCCUUCAACAAAUUGUUUUCUUCUUCAACUAAAUUUAACCUCUCAACAAUAGGGUCGGUUGGCAUUUCCGAUUCACAUACAUCCUACAUAAAUAAAAUCUAUGUCACGUUGGUCGGCAUAAUUUUCAUAAACAAUAAAUGAACCAAUAGUUAUAAAGAUAAUAUAUAUACCACAUCCGAAUCAUAGACAGGACGAGGGCCGACGGGGGCGGAUACCAAAACCAUCGCUCUAUAUAAGAUGCAAUAAUAAUAGUAAGAAAAUAAUACAAGUAUCUAUGUAAACAUGCAAGUAAGAAUAUUUUUCCUUUCAGAAAGAAGAUAAGAACAAGAGGCUCACCACGGUGGUGCGGCGAUGAGCUCGGUGCGGGUGAUCAACGGCGGUGAAGACGGGGACGGGGCGUGACGGACCACUAAACCUAGACAAAUAUUAUGGAAAAUGGAGCUUGGAGGUCGAGCUUGGAGAGGAGAAAGCUUAAGUAGUGUGGCUCGGGCAUUCCAUCGAACACCGUGUGUGCAUAGGAGGUGAGCUACAGCACCACCAAGCCCUCUCCCCCUCGGCCAGAGAAAAACAGAGCACUGGGGUGCUCUGCUCGCGAGCGAGGGGUAUAUAUAGGCACCUCAUUCGUCCCGGUUGGUGACUUGAGCUGGGACUAAAGGGGAGCCUUUGGUCCCGGUUCAAGCCACCAACCGGGACCAAUGGUGGUGGGCCAGGAGCGAGGCCCAUUGGUCCCGGUUCAUCCCACCAACCGGGACCAAAAGGUCCAAAUGAACCGGGACCAAUGGCCCACGUGGCCCGGCCGGCCCCCUGGGCUCACGAACCGGGACCAAUGCCCACAUUGGUCCCGGUUCUGGACUGAACCGGGACUAAUGGGCUGACCCGGCCUGGACCAAAGCCCUGUUUUCUACUAGUGCGACUCCUGCCUGCAUCUACUACUAUUACUCCACUCAUCGACCGCUAUCCAGCAUGCAUCUAGAGUAUUAAGUUCAUAAAAACAGAGUAACGCCUUAAGCAAGAUGACAUGAUGUAGAGGGAUAAAUUCAUGCAAUAUGAUAAAAAAAACCAUCUUGUUAUCCUCGAUGGCAACAAUACAAUACGUGCCUUGCUUCCCCUACUGUCACUGGGAAAGGACACCGCAAGAUUGAACCCAAAGCUAAGCACUUCUCCCAUUGCAAGAAAGAUCAAUCUAGUAGGCCAAACCAAACUGAUAAUUCGAAGAGACUUGCAAAGAUAACCAAUCAUACAUAAAAUAAUUCAGAGAAGAUUCAAAUAUUGUUCAUAGAUAAACUUGAUCAUAAACACAGAAUUCAUCGAUCUCAACAAACACACCGCAAAAGGAAGAUUGCAUCGAAUAGAUCUCCAUGAGAGAGGGGGAGAAGAUUGUAUUGAGAUCCAAAAAGAGAGAAGAAGCCAUCUAGGUAAUAACUAUGGACCCGAAGGUCUGAGGUAAACUACUCACACUUCAUCGGAGGGGCUAUGGUGAUGAUGUAGAAGCCCUCCGUGAUCGAUGCCCCCUCCGGCGGAGCUCCGGAACAGGCCCCAGGAUGAGAUCUCGUUGGUACAGAAGGUUGCGGUGGUGGAAUUAGGGUUUUGGCUCCGUUUGAUAUUCUUUUUCUGCGAAACUCUGAAAUAGGCAAAAAACAAUGAUUCUAGGCUGGGCCCCUGGUUAAUAGGUUAGUCCCAAAAAUAAUAUAAAAGUGAAUAAUAAAGGCCAAUAAUGUCCAAAACAGUAGAUAAUAUAGCAUGGAGCAAUAAAAUAUUAAAGAUACGUUGGAGACGUAUCAACCCCGCGUCGGUCAUCGGCCCGGUCCGCGCCGCCCUGCAUCGUCACCGCCCCAGUCCGCGACAUCGCCAAAGCCGCCCCCAGUGAGCCCCAGCCCCCGCGCCCCUGCCUUGCCCCCCAUCACCACCGGCGCCGCCGUGGCCACCAUAAAAAAUAUAUGAUUAGAUGGUUUUUUUCAUAGAUGUGAUUUUUUUGUUCAUAUAUCAUAUGAUGUUUUUAUAUUGUUCAUAGAUGAUCGAUCAUAUUUGUUCAUAUGUAUGCAAGCGAAGUCGUUGUAGUUAGUUGUACUGUUUAGGGUUAGGGUCGUCGAGGAAAUAAAUUAAGGAAAGAAGAAAAGAGGAAGAAAAGAGGAAGAAGGAAGAAGAAGAAAAAUAAGAAGAGGACGAAGAAGAAGAAAAAAAGAGGAAAAGGAGAAGGAAUAGAGGAGAAGAAAAAAAUAGAUCUAUUUUUUUCUUCUCCUCUAUUCCUUCUCCUUCUCCUUUUUUUUCUUCUUCUCCUCUUUUUUUUCUUCUUCUUCCUCUUCUUAUUUUUUAUCGGGUAUGUCAUUGUCGAUAUACCCCCUCCCCGAUAACUUUGACAUGAGGGGGGGCGAUAAUUAAUAGAACUAGUUAAACAACUUUAUUUUUAGUAAGUACUACUUUAUUUUAUUUAUAGUAAGUGCUUAGUAGUUGAACUAGUUGAUUUAAUAAAACUACUUUAUUUUACUAUAGAAGUAGUUUAUUUUUAGUAAGUUCUACUUUAUUUCAUUUAUAGUAAGUGCUUAGUAGUUGAACUAGUUGAUUUAAUAAAACUACUUUAUUUUACUAUAUAUAGAAGUAGUUUAUUUUUAGUAAGUACUACUUUAUUUUAUUUAUAGUAAGUGCUUAAUUAGUAGUUGAACUAGUUGAUUUAAUAAAACUACUUUAUUUUACUAUAGCAGUAGUUUAUUUUUAGCAAGAAAAUUAAUAGAACUAGUUUAUUUUUUAGUUCAAGCAAUUAUUCCCGCAUNNNNNNNNNNUCUUAUUUUUUAUCGGGUAUGUCAUUGUCGAUAUACCCCCUCCCCGAUAACUUUGACAUGAGGGGGGGCGAUAAUUAAUAGAACUAGUUAAACAACUUUAUUUUUAGUAAGUACUACUUUAUUUUAUUUAUAGUAAGUGCUUAGUAGUCGAACUAGUUGAUUUAAUAAAACUACUUUAUUUUACUAUAGAAGUAGUUUAUUUUUAGUAAGUUCUACUUUAUUUCAUUUAUAGUAAGUGCUUAGUAGUUGAACUAGUUGAUUUAAUAAAACUACUUUAUUUUACUAUAUGUAGAAUUAGUUUAUUUUUAGUAAGUACUACUUUAUUUUAUUUAUAGUAAGUGCUUAAUUAGUAGUUGAACUAGUUGAUUUAAUAAAACUACUUUAUUUUACUAUAGCAGUAGUUUAUUUUUAGCAAGAAAAUUAAUAGAACUAGUUUAUUUUUUAGUUCAAGCAAUUAUUCCCGCAUCGACGUCGAGGAUGCCUGUCCCACAUCCUCGUCGUCGACUCGACGGAGGAGGCCGGCUUGAUCAGAGGGGCCACGUCCGGGACUAGGCUCCGCCGGGCUGGUAUUGGGAGGUGCUACCUUUCGAGGGACGUAGGUUGGUGAGGAGCCAGCCCGUCGUUGACCCGAUUGUCGGUGUCAAAACCGGCGGAUCUCGGGUAGUGGGUCCCGAACUGUGCGGCUAGGCCGGAUGGUAACAGGAGGCAGGGAACACGAUGUUUUACCCAGGUUCGGGCCCUCUUGAUGGAGGUAAAACCCUACGUCCUGCUUGAUUAAUAUUGAUGAUAUAGGUAGUACAAGAGUAGAUCUACCACGAGAUCAAGGAGGCUAAACCCUAGAAGCUAGCCUAUGGUAUGAUUGUUGUAUAUGGAGUUGAUUGCCUACGGACUACAACCCUCUGGUUUGUAUAGACACCGGAUAGGGUUAGGGUUACAUAGAGUCGGUUACAAUGGUAGGAGAUCUUGAAUAUCCGCAUCGCCAAACUUUCCUUCCACGCCAAGGAAAGUCCCAUCCAGACACGGGACGAAGUGUUCAAUCUUGUAUCUUCAUAGUCCUGGAGUCCGGCUGAAGGUAUAGUCCGGCUACCCGAACACCCCCUAAUCUAGGACUCCCUCAGUAGCCCCCGAACCAGGCUUCAAUGACAACGAGUCCGGCGCGCAGAUUGUUCGGCAUUGCAAGGCGGGUUCUUCUCCAAAUCUUGUGUACCUGUAGGAAUAAUGUCUGAUUUUUGUAAUGUAGUGCUCCUCGGCUUCCACGCCCAAUAAUGGCCGUCUUCCACGUGUCAAACGAAUGUGAAAUGCCGAGGCGUUUUUACAUCCACACCCCUAGCCAUAUAAACGAGCCGCCUAUUUAACGGGAUGGGGAUUUAGGUCCAAACCACAUCUUCUCCUUUCCGCGAGUUAUCAUCAGAGCGCUUCCAGCAAAGGUCCAUUCCAACAUGACCAGCCAUCGCAGCUCCUCCCCUCGCCCCUCCGGUCCCAAACCUGGGGACUGGGAGAGUUGCACCAUCCCGCAUAGAGAGUUAGUGUCGCUUCAGGCCAAGGGAUUUCUCCCUCGGGCAUACAUGGUCCCGGUCCGAGCCGGUCUCGCCACCUACAAUGGCGGAAAACAAGCGGAGAUCACCCCCAAUCCUUCUAAAGGAGAGUGGGUGUGCCUCGUCCCCUAUCUAAUCAGGGUACUGGGGUUUCCAAUUCAUCCAUUUCUCCAUGGGCUUCUGGAGUUGUAUGGCCUCCAGCUGCACAAUCUCACUCCCGCCUCCGUAUUGCAUAUUGCGGGUUUCGUCGCCCUUUGCGGGCUAUUUUUAGGCGUUGAGGCUCACUUCGCGCUGUGGAAGAGGUUAUUCUGCCUGGUGCCUCGUUCUCAAGAGGGGUCUAUAUACCAAGUGGGCGGAGCCGAAGUAUGGCGCAUCGCCGGGACCGGAUACCUAUCCGGAACCCCAAAGAAGGCGUCCGAGUACUGGCCUUCGGAAUGGUUUUACAUAGAUGAUGUCCCGCUACCGGACCCUAUCCGGGUCGGUCUCCCUGAGUUCAAUAGUGCUCCAUUGAAGAAACGCUUGAGCUGGCGUCCGUGGAGCUCUCAGAGAGAAAGUGACAGAGACGUCCUUUACCUGAUGGGCCGGAUAAGACUGUUGGCUCAUUCCGGACUAACCAUGAUUGGAGUCAUGGCCGCAUGCAUUAUGCGGGGGGUGCAGCUGCUUCAAUAUAGAGGCCACCCCAUGUGGGAUUUCAACGGGGAGGAUGACGCCACACGUUACGGUCGUAAGGGGCCGGCCUCAGCCGCCGCCUUAGUAAAGAUCUUAUCCUCUUUGUACAAGGGAGAAAAGGAGGAAUUCCUCCACGUCAACCCGCGGGCCGGAUUCAGUAUGUACGAUCCUCCAAGUUGGGUAAGUGAACAAUUGUGCUUGCCUGUUUGUUUUAUACUCCCAUGGUUAGAUAGGUAGUCUGAUGACUUCAAUGCAGGAACUGCGACAGGAGGUAAAGGAUAUAAACAGCCACCCUCCACAGCCCAAGGACCCAGAACGGUCCCUCAAUCCGGACUCCCAAGAGGAUCCAGACAUAUCGGUGGAGCUUAUCGAUGGGGUGUUCCAUCAGCUAAGAAAGGACAAUACCUUGGUAGCCAUUACGGCGGAUUACCCAGGGUUAAUCCUGGCCUCUCAGGUGAUAGAAACCGGGGUCUUAUUCCCUUGAAAGGGAUUCCACCCUUACGUAGCCCGGUGUUUCUGACGACAACCAUGUUUUGCAGGGGAGAUUUCCGAGGCAGGAGGCCGAACCUGCGGCGGCUAGCCAACAAGGGGCCGCAGGGCCCCAUGGGGUAAAAAGGAAUGUAAUCCGAACUGAGAUGCCGGCGCAAAGGUAUAGUGCACCCUCUGUUUCCCUGGAGUUAUUCUGUUAGGGCAUAUUAACAUUCGUGCUACCUUCAGAACGAAGAGACCUCGCCGGACUACAUCCAGAGAGGUUGCCAAUCGCGCCUCCACCAGCCAGGCUCCAACGUCUGGCCAGGAAGCGGAGGCGAGCACAAGGCGCGCACCGGACGCUCCUCCGACAGAGGAUGCGGACAGGCUGUCUGCCACAAAUUCUGAAGUGGAGAGUGCCAUGAACCACAGGCAUCACCGGACAAUUCUACGCGAUGCUUGUUUCUCCCAAGAGGCUUUAGAUGCCUUUAAUUCAGGAGAUGCGUACCUCCGUGCCGCUCAAAAUGGUUUAGCCAGAGCCACAGAGCAGUAUGUAAAAGACAUACGGGUAAGAAAAUUUUGGUUAAAUAUAUAUAUGCCUGUAGCCCCCGAGACUUCAAGCAGUCAGACCAACUGAUUUAAGGAUCAUUUAAUAUGCAGCUUCUUACAGAGAAGAAUGCCGUACUAUCCCAGGAGCUGGAAAAGUGCAAGGCCCAUCUAAAGGCCGCACUAGCCGCAGCAGGGGAGCCCAAAGAGACCCCCUCAGGUAAGAUACACUUCGAAAGAUUUGUAUUGUGCGGUGUGGGUGCAAAUCUGACAAAUCAUAUUGCAGAUGGCACCGGACACGAUCUGGACAAGCAACAACUCUUACGCCGGCUAAAGGCCGGUGAGAGUACGUUGACAAAUGUGAGGCGAGAGAAGAAUGAUCUUCAGGACACCAACACCAAGCUGGACAUCAAACUUAAAGAUGUUCGUGGCCAGCUGUCGGACUCCACGAAGGAGAAUCAGCGGCUUCGACACGACAUUUUUAGUAAGUGCUUGAACGAACUUUGAAAAAAGAGUUCGGCGAGGAAGUCGACUAACAGAGUAAUGUCUGUAGGUAUGCUCACAGGUCGUCCUGCAGAGGAGAUGCCCGGUUCUACGGGUGACCUUCUUCUCGAACUCCUGCAACUGCACGAGCGAAUUCGGUAGGCGAUGCGGGGUAUUGCCCAAGCCUUAUGGCCUGCCCACUCCGUGCCCGAGGGCCUUGGAGAGCUUGCGGAGAAGCUGAAGGGAGCUCGGCGGCGCUUCCGGUUGUGGAAGAUAUCGGCCUGCCGACAAGGCGCUAGGGAGGCCUGGGCCAUGGUGAAGACCCGUUUUACGAAGUCUGACCCAAACCACAUGGCUGAGGUCGGACCAGUGGGGCCUGAUGGGAAGGAGAUCCCUGUAAGCUUAGUAUACGGCCAAGUAGAGUUGGCCGCGAAGUAUUCCCAGCAGGACUGUAAAUUAGACAACCUAUUAGAUGGUAUAGAAGAGGAAUACAAUCAGUCAGAAUGACUGUGUAAUUUUGAAUUGACAUGUGUAAUGCCUUCUAGCCGGAUUGUAGAUCGUUUGUCAUUGCCGACCUUUUCGCUUCAACCUCGGGACCUGACCGUCCGGAGUGUGUCCGAAUACCCUAGCAGUUAUAUGAAAACCAGGGUAUGCGUGGAGACCAGGCGUAGGGGUCAUCAGUGCUUUAUCAGACAAGUGCCCAACUAGUUAUGUUAUAUUACAUGGUUAGUAAGAAACAUCUUCCAGAGAGAAUAGUUCCAUUAAGGGUUCCUUUCGCUGGGAGGCAUGCCCUAAGGUGCAUGUCCGGACUGCGUGAAGAGACGCAGAAAAAAAAGCAUCUGGGGGCGCAUAAAAUGAGUAAAAAGAUCAAGCUAUAGAAUAACACUAGUAGAAAAAGGGGCUUUCCUUCGGGCCUGGCCAGCCCAUUAGUCCCUGUUCUGCCACGAACCGGGACUAAUGGAGGCAUUUGUCCCGGUUCGUGAGCCCAGGGGGCCGGCCGGGGCCUCGUGGGCAUUGGUCCCGGUUCGUCUAGGCCCAUUUGUCCCGGCUCUUGGCACGAACCAGGACCAAUGAGCCUCGCUCCUGGCCCACAACCAUUAGUCGCGGUUCGUGGCAGGAACCAGGACAGAAGGAUGGCCUUUACUCCCGGUUCCAGCCACGAAGCGGGACAAAUGAGUUUCCUAUAUAUACCCCAUCGCCGGUGAGCAGAGCACUCCACGGUACUCUGUUUUUUGCUGGCCGGCCAGGAAGGGCAUUUGGGUGCUCUGGCUCACCUCUUAUGCAUGUGAGGUGUUCGAUGAAAUACCCGAGCCACACUAGUUAAGCUUUCUCCUCUCGAAGCUCGACCUCCGAGCUCCAUUUUUUUCGAGAUUUGUCUAGGUUUAGCGGUCCGUCACGCCUCGUCCUCGUCUUCACCGCCGUCGAUCGCCCGCGCCGAUCUCGUCGCCGACACCACCGUGGUGAGCCUCUUGUUCUUAUCUUCUUUUUGAAAGAAAAAAAAUCUUACUUUAGAUAGAUACUUGUCUAAUUUUCUUACUUUUGACACACAUAAUUAUAUAUAAUGCACGCAGAUGAACCGGCAAUGGAUGUACGGUGAUAGACACACCUCUGAGUACAUUAAGGGCGUGCAUAAUUCUCUCGAAGUGGCUGAGGCAAACAAGCAGAAUGGUUUUAUGUGUUGUCCAUGCCCUAAUUGUGGGAAUACGAGGUCUUACUCGGACAAGAAAAUCCUUCACACACACCUGCUUUAUAAGGGUUUCAUGCCACACUAUAAUGUUUGGACGAAGCACGGAGAAAUAGGGGUUAUGAUGGAAGACAACGAAGAAGAAGAGGACGAUGACAACUAUGUGCCCCCUGAAUACGGUGAUGCUGCAACGGGGGAAGCUGAAGAUCAAGAGGAAGCUGAAGAUCCAGAGGAACCAGACGAUGUGCCCGAUGAUGAUCUCCGCCGGGUCAUUGUUGAUGCAAGGGAAAAGUGCGAAAGUGAAAAGGAGAAGCUGAAGUUCGAUCGCAUGUUAGAGGAUCAUAAAAAAGUGUUGUACCCCAAUUGCGAAGAUGGCAACACAAAGCUCGGUACCGUACUAGAAUUGCUGCAGUGGAAGGCAGAGAAUGAUGUGCCUGACAAAGGAUUUGAGAAGCUAUUGAAAAUAUUGAAGAAGAAGCUUCCAAAGGAUAACAAAUUGCCCGAUAGUACGUACGCAACAAAGAAGGUCAUAUGCCCUCUAGUAUUGGAGGUGGAGAAGAUACAUGCAUGCCCUAAUGACUGCAUCCUCUACCAUGGUGCAUACAAGGAUUUGAACGCAUGCCCGGUAUGUGGUGCAUUGUGGUAUAAGAUCAGAUGAGAUGACCCUGGUGAUGUUGAGGGCGAGCCCCGCAGGAAGAGGGUUCCUGCGAAGGUGAUGUGGUAUGCUCCUAUAAUACCAUGGUUGAAACGACUGUUCAGAAACAAAGAGCAUGCCAAGUUGAUGCGAUGGCGCAGUGAGGACCGUAAGAAAGACGGGAAGUUGAGAGCACCCGCUGACGGCUCGCAGUGGAGAAAAAUCAAGAGAAAGUUCUGGGAUGAGUUUGCAAGUGACCCAAGGAACAUAUGGUUUGCUUUAAGCGCGGAUGGCAUUAAUCCUUUCGGGGAGCAGAGCAGCAAUCACAGCACCUGGCCCGUGACUCUAUGUAUGUAUAACCUUCCUCCUUGGAUGUGCAUGAAGCGGAUGUUCAUUAUGAUGCCAAUUCUCAUCCAAGGCUCUAAGCAACCCGGCAACGACAUUGAUGUGUACCUAAGGCCAUUAGUUGAAGAACUCUUAAAGCUGUGGAAUGGAACAGGUGUACGUGCGUGGGAUGAGCACAUGGGGGAAGAAUUUGACCUAAAGGCGUUGCUGUUCAUGACCAUCAAUGAUUGGCCCGCUCUCAGUAACCUUUCAGGACAGACAAACAAGGGAUACCACGCAUGCACACACUGUUUAGCUGACACCGAAAGUAUAUACCUGGACAGAUGCAGGAAGAAUGUGUACCUGGGCCAUCAUCGAUUUCUCCCGACCAACCAUCAAUGUCGAAAGAAAGGCAAGCAUUUCAAAGGUGAGGCAGAUCACCGGAAGAAUCCCGCCAUGCAUACCGGUGAUCACGUACUUGCUAUGGUCUCUAAUUUAAACGUAAUAUUUGGAAAGGGUCCCGGCGGACUAGCUAUUCCAAAUGACGCUGAGGGACGCGCACCCAUGUGGAAGAAGAAAUCUAUAUUUUUGGACCUACCCUACUGGAAAGAGCUAGAGGUACGCUCUUCAAUCGACGUGAUGCACGUGACGAAGAACCUUUGCGUGAACCUGUUAGGCUUCUUGGGCAUGUAUGGGAAACAAAAGAUACACCUGAGGCAGCAUGCCUCCAAAGCAGUACAAAGGUCCUGCCAGCUACGCUCUUACCAAAGAAGAGAAGGAAAUAUUUUUUUGAAUUCCUGCUCAGUAUGAAGGUCCCGAGUGGCUUCUCGUCGAAUAUAAAGGGAAUAAUAAAUAUUCCAGAGAAAAAGUUACAGAACCUAAAGUCUCAGGACUGCCACGUGAUUAUGACACAACUGCUUCCGGUUGCAUUGAGGGGGCUUCUACCGGAAAACGUCCGAUUAGCCCUUAUGACGCUAUGUGCAUUCCUCAAUGCAAUCUCUCAGAAGGUGAUCGAUCCAGAAAUCAUACCAAGGCUAAGGAGUGAUGUGGCACAAUGUCUUGUCAGUUUCGAGCUGGUGUUCCCACCAUCCUUCUUCAAUAUCAUGACGCACGUUCUAGUUCAUCUAGUCGACGAGAUUGUCAUUCUGGGCCCCGUAUUUCUACACAAUAUGUUCCCAUUUGAGAGGUUCAUGGGAGUCCUAAAGAAAUAUGUCCGUAACCGUGCUUGGCCAGAAGGAAGCAUCUCCAUGGGCCAUCAAACAGAGGAUGUCAGUGGGUUUUGUGUUGACUUCAUUCCUGGCCUUAAGAAGAUAGGUCUCCCUAAAUCGUGGUAUGAUGGGAGACUGACUGGAGAAGGCAUGCUAGGAGAGGACUCAAUAAUAUGCAGGGACGGGCAUUCUUGGUCUCAAGCAUACUACACAGUUCUACAGAACUCUACCUUGGUGACUGUCGGUGUCAAAACCAGCAGAUCUCAGGUAGGGGGUCCCGAACUGUGCGUCUAGGCGGAUGGUAAUAGGAGACAAGGGACACGAUGUUUUUACCCAGGUUCGGGCCCUCUCGAUGGAGGUAAAACCCUACUCCUGCUUGAUUAAUAUUGAUGAUAAGGGUAGUACAAGAGUAGAUCUACCACGAGAUCAGAGAGGCUAAACCCUAGAAGCUAGUCUAUGGUAUGAUUGUUGUUCGUCCUAUGGACUAAACCCUUCGGUUUAUAUAGACACCGGAGAGGGUUAGGGUUACACAGAGUCGGUUACAAUGGGAGGAGAUCUCCAUAUCCGUAUCGCCAAGCUUGCCUUCCACGCCAAGGAAAGUUCUAUCCGGACACGGGACGAAGUCUUCAAUCUUGUAUCUUCAUAGUCCAAGAGUCUGGCCAAAGGUUAUAGUCCGGCUAUCCGAACACCCCCUAAUCCAGGACUCCCUAAGUAGCCCCUGAACCAGGCUUCAAUGACGAUGAGUCCAGUGCGCAGAUUGUCUUCGGCAUUGCAAGGCGGGUUCCUCCUCCGAAUACUUCAUAGAAGAUUUUGAACACAAGGAUAGUGUCCGGCUCUACAAGAUAAAUUCCACAUAUUGCCAUAGAGAGAAUAGUAUUUACACAAGUCUAAUCUUCUAACGUAUUUCGUAGCAUGACAUCACACCACAGCCAAGCCUUUAUUCGAAUCGUUUUACUGUCCCACCUCAGUGCGUUUUGCGAGGCGGUUUCCUUGGCACGUCUUGUCGAAGUAGAGAUCGUGUCCCCUUAAUUUACGGGAUUCUCAUCAAUACGGACAUGGGUAACCCAGUCGUGCCCGUUGGUAUAUUUCCUUGAUCAAAGGCGAGUCCCGAACGGUUACGGGGAGGGCUCUUGGUAUUUGACCCCUUUUAUAGAGACCAAGGCCUUACUCCUUUAUUUCAAUCUCAAUUGAGUUCGCCCUUCGCCUCGAGCUCCAACACCCAAGGUUCCAGAUUCCAGGCGCUUCGGACCUUUGAUGAUGUCCGGUUCUGACCUUCGAGGCCGAUGGAUGCCUUCCUCCGUCAUGGAGGAGGACGUGCUAAAGCUGAGAGAGGCCAGGUUCUUGACCGACGAAAUCUCGCAUAGGUUGCCUGCUCAAGGGCAGGUUAUUCCUACUCCCGAGCCUGGUGAGAGUGUUGUCUUCAUGUCUCACUUCCUCCGAGGGCUAGGCUUCGCAACGGAUCCCUUCCUGAGGGGGCUCAAGUUUUAUUAUGGGCUGGAAUUUCACGACCUAGCUCCGGAGUCCAUCCUCCACAUCUCAUCGUUUAUCAUCGUGUGCGAAGCCUUCCUCCAUGUUAAUCCACACUUCAGACUAUGGCUUAAGACCUUUAAAGUAGAGCCGAAGAUGAUCGAGGGAUGGCACUCUGAGUGCGGAGGUGCUGUUAUAAGCAAAAAUGCUGACGCUCCAUGUCCCGAGGGCUCUUUUCAAGAGGAGUUCAACUUAUGGCAACAAGAGUAGUUUUAUAUCACAGCUCCCAGGGGCACCAAGUGGGUGGCACCUCCUGCUCUCCGCUCGGGUCCCCCACCACGACUAGCAUCAUGGGUCAAUAAGGGGCUGGACUAGGGGCCGGCGAAGGACGUCCCCCUGUUGUAGGGCCGCAUCCGAGAUCUCCUCGAAAGGGACAUCUGCCUCGUCAUGGUGACACAGGUUAUGCUAAUUCGCCGAGUUCUGCCCUACAAACGUCGCCCCCUCCGCCUGUGGGAGUUCGAUCCGGAGGGACCGCGAGCUCUCCAACACUUUCUUGGCAUAACGCCCGUGGAGAUGUACAAAUUGUUCUUCGGAUCAUAAGUAAUGUGUCCGGAUGCUACGCAGGACGCAGGACUAAGCUGCAAUCGUCCGGAUACUCAAGUAAGUAGCCCUGUCUCCGGACACACCAUCUGUUCAUUCAUCACAACAUCACGCUUAAAAGAGUUGUCUUUGAAACAUGAGUGGGUAGCGAAGGCGAAGUUAAUCAGGUGUCCGGCCCCCCUUCCUGAGACCUCGCCGAAUCCCGUGUUGACCAGGAUGCUGGAGAUUGUGCCUUUGGAAGAGAAUGAGGAGGGGGACAAGGGAGCUACUGCCUCCUCGAAGGAGUCUGUUGGGAAAGGAGGAAUCAAAAAUUCCUCUACCCAUGGGAAGAAGAGGACCGCCUCUAAUGACCCAGAGACCAUGGUCUCGAAGCAGGGGAAGAAAUCUUCAGCAGAGGGUCCUGCGCCGGGGGAUACCUCGGCCAUACUGUGCCCCCAAGGGAAUUAGCCCUCCACCGAGCCGUAAGUAGAGAGGGGAGUUUGAAAUGAGAGACACCCCUGUUCUAUUCCUGAGGAGAAUAACCGAAAUUUUACCUUGUAGUUCGGAUCUCAGCCCUUCUCAGCAGAGCUCAUCUUCGGGGGAGCUUCUUCCGGAGAUGAUGGAGAGCGGAACGCCUCCCCCUGUCAUACUGCCUCACGAGGCGGGCGACCCUGAGGUGUCGUCACGGAGGGUUUCUCCGAAUCCGGCAGGGCCGGAAGGCAGUCAUAUGGCCCCCCAAAGCCCUCCAUAUCCGGCCUUUGAAAAAGGCCAUCGGACGAGUUCGGCACCAUCCGAUGCACGGCCGGAGGAGUUGAAGGAUCUGCUCGGGCGAGCGUCUAUCUCAAAAGAGCACCGUACGUUGAUGGGUACGGUGAUUGAAAGGAUUUCAUCCACGGAGAGCGGGUUGCACGAGUCCGUCAGGAGUUUACUGACAGGUUUUGAGGUACGCGAAAUCAUGUACCUUUUGACAGUUCCGCAUAUAUAAGAUGCGCCCUAUGUAGAUAGUAGCCCCUGAGACUUUGUGCGUUGUCAAAAGUGACGGCGCGCAGAGGAUCAUAAUCCCAGGUAUAAUAUGUCGCCCUUCCUAUGUAGGUGGCGAAGUGUCCGGUGGCUAGCCGGACUGAUGAAUUUGCCGAACUAAAGCGGCAACUUGACGUGGUAGAUGCCGACAUCGCGCUUGUCAACAAGCGGCUUGACGAGGCACAGGGUAUGUAAUUUCUCCGGAGACACCUGGUAAGAGAAGCUUGAUGCCCGUAUCUUACAUCAUGUGUGCUUGAUGCAGAUGGUGCCGCUGCCAUGGAGAACCUUCGGGCGGAACUUGCCCGGGCCAAGGAGCAGGCCAGGAAAAGCGAUGCUGCUGCCUUAAAGGCGGUUGAAGAGCUGAAAGCCGAACAGGCUGCCCAUUGCCAAAGCAGAAAGGAAAUGGCCGAGAUGGCUGUAAAGUUGAAGAGCACUGCCGACCGCUGCAAGCUUCUUGAGAAAGAAGAUCAGGAGGAACAGACGGACCUAGAGAAGGCCACUACAGAAGCCAAGGAUGCUCGCUCUGCAAUGAGAGCUAUGAAGGAGGAGCUACGUCAGGCCGGAGAUAUCGCGGCUGGAAAGCCCUUUAUGCUGCGGAUGAUGUUCGGGGAUCCUAAAUAUGCUCCGUUGGACCGGUUAUGGAGUACGACGGACCCUUAUCUGGAUUUGGCGGCGAGUGUCGCGGACGCGGCCAAACACUUCCGAGAUCAAAAGGAUCGCGAAGUGGAAAAGCUCUUCUGGUCGCACUUCCACAAUCCGGAGCGUCCACUUCCAUUAACCGAUCAUUUAGCCGAAUGGGCCGAGCUGAAUAGGUUAUCCGAACUCGCCAUGAAGUAUGUCGUGAGUCAUCUGUGGCCAGAAAGGCCUGAGCCAAAAAGUUAUUUUAGCUUGGUGCAGCAGUUCCUUGGUGCGGUGCCGCAUAUCAAUGCAAUGAAGAGGUCAGCAUGCAUAGAGGGUGCGCGGAUGGCUCUUGCCCGUGUCAAAACAUACUAGGCGGAGAUGAAGGCCACUGCUAUUGCAUCCCACGACUCGGACGGGAGCCGAGUACCUGCCAAGCACUAUUUUCAGAAAGUUCUGCAGGGCGCUCGUUUAAUAGAGACGCGGUGCUCGAAGGAUAUUAUGUUCGAAUAACAUGUAUUAUUGUAAAACAAUGUUUUGAUCAAAUAUAAAAGCUUUUGAUACUUGUGCCUUCAAGAAUUCAAAACACCUCCUGUGCGGCCGUUAAUGUAUAUGUGUAUAUAACCUGAAAGAUGGCAGUCUUUGGCUUCAGCCCCCACGCAUAUAAUGCGGGGGUGUUCGCAGAAGGCGCAUUUUCACAGUUGAUCCAACGUCUUAGUCCCAUUAAGGAGGUGAUAGCGCAGCAAACUAAUCAACCAGACUAUAAUGCUUUAUCACUUUCACUUAGCCAUAGGAGUUUGCCAGUGGGGCUACUAUAUAGCCCCUGGGGGCACCGCGCUCACCCGAAUUCGGGGCGCGUGUGUGCCUGGCCGGGAAAUGACCCUUCGUUAAUACGAAGGAAUCCUAAAGAUUUCGGCGGGUCAUCGAGUGGUUGACCAGUCUCACGCUAUAUCAUGACAGUCAGUUUUCGGCUUUCUCUACUGAGGUGCUCGCGUGGCUGAACCGGGGCACAAUCGCAGUAGUUCUCCUUGUGUCACCUUAGCCGAUAGAGCGGAAUGUAAGGCAGCAAAACACAGGAGCCGGGCAAACCCAACAUUUUACCAAAGACAUGAUUCGGAGCUGAUGCAUAUAAGUCCAAACUCGCGACGUCGAACACUCCCUAAGGUAUUCGGUCUUUUAUGAAAACGGGCGGAACAGCGCCCUUGGUAAUAAGCCCCUGGUGUCCAGGUACGUGCAAAAUUCUAACGUGGCCACAUGCCAAGACGCCAGCCUCCUCCUCGGCUAUACUGAGAAUCCGGGGGACGUGUAUCAACAAGAGACAGUAAAAAAGGUUUACGCAGGGUCUUAAUCUAAAAAGAAUCCUUCGAACGGGUCCCUGCUGCAUGUCUGCGCCUGUGUCUCCGUUGUGCCGUAUCCUGGACGGGUGUAGCACGGUGUUCAUCUGUAGAAGAGAAGAACUUAGUUGAAAAAGGGUCGUGCAAAAUGUACGUUAUACUAAAUAAACAAAGUAUAAUUCAAAAAAUGAGUAAAACUGAGCCUUAUUGUCUCUUGUUUUGCAUGCGGGGAGCCCCUUGUAAGGGGGUGUACGGCUAUUAAGCCUUUAUUAAUUGUAUGUUUAUGUCAGACUCGUCGAGCCGCGUCCGUGGUCUUGACGACCUAUUUAGGUGCUUUGAUUGGCGAAGCCGUUUUAGUGUGUGGCUGUCAAGGCAGCCGCACAGUCUUCCGCGCGGGGGGAACACUCAAUGUUUCCCUUUAGUCAUAUGAUGCCUCGUGAACUGGGCAUCUUAAGCGUAAGAGAUGCAUAAUGCGGUAUUGCAUUAAAGCGGGCGAAGGCCUCUCGUCCCAGGAGUGCUUGAUAGCUACUUGAAAAAGGGGCGAUGUGGAAGGUUAGCUUUUCGCGGCGGAAGUUAUCAAGGGAGCCGAACAUAACUUCUAGCCGGAGAGAACCCCUGCAAUGGGCAUCCGUGCCUAGCGUUACUCCUUGAAAGGAAGUGUUGCUAUGGCAAAUUUUUGUUGGGUCUAUCCCCAUUUUGCGGAUUGUGUCCUGAUAUAGCAGGUUUAGACCACUGCCGCCGUCCAUCAGGACAUGUGUAAAGUGGAGUCCGUCUAUUAUCUGAUCUAAUAUCAAGGCAGUCCAGCCUGCGUUCCCGAUACUUGUAGAGUAAUCCUGAUGGUCGAAGGUGAUCGGUUUUGACAACCAGUGGCGAGACUCCUUUGGGAUGGGCCGUAUGGCGCAUAUCUCUAUAGGCACCACUCCUUUUGUCACGUGAAGUAAGUUUACUGUUUUGACUUCUUGUGGGAAAUUCUUUUGUUUCUCGGUGCUCUGCUUUUGGGGUUCGUCAUCGUCCUCACUUGGUGUGUCGAGCCCCUUGUGUUCAGUGUUGAGUUGGCCGGAUUGCUUGAAGACCCAACAUUCUCUAUGGGUAUGGUUUGCAGGCUUCCCGGGGGUGCUGUGGAUUUGACAUAUCUUAUCCAAGAUUUUGUUUAGGUUAGAUAGCUCGUCCCUGUUAUCCUUGAGGGGCAGCUUUUUCUGAUUCUACCGAGAGCUUUUGAAUCCGACGUUGACUAUCGUGCUCUUCGAGCUGCUUUCCUUAUUACGGCGUUGUUCCUUGUUGCGUCGCAGUUUCCCGUUUCCAUCGCUGACUUCGGAUGUACUUGGGUCGCUGGUGCCAACCAGCUGUCCUCUCCCGUGCAAAAGCGGGUCAUGAGUCUUGUUAAUGCGUUCAUUGUUCUUGGCUUUUCCUGGCCGAGGUGUCUGGCGAGCCAUUCAUCUCGAACGCUGUGUUUGAAAGCUGCUAAGGCUUCGACGUCCGGACAGUCGACUAUCUGGUUCUUUUUAGUAAGAAAUCUGUUCUAGAGUUUCCGGGCUGACUCUCCGGGCUGUUGAGUUAUAUGGCUUAAAUCGUCUGCAUCCGGAGGUCGGACAUAGGUCCCUUGAAAAUUUUCUCGAAAAGCAUCCUCGUUCUCUUCCCAACUUCCAAUGGUGUUUUCGGGAAGGCUUUUAAGCCAAUGCCGGGCUGGCCCUUUGAGCUUGAGGGGCAAGUAUUUUAUGUCGUGGAGGUCGUCUCCUCUGGCCUUGUGUAUGUGGAGGAUAUAAUCCUCAAUCCAGACUCCAGGGUAUGUUGUUCCGUCGUACGCCUCUAUGUUUACGGGCUUGAAUCCCGCUGGAAAUUCAUGGUCUAGCACCUCAUCGAUGAAACAUAGGGGGUGUGCGGCACCCCUAUACUUGGGUGUGCCGUGUUGUUCAGAUAUUUGUUGUGCUGCAUUGCUUACUAGAGCUUGCUUUCUUGGCCCGUAGAUAGAUCUGGCUGGGCCGUCUUUGUGAUGCGAAUCCUUGGGUGGAUCACGUGUUGAUUUGUGUGCGGCGCCAUAUGCCGUUCUAUGUUGGCCAUGGGGUCAUUUAUCCGACCGGGUGGCUUCCUUAUUUUUUUGAUUUUUGGGUCUCUAGGGCCUCCUCAUCAAAUUCGGGCAGUAGCUUUUGCUUUGGGUAGCUCUUUGUGUGGCGACUAUCGCCGUAUUUGUCUGCGGUGUUGAGUACUUUUCUCCAUCUAGUUCUGAGUGCAUCUUCCGCUGUUUUGAGCUUCCACUUCUGCUUUUUCAGGCUAGGUGCAGUGGUGACGAGUCUUUUGUGUUUGUUCUUCUACUCCAGCAAUUUGUCCGGCGUGAGGUCGUCCGGACUGUUAUCUCCACCGGUGACAGGUUGUUCGGUUUGUUUAUCCAAGUUGCUCUGUUCGGACGGUUGCUCGAUGGCAUGUUCGUCGUCCACCAGUUCGCCCUGCUCUAUGGCCGGGUCUGUAUGGCUGCUGUCUCUGUCGAGGCGGGGCUUGGAGCGGCGCUUACGUCGCCGCUUUGACUGCUUUUCGAGGGAACGAUCCCUCGUUGUGUCCCUUUGUUCCUCGUUGUUUCUUCCUUUAGGUGUGUCCACCAUGGAUACAUCGUGAGAUGAGGUGGUUGUCCAGUGCCCUAUAGGCGCUGGUUCCUGUUCGUCUCCUACAUCGUCGUCCAUACCGUCGAUGUCUUCGGAGUCAAAGUCCAGCAUGUCGGUUAAAUCAUCGACAGUGGCUAUGAAUUGGGUGGUGGGUGGGCGUCGAAUUUCUUCGUCGUCCACAUCCCAAUCCUGUUGGCCAUAAUCCGGCCAGGGCUCUCCUGACAAAGAGAGAGACUUUAUUGAAUUUAGAAUAUCGCCAAAGGGCGAGUGCUGAAAAAUAUCAGCGGCGGUGAAUUCCAUGAUCGGCGCCCAAACGGGUUAGAUUGGCAAGGGCGCGGAGGGCUCGGAGUCCGGAGAGGAGUCCGGCACCUUGGAGUCACGGGCUUUGCAGAGGAUAAGACUGGUGUUCGGCUCGAUCGCCGUAUAGAUUGCAGCCCCCGAGGCGGUGUCCAGCCAGCCGUCCUCGAUUGGCGCAGUCGGCUCCAAACUAAGGGUCGGAGAGGAUACGGGUGCGUCCUCCAGGGCACUGUUUGGCGGCAGAGCUAGAUCAUGCCCCUCGUGAUAGUGCGGCGCGCUCGGCUGUGCCUCAAAUCCGUCGAAGAUCAAGUCCCUCUGGAUAUUAGCCGCAUAGUUCAAACUUCCAAAUCUGACCUGAUGGCUAGGGGCGUAGCUUUCGAUCUGCUCCAGAUGGCCAAGCGAGUUGGCCCGUAGUGCGAAGUUGCCGAAUACGAAGAUCUAUCCGGGGAGAAAAGUCUCACCCUGGACCGCAUCGUUGUUGAUGAUCGGAGGAGCCAUCGGGCCUAAAAGUGAUGACACGGAGGAACUCUCAGUGAAAGCACCAAUGUCGGUGUCAAAACCGGCGGAUCUCAGGUAGGGGGUCCUGAACUGUGUGUCUAGUCGGAUGGUAACAGGAGACAAGGGACACGAUGUUUUUACCCAGGUUCGGGCCCUCUCGAUGGAGGUAAAACCUUACUCCUGCUUGAUUAAUAUUGAUGAUAGGGGUAGUACAAGAGUAGGUCUACCACGAGAUCAGAGAGGCUAAACCCUAGAAGCUAGCCUAUGGUAUGAUUGUUGUUCGUCCUAUGGACUAAAACCUUCCGGUUUAUAUAGACACCGGAGAGGGUUAGGGUCACACAGAGUCGGUUACAAUGGGAGGAGAUCUACAUAUCCGUAUCGCCAACUUUGCCUUCCACGCCAAGGAAAGUCCUAUCCGGACACGGGACGAAGUCUUCAAUCUUGUAUCUUCAUAGUCCAAGAGUCCGACCAAAGGUUAUAGUCCGGCUAUCUGAACACCCCCUAAUCCAGGACUCCCUUAGUGACCCCGUAUGUUGAUGAACACAAGAACAGUCUACGCUCCAAACACCUGGAGCAGUGUGACGACUGGAUUACAUGUGAACACAUCAGGACUUUCAGCACUUGGUUGGAAACACGUCUCAGAGGUGAAACCACUGUUUGUGAUGAGUUGUACUCGUUGUCCACGGGACCAUCUUCGACUGUAUUGAGUUACAAAGGAUACGAGAUAAAUGGGAAUACAUUUUACACAAUCGCCCAAGAUCAAAAGAGCACCAACCAAAAGAGCAGUGCCCGCUUUGAUGCAGUAACCGAGAGGGGAAAGGUCACAUCUUAUGGUUACAUAAUGGACAUAUGGGAACUUGACUACAGACAUGAUUUUAUGGUCCCUUUGUUUAAGUGCAAAUGGGUUAAUCUAUCAGGAGGCGGGGUACAGGUAGACCCACAGUACAGAAUGACAACAGCGGAUCUGAACAAUCUUGGGUACACUGACGAACCGUUCGUCCUAACCAAUGAUGUGGCACAGGUUAUAUAUGUGAAGGACAUGUCUACCAAACCGAGAAAAAGAAAAGAUAAGGAAGUGAAUACAUCAUACGAUGAGCCAAAGCGCCACAUAGUUCUUUCAGGAAAAAGGGACAUUGUGGGAGUGGAGGGCAAGACAGACAUGUCUAAAGAUUAUGAAAAGUUUCAUGAAAUUCCUCCCUUCAAUGUCAAGGCUGACCCAAGCAUCCUGAUAAACGAUGAAAAUUAUCCAUGGUUACGGCGCAAUAAGCAAAGCACACAAGCGAAAAAAAAGUGAAGACUUUCUCUCCACAACUAUUAUGAUGAUACCAUGCCAACUUUCAACCUUUUCAUACUUCAUAUGAAAUGGCUGUUGUAACAGACGAGUUUCUGUAAGAAAUCCUGAUACUUUGAAACAGAUUGUCCGUUUUGUACACGAAGUGCAUCUAGUUUUUGCCGUAACCCUCUCUAGUUUUUGCAUAUGCUAUGUGGGUGAAAUGAUGAUACCAUGCCAACUUUCAACCUUUCCAGAGUUCAUUUGUAGUGCUUUUCAAUUUCAUGGUCUCAUGAAAUAAUCCAUAAAUGCAUGGAAAAUAACAAAUAUCAUAAAAAUAAAUAAAUAAGUAAUUAGAAACAGAAUAAACUAAACUUUAAUAAAAUAUAUAAGUAGAAACAAAAUAAGAUAAACUUUAAUAACAUAAAUAAAAUUUAUGAAACUAAAAUUAUCAACGUAUUUUCUGUUCAAAACAUUAUAAGCAACCUCUAGUAUUACUGAAACUAAAAUUAUAUAAAAUUGAUGCAACUAAAAUUAUCAAAGUUUUUUCUGUUUAAAAUCAUUAAAAGCAAAAAGAAUUUUCAUAAAUAACUUUUUUUGUUAGAAACUUUAAUAGCAAAAAGAAUUAUCAUAAAAUAAAAUAAAUAAGUAAUUAGAAACAAAAUAAAAAAAUAAAUAAGUAUUUUGUUGUAAGUAGAAACAAAAUGAAUAAAUAAAGCAAAAAAGAAAAGAACUAAACUAGGAAAAAAUAAAAAAAUGCCACCUACUGGGCCACCAUGGCCUGAAUACGACUAGAAACCAACCCAUGGGCAAGGAUUCAUGCCCGUAGAAGGCCAAAUAGGACCACAGGCAGAUACAAUGUGUUUAGGCCCGAAAGCCUGCAUUUGAGAGGAGCUCGAGAGGGCAGCGGGAGUGGGGCUUAUAAACCACUCUCGAGCUCCCUCAGCUAGCGAGGUGGGACAAAACUUUCGUGCUGCGAUGCGGGCAGCACAAGGCCUUUAGUCCUGGUUGGUGCCACCAACCAGUACUAAAGGCGUACAUUGGUACCCGUUCAUGCCAACAACCGGUACCAAUGCGCACCCUUUAGUCCCGGUUUGUGGCUCCAACCCGGACCAAAGGCCUCUACUUCCCGCCCUUUGGGCUGCUGAAAAGCGACCUUUGGUCUCGGUUGGUGGCUCCAACCGAGACUAAAGGGGUGCUUUGGUCCCGGUUGCUGCCACGAACCGAUGCUACCUCUUGAGCACUGCGUUGGUUUUUCCAUGAAGAGGAAAGGGUGAUGCAGCAAAGUAGCAUAAGUAUUUCUCUUAGUUUUUGAGAACCAAGGUAUCAAUCCAGUAGGAGGCUACGCGCGAGUCCCUCGUACCUACACAAAACAAAUAAAUCCUCGCAACCAACGCGAUAAGGGGUUGUCAAUCCCUACACGGUCACUUACGAGAGUGAGAUUUGAUAGAUAUGAUAGGAUACUAUUUUUGGUAUUUUUUUGAUAAAGAUGCAAAGUAAAAUAAAAGCAAAGUAAAAAAGCAAAGUAAAUAACUAAGUGUUGGAAGAUUAAUAUGAUGAAGAUAGACCCGGGGGCCAUAGGUUUCACUAGUGGCUUCUCUCAAGAGCAUAAUUAUUUUACGGUGGGUGAACAAAUUAUUGUUGAGCAAUUGACAGAAUUGAGCAUAGUUAUGAGAAUUUCUAGGUAUGAUCAUAUAUAUAGGCAUCACGUCCGAGACAAGUAGACCGACACUGGUAGAAAAAGGUCCUGUUGUCCCGGUUCGUAAGGGCCUUUUGUCCCGGUUUUGGAACCAGGACUAAAGGGUCGGUACUAAUGCCCUGUCCCUUUAGUCCCGGUUCAAUCCAGAACCAGGACAGAUGGGCCUCCACAUGGCCUGUGCGCGGAGCCUAGGCAGGAGACCCUUUGGUCCCGGUUGGUGGCACCAACCGGGACCAAUAGGCAUCCACACGUCAGCAUUUCUAUGGCUGGGGUUUUUGUUUUUUUUGAAAGGGGGGGGGUUGGGGGUUUUGGGGGGUUAAUUUAGGUGUUUCAUAUAUUGUGUUAGCUAGCUAUAAUUAGUAGAGAGAAGUGUCCUCUCUUAUGUCCGUGCUUGGUCGACGCUACGUACUAUACAUCCGUAUAGAGAGGACUAGACACGCUAGCUAGCUAGUAAGCAAACGAAGGAAACAGAAGAUCGUCAUGAACAUAUAUGCAUACAGAGAGAAGUGAUAUCGACCACCUCUCCUUCUCUGAGAGAUUGGUCGAACAACAAGUUCUCGUAUAUCUAUCUGACACUACCGGCUACAUAUAUACAAUAAUUAUCUCUUACAGAUAUAAUCAUACGGACUCAGGGUCCACAUAGUAUUCACCGUCUUCAGCGAUCACGUGGUCAAGAAAGAAUGCUGCCAAUUCCUCUUGAAUUGCUCGCAUGCGAGCUGAUUCUAGGAGUUCAUCCCGCUUCCGAAACAUCUAAUUUAAAGAAGGGGGUCAAUACAUAUAUAUAUGAAUGAAUGAAACUCAACACGAAUGAUGGUAAUAAAAUAAAAUUGUGAAUGUUGUUAUUUACGUACUUCAUAUUGUUCGUCAGUGUAGCCCCGCUCACAGGUCGUGUGGCGGAUGGACUCGCAAAUGUAGUAUCCACAGAAAUCAUUCCCUUGUUCCUGCCACAACCACUUUACAAGAAAUAGAGGUCAAUCAAACUGAUAAGCAAGAAUGCCAAAUGGUAUUUAUGAAACUAGCACUUGAAUCACUAGUAGAUGCGCGGAACAUGCUACUAUAGUACUUACUUUCGGGUGUCUAAAUUGCAGCUCCUUCGGCAGUCCCGGAGCUUUUCUGGUGAAUUUUCUCCAAACCCUGCUGGACAAAGAAAACAAUUACUUGAUAUAUCAGGAAAUGAACAAAGUUGCUGAUAUGGUGGAUAAUGAUCGAUUUAACUUACUUCUCGAGUAUUUGAGUCAUGUCUGCAUAGUCCUGGGGAUCUUUUCGUCUUGAGUCUAAGACGGUUACUAGUCCCUGCUCAAGCUUAAUCUCUAGGAGAAUAUAGUGGAAACUGCACACGCAUGCAUAACUCAUCAAUUACAUUACUAUAACCUUGACUAAUAUAUAAGGGAAACCGAAUACGCACAAGACAGUAACACUCACUUGAAGUUGUAAGGAAAGAGUGUUAUAUCUUUGUUUUCCUUUAUUACCAACGAUCGUAACAAGUUGGCCUCGGUAGCUGCGGCAUGAAAUUUAACUUGAGUUGCAUCUAUGAGAUAUGUGUUAAUGAACCCAAUAUCACUGACUUGUCUUUUCUUCAAUUCGGCGAUCUUCAAUCUGCAUAAUAUAGUGAGGAUGAUUAUAAAUACAUGCAAUGAAAGAGCUGAGCUAUAUAGAGAGACUUAAUGACAGAAGUAGUACUACUUACAGACAGUAGCAGGCGACCGUUGGUUUAUCGAGGGCCAAUUGAUUUAAAAACUGAAAGAACUCCUCAAAUGGAACAGGCAACAGUUCAAUUUCAACGAGGUCAUGCUCCUUUUUAACUUUCACAUACAAAGUACUCCUCCCCCCAGAGUCUCUGCAGAUUUUCAAGUACCAAUCAUACAAUCUUCGCAUCAUCGUUCAUAGAGAUCUUUCAUCUUUGACGAGAGGCUUCCCGUACUCGUAUCUUUGUAUCUGCACCUCCAUGAAAUCAUAAUGUACAUCGUCGGGCAGGUAAUCGCCAAGAUUUCUAUAACCGGGCACCAUCCUCGGAUCAUUAGCGACAUUGUCGCUAGGCACCUUGAGCGGGGGGCACGAUUGAUUCGCUUGUUCGCCGAGCUGGGCAAUUUGUUUCCCAGCUCGUCGUUCUUUCAGCCUUUGAUCACUGACAGUACUUCCCGACCGCUCCGCUUUGGCAAAUUCCUUUCCAAUAAUGCGCUCAUAGUUUCCUUUUGGCGGAGACUUGGGUGGUUUUGUCAGGGCAGCCAGAGUGCGCUUCGCUUUCACCUCCUCCGGAGGUGGAUGUUUCUUUGCUUUCACCCCUUCAAAGUAGUUCCUCACUUCUUCUCGUGCGAUCUCGGCGUUCUCCUCUAGGGUCCUCUCGUAUGGUAACUUCUGUGGAGUCUUCAGAGAAGGACCAAAUCUGUAUUUCCUCCCGCCACUUGCUGUACUGCUAGACGCCGGCCGAGCAGACGGAGCGGUUGUCUUCUUUACUUGCUUAUAAGGCAGAGCAGAAGGACUACGAUGCGCCGGAGCAGCCGGAGCGGCGACAGGUCUCUUCCGCCCUUGCUGACGAGGCGGAGAAGGAGGAGGCUGGCUGCUCGGGCGCGUCGGUGCAGGCAGAGAAGGAGGCGGAGUGCUGCCACGCGGUGGAGAAGGAGCCGGUUGAGUGCCCUGAUCGUCACUCGCCGGAGGAGGAGGCGGUGGAGGAGGCGGAGUGCCCUGACUCGCCGGAGGAGGAGGCGGUGGAGGAGGCGGAGUGCCCUGUCUUGCCGGAGGAGGAGGAGGCAGAGGCGUCCAGUUUGGAAGGUUGAUGAGCUCCUUCCGCCAUAGGCAUGGAGUCUUCAGCGCAGACCCCAGCCUAGUCUCCCCUUCACCGGUAGGGUGGUUAAGCCGGAGGUCCUCAAAAUAGUUGCGGGAGAAAGUCUUCACUUUUUCUUCGCUUGUGUCAUUUGCUUAUUGCGCCGUAACCAUGGAUAAUCUUCAUUGUUUAUCAGGAUGCUUGGGUCAGCCUUGACAUUGAAGGGAGGAAUUUCAUGAAACUUUUCAUAAUCUUCAGACAUGUCUGUCUUGCCGUCCACUCACAGGAUGUCCCUUUUUCCUGAAAGAACUAUGUGGCGCUCUGGCUCAUCGUAUGAUGUAUUCGCUUCUUAUCUUUUCUUUUUCUCGGUUUGGUAGACAUGUCCUUCACAUAGAUAACAUGUGCCACAUCAUUGUCUAGGACGAACGGUUCGUCAGUGUACCCAAGAUUUUUCAGAUCCACUGUUGUCAUUCCGUACUGUGGGUCUACCUGUACCCUGCCGCCUAACAGAUUGACCCAUUUGCACUUAAACAAAGGGACCUUAAAAUCAGGUCCGUAGUCAAGUUCCCAUAUGUCCACUAUGUAACCAUAAUAUGUGUCCUUUCCGCUCUCGGUUGCUGCAUCAAAGCGGACACCGCUGUUUUGGUUGGUGCUCUUUUGAUCUUGGGCAAUCGUGUAAAAUGUAUUCCCAUUUAUCUCGUAUCCUUUGUAAGUCAAUACAGUCAAAGAUGGUCCCCUGGACAACAAGUACAACUCAUCAUAAACAAUGUUGUCACCUCUGAGACGUGUUUCCAACCAACUGCUGAAAGUCCUGAUGUGUUCACAUGUAAUCCAGUCGUCGCACUGCUCCAGGUGUUUGGAGCGCAGACUAUUCUUGUGUUCAUCGACAUACGGGGUCACCAAGGUAGAGUUCUGUAGAACUGUGUAGUUUGCUUGAGACCAAGAAUAUCCGUCCCUGCAUAUUAUUGAGUCUCUUCCAAGAGUGCCUUUUCCAGUCAGUCUCCCCUCAUAUGGCGAUUUAGGGAGACCUAUCUUCUUAAGGCCAGGAAUGAAGUCAACACAAAACCCGAUAACAUCCUUUGUUUGAUGGCCCAUGGAGAUGCUUCCUUCUAGCCUAGCGCGGUUACAGACAUAUUUCUUUAGGACUCCCAUGAACCUCUCAAAGGGGAACAUAUUUUGUAGAAAUACGGGCCCCAGGAUGACAAUCUCAUCGACUAGAUGAACUAGGACGUGCGUCAUGAUAUUGAAGAAGGAUGGUGGGAACACCAGCUCGAAACUGACAAGAUAUUGCGCCACAUCACUCCUUAGCCUUGGUACGAUUUCUGGAUCGAUCACCUUCUGAGAGAUUGCAUUGAGGAAUGCACAUAGCUUCACAAUGGCUAAUCGGACGCUUUCCGGUAGAAGCCCCCUCAAUGCAACCGGAAGCAGUUGCGUCAUAAUCACGUGGCAGUCAUGAGACUUUAGGUUCUGAAACUUUUUCUCUGGCAUAUUUAUUAUUCCCAUUAUAUUCGACGAGAAGCCAGUCGUGACCUUCAUACUGAGCAGGCAUUCAAAAAAGAUUUCUUUCUCUUCUUUCAUAAGAGUGUAGCUGGCAGGACCUUUAUACUGCUUCGGAGGCAUGCCGUCUUUUUCGUGCAAACGUUGAAGGUCCUCCCGUGCCUCAGGUGUAUCUUUUGUCUUCCCAUACACGCCCAAGAAGCCUAGCAGGUUCACGCAAAGGUUCUUCGUCACGUGCAUCACGUCGAUUGAGGAGUGGACCUCUAGGUCUUUCCAGUAGGGUAGGUCCCAAAAUAUAGAUUUCUUCUUCCACAUGGGUGCGUGUCCCUCAGCGUCAUUCGGAACAGCUAGUCCACCGGGACCCUUUCCAAAGAUUACGUAGUGUAAAUCAUUGACCAUAGCAAGCACGUGAUCACCGGUGCGCACUGCGGGCUUCUUCCGGUGAUCUGCCUUGCCUUUGAAAUGCUUGCCUUUCUUUCGACAUUGAUGGUUGGUCAGAAGAAAUCGACGAUGGCCCAGGUACACAUUCUUCCUGCAUUUGUCCAGGUAUAUACUUUCAGUGUCAUCUAAACAGUGCGUGCAUGCGUGGUAUCCUUUGUUUGUCUGUCCUGAAAGGUUACUGAGAGCGGGCCAAUCGUUGAUGGUCACGAACAUCAACGCCUUAAGGUUAAAUUCCUCAUGUCUGUGCUCAUCCCACGUAUGUACACCGUUUCCAUUCCACAGCUAUAAAAGUUCUUGAACUAAUGGCCUUAGGUACACAUCAAUUUCGUUGUCGGGUUGCUUAGGGCCUUCGAUGAGAACUGGCAUCAUAAUGAACUUCCGCUUCAUGCACAUCCAAGGAGGAAGGAUAUACAUACAUAGAGUCACGGGCCAGGUGCUGUGAUUGCUGCUCUGCUCCCCGAAAGGAUCAAUGCCAUCCGCGCUUAAAGCAAACCAUACAUUCCUUGGGUCAUUUGCAAACUCAUCCCAGUACUUUCUCUCGAUUUUUCUCCACUGCGACCCAUCAGCGGGUGCUCUCAACUUCCCAUCUUUCUUUCGGUUCUCACUGUGCCAUCGCAUCAACUUGACAUGCUCUUCAUUUCUGAACAGACGUUUCAACCGUGGUAUUAUAGGAGCAUACCACAUCACCUUCGCAGGAACCCUCUUCUUGGGGGGCUCGCCGUCAACAUCACCAGGGUCAUCUCGUAUGAUCUUAUACCGCAAUGCACCGCAUACCGGGCAUGUGUUCAGAUCCUUGUAUGCACCGCGGUAGAGGAUGCAGUCAUUAGGGCAUGCAUGUAUCUUCUCCACCUCCAAUCCUAGAGGGCAUACGAUCUUCUUUGUUGCGUAUGUACUGUCAGGUAAUUCGUUAUCCUUUGGAAGCUUCUUCUUCAAUAUUUUCAGUAGCUUCUCAAAUCCUUUGUCAGCCACAGCAUUCUCUGCCUUCCACUGCAGCAAUUCCAGUACGGUGCCGAGCUUUGUGUUGCCAUCUUCGCAAUUGGGGUAUAACCCUUUUUUGUGAUCCUCUAACAUGCGAUCGUACUUCAGCUUCUCCUUUUGACUUUCGCAUUGCAUCCUUGCAUCGACAAUGACCCGGCGGAGAUCAUCAUCAUCGGGCACAUCGUCUGGUUCCUCUUGAUCUUCAGCAGCUUCACCCAUUGCAGCAUCAUUGGGCACAUCGUCUGGUUCCUCUUGAUCUUCACCAGCUCCCCCCGUUGCAGCAUCACCGUAUUCAGGGGGCAGAUAGUUGUCAUCGUACUCUUCUUCUUCGUCGUCUUCCAUCAUAACCCCUAUUUCUCCGUGCCUCGUCCAAACAUUAUAGUGUGGCAUGAAACCCUUGUAAAGCAGGUGGGAGUGAAGGAUUUUCCGGUUAGAGUAAGACCUCGUAUUCCCACAUUCAGUGCAUGGACAACACAUAAAACCAUUCUGCUUGUUUGCCUCAGCCGCAUCGAGAAACUCAUGCACGCCCUUAAUGUACUCGCGGGUGUGUCUGUCACCAUACAUCCAUUGCCGGUUCAUCUGCGUGCAUUAUAUAUAAUUAAGUGUCCAAAUUAAUAGAAGUUCAUCAUCACAUUAAAACCAAAGUGCAUACAUAGUUCUCAUCUAACAACAUAUAACUCUCCAGAGCAUCUAAUUAAUUAAACCAUACAUUGAAACUAUGUAAAACAUUUCAAUGCGAAAACAAAUGCGAUCAUAAUCGCAACCAAGGUAACAAUUGAUCCAACGGCAUAAUGAUACCAAGCCUCGGUAUGAAUGGCAUAUUUUCUAAUCUUUCUAAUCUUCAAGCGCAUUGCAUCCAUCUUGAUCUUGUGAUCAUCGACGACGUCCGCAACAUGCAACUCCAAUAUCAUCUUCUCCUCCUCAAUUUUUUUUAUUUUUUCCUUCAACAAAUUGUUUUCUUCUUCAACUAAAUUUAACCUCUCAACAUAGGGUCGGUUGGCAUUUCCGAGUCACAUACAUCCUACAUAAAAAAAAUCUAUGUCACGUUGGUCGGCAUAAUUUUCAUAAACAAUAAAUGAACCAAUAGUUAUAAAGAUAAUAUAUAUACCACAUCCGAAUCAUAGACAGGACAAGGGCCGACGGGGGUGGAUACCAAAACCAUCGCUAUAUAUAAGAUGCAAUAAUAAAAGUAAGAAAAUAAUACAAGUAUCUAUGUAAACAUACAAGUAAGAAUAUUUUUCCUUUCAGAAAGAAGAUAAGAACAAGAGGCUCACCACGGUGGUGCCGGCGAUGAGCUCGGUGCGGGUGAUCAACGGCGGUGAAGACGGGGACGGGGCGUGACGGACCGCUAAACCUAGACAAAUAUUAUGGAAAAUGGAGCUUGGAGGUCGAGCUUGGAGAGGAGAAAGCUUAAGUAGUGUGGCUCGGGCAUUCCAUCGAACACCUUGUGUGCAUAGGAGGUGAGCUAGAGCACCACCAAGCCCUCUCCCCCUCGGCCAGAGAAAAACAGAGCACUGGGGUGCUCUGCUCGCGAGCGAGGGGUAUAUAUAGGCACCUCAUUGGUCCCGGUUGGUGACUUGAGCCGGCACUAAAGGGGAGCCUUUGGUCCCGGUUCAAGCCACCAACCGGGACCAAUGGUGGUGGGCCAGGAGCAAGGCCCAUUGGUCCCGGUUCAUCCCACCAACCGGGACCAAAAGGUCCAGAUGAACCGGGACCAAUGGCCCACGUGGCCCGGCCGGCCCCCUGGGCUCACGAACCGGGACCAAUGCCCACAUUGGUCCCGGUUCUGGACUGAACCGGGACUAAUGGGCUGACCCGGCCUGGACCAAAGCCCUGUUUUCUACUAGUGCGACUCCUGCCUGCAUCUACUACUAUUACUCCACUCAUCGACCGCUAUCCAGCAUGCAUCUAGAGUAUUAAGUUCAUAAAAACAGAGUAACGCCUUAAGCAGAUGACAUGAUGUAGAGGGAUAAAUUCAUGCAAUAUGAUAAAAAAACCAUCUUGUUAUCCUCGAUGGCAACAACACAAUACGUGCCUUGCUGCCCCUACUGUCACUGGGAAAGGACACCGCAAGAUUGAACCCAAAGCUAAGCACUUCUCCCAUUGCAAGAAAGAUCAAUCUAGUAGGCCAAACCAAACUGAUAAUUCGAAGAGACUUGCAAAGAUAACCAAUCAUACAUAAAAUAAUUCAGAGAAGAUUCAAAUAUUGUUCAUAGAUAAACUUGAUCAUAAACCCAGAAUUCAUCGAUCUCAACAAACACACCGCAAAAGGAAGAUUGCAUCGAAUAGAUCUCCAUGAGAGAGGGGGAGAAGAUUGUAUUGAGAUCCAAAAAGAGAGAAGAAUCCAUCUAGGUAAUAACUAUGGACCCGAAGGUCUGAGGUAACUACUCACACUUCAUCGGAGGGGCUAUGGUGAUGAUGUAGAAGCCCUCCGUGAUCGAUGCCCCCUCCGGCGGAGCUCCGGAACAGGCCCAGGAUGAGAUCUCGUGGGUACAGAAGGUUGCGGCGGUGGAAUUAGGGUUUUGGCUCCGUUUGAUAUUCUUUUUCUGCGAAACUCUGAAAUAGGCAAAAAACAAUGAUUCUGGGCUGGGCCCCUGGUUAAUAGGUUAGUCCCAAAAAUAAUAUAAAAGUGAAUAAUAAAGCCCAAUAAUGUCCAAAACAGUAGAUAAUAUAGCAUGGAGCAAUAAAAUAUUAAAGAUACGUUGGAGACGUAUCAACCCCGCGUCGGUCAUCGCCCCGGUCCGCGCCGCCCCGCAUCGUCACCGCCCCAGUCCGCGCCAUCGCCGACGCCGCCCCCAGUGAGCCCCAGCCCCCGCGCCCCUGCCUUGCCCCCCGUCACCACCGCCGCCGCCAUGGCCACCAUAAAAAAUAUAUGAUUAGAUGGUUUUUUUCAUAGAUGUGAUUUUUUUUGUUCAUAUAUCAUAUGAUGUUUUUAUAUUGUUCAUAGAUGAUCGAUCAUAUUUGUUCAUAUGUAUGCAAGCGAAGUCGUUGUAGUUAGUUGUACUGUUUAGGGUUAGGGUCGUCGAGGAAAUAAAUUAAGGAAAGAAGAAAAGAGGAAGAAAAGAGGAAGAAGGAAGAAGAAGAAAAAUAAGAAGAGGACGAAGAAGAAGAAAAAAAGAGGAAAAGGAGAAGGAAUAGAGGAGAAGAAAAAAAUAGAUCUAUUUUUUUCUUCUCCUCUAUUCCUUCUCCUUCUCCUUUUUUUUCUUCUUCUCCUCUUUUUUUUCUUCUUCUUCCUCUUCUUAUUUUUUAUCGGGUAUGUCAUUGUCGAUAUACCCCCUCCCCGAUAACUUUGACGUGAGGGGGGGGGGGCGAUAAUUAAUAGAACUAGUUAAACAACUUUAUUUUUAGUAAGUACUACUUUAUUUUAUUUAUAGUAAGUGCUUAGUAGUUGAACUAGUUGAUUUAAUAAAACUACUUCAUUUUACUAUAGAAGUGUUUAUUUUUAGCAAGUUCUACUUUAUUUCAUUUAUAGUAAGUGCUUAGUAGUUGAACUAGUUGAUUUAAUAAAACUACUUUAUUUUACUAUAUAUAGAAGUAGUUUAUUUUUAGUAAGUACUACUUUAUUUUAUUUAUAGUAAGUGCUUAAUUAGUAGUUGAACUAGUUGAUUUAAUAAAACUACUUUAUUUUACUAUAGCAGUAGUUUAUUUUUAGCAAGAAAAUUAAUAGAACUAGUUUAUUUUUUAGUUCAAGCAAUUAUUCCCGCAUCGACGUCGAGGAUGCCGAUCCCACAUCCUCGUCAUCGACUCAACGGAGGAGGCCGGCUUGAUCAGAGGGGCCACGUCCGGGACUAGGCUCCGCCGGGCUGGUAUUGGGAGGUGCUACCUUUCGAGGGACGUAGGUUGGUGAGGAGCCAGCCCGUCGUUGACCCGAUUGUCGGUGUCAAAACCGGCGGAUCUCGGGUAGUGGGUCCCGAACUGUGCGUCUAGGCCGGAUGGUAACAUGAGGCAGGGAACACGAUGUUUUACCCAGGUUCGGGCCCUCUUGAUGGAGGUAAAACCCUACCUCCUGCUUGAUUAAUAUUGAUGAUAUAGGUAGUACAAGAGUAGAUCUACCACGAGAUCAAGGAGGCUAAACCCUAGAAGCUAGCCUAUGGUAUGAUUGUUGUAUAUGGAGUUGAUUGCCUACGGACUACAACCCUCCGGUUUAUAUAGACACCGGAUAGGGUUAGGGUUACAUAGAGUCGGUUACAAUGGUAGGAGAUCUUGAAUAUCCGCAUCGCCAAACUUUCCUUCCACGCCAAGGAAAGUCCCAUCCAGACACGGGACCGAGUCUUCAAUCUUGUAUCUUCAUAGUCCUGAGUCCGGCUGAAGGUAUAGUCCGGCUACCCGAACACCCCCUAAUCUAGGACUCCCUCAGUAGCCCCCGAACCAGGCUUCAAUGACAACGAGUCCGGCGCGCAGAUUGUUCGGCAUUGCAAGGCGGGUUCUUCUCCAAAUCUUGUGUACCUGUAGGAAUAAUGUCCGAUUUUUGUAAUGUAGUGCUCCUCGGCUUCCACGCCCAAUAAUGGCCGUCUUCCACGUGUCAAACGAAUGUGAAAUGCCGAGGCAUUUUUACAUCCACACCCCUAGCCAUAUAAACGAGCCGCCUAUUUAACGGGAUGGGGAUUUAGGUCCAAACCACAUCUUCUCCUUUCCGCGAGUUAUCAUCAGAGCGCUUCCAGCAAAGGUCCAUUCCAACAUGACCAGCCAUCGCAGCUCCUCCCCUCGCCCCUCCGGUCCCAAACCCGGGGACUGGGGGAGUUGCACCAUCCCGCAUAGAGAGUUAGUGUCGCUUCAGGCCAAGGGAUUUCUCCCUCGGGCAUACAUGGUCCCGGUCCGAGCCGGUCUCGCCACCUACAAUGGCGGAAAACAAGCGGAGAUCACCCCCAAUCCUUCUAAAGGAGAGCGGGUGUGCCUCGUCCCCUAUCUAAUAAGGGUACUGGGGUUUCCAAUUCAUCCAUUUCUCCGCGGGCUUCUGGAGUUCUAUGGCCUCCAGCUGCACAAUCUCACUCCCGCCUCCGUAUUGCAUAUUGCGGGUUUCGUCGCCCUUUGCGGGCUAUUUUUAGGCGUUGAGGCUCACUUCGCGCUGUGGAAGAGGUUAUUCUGCCUGGUGCCUCGUUCUCAAGAGGGGUCUAUAUACCAAGUGGGCGGAGCCGAAGUAUGGCGCAUCGCCGGGACCAGAUACCUAUCCGGAACCCCAAAGAAGGCGUCCGAGGACUGGCCUUCGGAAUGGUUUUACAUAGAUGAUGUCCCGCUACCGGACCCUAUCCGGGUCGGUCUCCCUGAGUUCAAUAGUGCUCCAUUGAAGAAACGCUUGAGCUGGCGUCCGUGGAGCUCUCAGAGAGAAAGUGACAGAGACGUCCUUUACCUGAUGGGCCGGAUAAGACUGUUGGCUCAUUCCGGACUAACCAUGAUUGGAGUCAUGGCGGCAUGCAUUAUGCGGGGGGUGCAGAGUCUUCAAUAUAGAGGCCACCCCAUGUGGGAUUUCAACGGGGAGGAUGACGCCACACGUUACGGUCGUAAGGGGCCGGCCUCAACCGCCGCCUUAGUAAAGAUCUUAUCCUCUUUGUACAAGGGAGAAAAGGAGGAAUUCCUCCACGUCAACCCGCGGGCCGGAUUCAGUAUGUACGAUCCUCCAAGUUGGGUAAGUGAACAAUUGUGCUUGCCCGUUUGUUUUAUACUCCCAUGGUUAGAUAGGUAGUCUGGUGACUUCAAUGCAGGAACUGCGACAGGAGGUAAAGGAUAUAAAUAGCCGCCCUCCACAGCCCAAGGACCCAGAACGGUCCCUCAAUCCGGACUCCGAAGAGGAUCCAGACAUAUCGGUGGAGCUUAUCGAUGGGGUGUUCCAUCAGCUAAGCAAGGACAAUACCUUGGUAGCCAUUACGGCGGAUUACCCAGGGUUAAUCCUGGCCUCUCAGGUGAUAGAAACCGGGGUCUUAUUCCCUUGAAAGGGAUUCCACCCUUACGUAGCCCGGUGUUUCUGACGACAACCGUGUUUUGCAGGGGAGAUUUCCGAGGCAGGAGGCCGAACCUGCGGCGGCUAGCCAACAAGGGGCCGCAGGGCCCCAUGGGGUAAAAAGGAAUGUAGUCCGAACUGAGAUGCCGGCGCAAAGGUAUAGUGCACCCUCUGUUUCCCUGGAGUUAUUCUGUUAGGGCAUAUUAACAUUCGUGCUACCUUCAGAACGAAGAGACCUCGCCGGACUACAUCCAGAGAGGUUGCCAAUCGCGCCUCCACCAGCCAGGCUCCAACGUCUGGCCAGGAAGCGGAGGCGAGCACAAGGCGCGCACCGGACGCUCCUCCGACAGAGGAUGCGGGCAGGCUGUCUGCCACAAAUUCUGAAGUGGAGAGUGCCAUGAACCACAGGCAUCGCCGGAUAAUUCUACGCGACGCUUGUUUCUCCCAAGAGGCUUUAGAUGCCUUGAAUUCAGGAGAUGCGUACCUCCGUGCCGCUCAAAAUGGUUUAGCCAGAGCCACGGAGCAGUAUGUAAAAGACACACGGGUAAGAAAAUUUUGGUUAAAUAUAUAUAUGCCUGUAGCCCCCGAGACUUCAAGCAGUUAGACCAAUUUAUUUAAGGAUCAUUUAAUAUGCAGCUUCUUACAGAGAAGAAUACCGUACUGUCCCAGGAGCUGGAAAAGUGCAAGGCCCAUCUAGAGGCCGCACUAGCUGCAGCAGGGGAGCCCAAAGAGACCCCCUCAGGUAAGAUACACUUCGAAAGAUUAGUAUUGUGCGGUGUGGGUGCAAAUCUGACAAAUCAUAUUGCAGAUGGCGCCGGACUCGAUCUGGACAAGCAACAACUCUUACGCCGGCUAAAGGCCGUUGAGAGUACGUUGACAAAGGUGAGGCGAGAGAAGAAUGAUCUUCAGGACAACAACACCAAGCUGGACAUCGAACUUAAAGAUGUUCGUGGCUAGCUGUCGGACUCCACGAAGGAGAAUCAGCGGCUUUGACAUGACAUUUUUAGUAAGUGCUUGAACGAACUUUGAAAAAAGAGUUCAGCGAGGAAGUCGACUAACAGAGUAAUGUCUGUAGGUAUGCUCACAGGUCGUCCUGUAGAGGAGAUGCCCGGUUCUACGGGUGACCUUCUUCUCGAACUCCUGCAACUGCACGAGCGAAUUCGGUAGGCGAUGCGGGGUAUUGCCCAAGCCUUAUGGCCUGCCCACUCCGUGCCCGAGGGCCUUGGAGAGCUUGCGGAGAAGCUGAAGGGAGCUCGGCGGCGCUUCCGGUUGUGGAAGAUAUCAGCCUACCGACAAGGCGCUAGGGAGGCCUGGGCCAUGGUGAAGACCCGUUUUACGAAGUCUGACCCAAACCACAUGGCCGAGGUCGGACCAGUGGGGCCUGAUGGGAAGGAGAUCCCUGUAAGCUUAGUAUACGGCCAAGUAGAGUUGGCCGCAAAGUAUUCCCAGCAGGACUGUAAAUUAGACAGCCUAUUUGAUGGUAUAGAAGAGGAAUACAAUCAGUCAGGAUGACUGUGUAAUUUUGAAUUGACAUGUGUAAUGCCUUCUAGCCGGAUUGUAGAUCGUUUGUCGUUACCGACCUUUUGGCUUCAACCUCGGGACCUGACCGUCCGGAGUAUGUCCGAAUACCCUAGCAGUUAUAUGAAAACCGGGGUAUGCAUGGAGACCAGGCGUAGGGGUCAUCAGUGCUUUAUCAGACAAGUGCCCAACUAGUUAUGUUAUAUUACAUGGUUAGUAAGAAACAUCUUCCAGAGAGAAUAGUUCCAUUAAGGGUUCCUUUCGCUGGGAGGCAUGCCCUAAGGUGCAUGUCCGGACUGCGUGAAGAGACGCAGAAAAAAAGCAUCUGGGGGCGCAUAAAAUGAGUAAAAAGAUCAUCUUUUAUUUCACCGACAGAAUAUUCCCUUAAGAAUGCUAGCUUUCGGCUUCACCCAGUCUGAGGUACACAUCCGGCUGACCCGGCAGUAACAAUCGCAGAGGUGCUCCCUUUACCGCCUAGCCGAACAAUCGGGAACGUAGGGGUAAGCACAGGAGCCAGGCAACCCAGCUUGUCCAAAACUUAAGUCAUAUCGAUGCAUAUAAUGGUGAAUAAAAAAGGUACAUGCGGAAGUUUGACGCAUGUGUUGGGCGUCAAGCCCGUAUAAAUAAGCUUCUGUUAAAGAAGCCCCCAGGUUUAAUGAGCGCGAGUGGCGCGUCACUAGAUGAGCCUUUAAGGGCUAUGAAAGAAAAAAAAAUGGGAAGGAGAGAAAUGUAGGAUAGAAAAAUACAAAAAAGGGAUGGACAGAGGAAGGAUACGAACACAGAGUCCGGCGCUAGGCAUAGAAUCUUCGGAGACGGGUGGCGUUCCAUGGGUUCGGCUCGAGUCGGUUGUUCGACGCAUCUCGCAGGCGGUACACCCCACCAGUCAGGACUUGGUCGAUUAUGAAUGAACCUUCCCACUUGGGCUUGAGUUUUUGUCCUUUUUCUUAUCCGGCAGGCGUAGAACUAGUUCGCCAACAUUGUAAUUUUUGGCCCGUACUUCUCUGCUUUGGCAUCUUCGGGCCUGCUAUUGAUAAAAUGCGGAACGGGCUUUUGCCACAUCGCGCUCCUCCUCCAAGGCGUCCAAGUUGUCCUGCCGAUCGAGCUCGGCUUCUCUUUCUUCGUACAUGCGCACUCUAGGUGAGUCAUGAAUUAUGUCGCAGGGCAGAACUGCUUCUGCGCCGUACACCAUAAAAAAUGGUGUGUAUCCGGUGGUGCGAUUUGGCGUGGUCUGCAGCCCCCAUAGCACGGAGUCGAGCUACUCUACCCAGUGUGUGUUAGAUUCCUUAAGGGACCGCACCAGUCUAGGUUUAAUGCCGCUCAUGAUAAGACCAUUUGCAUGUUCGACCUGGCCGUUGGUUUGUGGGUGAUAGACGGAAGCAUAAUCGAGCUUGAUGCCCAUGUUUUUGCACCAGAGUUUUACCUCGUCGGCGGUAAAGUUUGUAUCGUUGUCGGUUAUGAUGCUGUGGGGGACGCCAUAAUGGUGUACAACCCCGGAUAUGAAGUCUAUCACAGGUCCAGAUUCGUCCGUUUUAAUAGGCUUGGCUUCUAUCCAUUUGGUGAACUUAUCCACCAUGACCAGUAAGUAUUUUUUCCUAUGGGUUCCACCUUUAAGGGGUCCGACCAUGUCAAGCCCCCAGACUGCAAAAGGCCAGGUGAUGGGUAUAGUUUGGAGUGCGGUGGGUGGCAUAUGGCUUUGGUUGGCAAAAAGUUGGCAACCAGGGCAUCGUUGGACUAGGUCCUGAGCGUUUGCUCGGGCCGUCGGCCAGUAAAAGCUUGUACGGAAAGCCUUGCUAACAAGGGACCGAGCAGCGGCGUGGUGACCACCGAGUCCGGCAUGAAUUUAAGCCAGGAGGUUCCGCCCUUCCUCUUCGGAGAUGCACCUUUGAAGGACUCCGGUAGUGCUUUUCUUAUAAAGUUCUCCCUCAUGGACUCUGUAGGCCUUAGAUCGCCGCACUAUGCAGCGGGCCUCGUUUUGGUCCUCCGGGAGUUCCUGCCUAGUAAGGUAGUCUAGGAAUGGUUCUGUCCACGGGGCGGUAACCGCCAUUAUUACGUGGGAUGAAGGUGUAAUUUCGUUGGCAGAGCCUCCGAUUGUGUCAGAUUGUUCGGCGUCGAGUGGUGCGGCUGGGUUCGGGCUGUCAUUUGCGGGUUCCCCCUCCAAUGUUACGGAUGGCUUGAACAACCUUNNNNNNNNNNNNNNNNNNNNNNNNNNNNNNNNNNNNNNNNNNNNNNNNNNNNNNNNNNNNNNNNNNNNNNNNNNNNNNNNNNNNNNNNNNNNNNNNNNNNNNNNNNNNNNNNNNNNNNNNNNNNNNNNNNNNNNNNNNNNNNNNNNNNNNNNNNNNNNNNNNNNNNNNNNNNNNNNNNNNNNNNNNNNNNNNNNNNNNNNNNNNNNNNNNNNNNNNNNNNNNNNNNNNNNNNNNNNNNNNNNNNNNNNNNNNNNNNNNNNNNNNNNNNNNNNNNNNNNNNNNNNNNNNNNNNNNNNNNNNNNNNNNNNNNNNNNNNNNNNNNNNNNNNNNNNNGGGGGGGGGGGGACUGCAUCGGGUUUUGCUCCGAUGCGUGCAAGGACGUCCGCCGCUUGAUUGUUUUCUCGGGCUAUAUGGUGGAACUCCAGCCCUUCGAACCAAGCUGACAUUUUUAGGACGGCGUCGCGGUAAGCUGCCAUUUUUGGGUCCUUGGCGUCGAAGUCUCCAUUUAUUUGGGAUAUCUCAAGGUUUGAAUCCCCGCGUACCUCUAGGCGUUGGAUACCCAUGGAUACUACUAUCUGGAGGCCAUGUAGGAGGGCCUCAUAUUCGGCUGCAUUGUUGGAAUCUGUGUACAUGAUCUGGAGCACAUAUUGGACUGUGUCUCCUGUGGGGGACGUUAGGACGACGCCGGCCCCCAGUCCGGCCAACAUUUUGGAGCCGUCGAAAUGCAUAAUCCAGUUCGAAUAUGUGCCGUACUCUUUAGGGAGCUCGGCCUCCGUCCAUUCUGCGACGAAGUCGGCCAAAACUUGCGAUUUACUAGCUCACCGUGGCUUAUAGGUUAUAUCGAACGGGAGAAGCUCGAUGGCCCAUUUUGCAAUCCGGCCCGAUGCAUCGCGGUUGUUGAUAAUAUCGUUUAGUGGCACUUCCGAGGCUACUAUUAUGGAACACUCUUGAAAGUAGUGUCGUAGCUUCUGGGACGCCAUGAAUACCGUGUAUGCAAUCUUUUGAUAAUGCGGGUAUCGUGAUUUGCAUGGAGUGAGGACAGUGGACACGUUGUAGACCGGCCUUUGAAGGGGGAAUUUGUGUCCAUCCGUUUCCCGCUCGACAACGAGCACUGCGCUGACAACUUGGUGUGUUGCUGCAAUGUACAAUAACAUUGGUUCGCCAGUGAUUGGCGCGGCUAGGACUGGGUUUGUUGCCAAUAUGGCUUUUAUUUCAUCAAGUCCGGCCGUGGUGGCAUCCGUCCACUCGAAGUGUUCGGUGCGCCGAAGGAGGCGAUAAAGGGGUAGUGCAUUUUCUCCCAAGCGGGAGAUGAAGCGGCUUAAAGCCGCCAAGCAUCCGGUUAAUUUUUGUAUUUGUUUAAGGUCCUUUGGGACAUCCAAUUGUGACAAAGCUCGGAUCUUGGCUGGGUUUGCUUCAAUUCCUCUACCGGAUACAAUGAAGCCCAAGAGCUUUCCGGCUGGAACGCCGAAGACGCAUUUUUCUGGGUUCAGCUUGAUGUCAUAUUUUCGGAGGUUAUUGAAUGUAAGCCUCAAGUCAUUUACUAGGGAUUCGACAUGUCUUGAUUUGACGACAUCAUCAUCCACAUACGCCUCCAUUGUUUUGCCGAUCUGGUUUGCCAGACAUGUCUGGAUCAUGCGCUGAUAUGUUGCGCCGGCGUUUUUCAGCCCGAAGGGCAUUGUGUUGAAGCAGAAUGGGUCGUAUGGUGUGAUGAAUGCUGUUGCAGCUUGGUCUGAUUCUGCCAUCUUGAUUUGAUGGUAACCAGAGUAUGCGUCGAGGAAACACAACAAAUCGUGUCCUGCGGUGGCAUCGAUAAUUUGAUCGAUACGGGGGAGGGGGAAGGGAUCCUUUGGGCAAGCCUUGUUAAGGUCUUUAAAAUCGACACAUAGGCGCCAGGAUUUGUCCUUCUUUGGUACCAUCACCAGGUUUGCUAGCCAGUCCGGAUGUUUUAUGUCUCUGAUGAAUCCGGCCUCUAAUAGCUUGGCUAGCUCCUCUCCCAUAGCCUGUCUCUUGGGUUCAGAAAAACGCCAAAGGGCUUGUUUCACAGGUUGAAAUCCUUUUAGGAUAUUUAAGCUAUGUUCGGCCAGCCUGCGUGGGAUCCCUGGCAUGUCUGAAGGGUGCCAGGCGAAGAUGUCCCAGUUCUCUCGUAGGAACUCUCGCAGUGCGGCAUCUGCAUCAGGGGUCAGUCGUGUCCCGAUGGAAGCUGUUUUAUUGGGGAUGGACCUAGAAUUUGACUAUUUCGUCAGCUGGCUUGAAGGACGUGGAUUUGGAUCUCUUAUCGAGUAUCACAUCACCCUGUUAACCGUGGAGCGCAGCGCAGUUAGUUCCUCGGCCGCUAAGGCUUCGGAUAGCGCCUCAAGGGCUAAUGCUCCCGUGUUGUUUUCGGCGCGGAGUGCUAUGUCCGGAUCACUAGCUAGAGUGAUAAUUCCAUUGGGCCCGGGCAUCUUAAGCUUCAUGUACCCGUAAUGGGGUAUUGCUUGGAAGAUUGUGAAUGCUUCCCGCCCUAGUAAAGCGUGAUAUCCGCUCUUAAACGGGGCCACCUGAAACGUGACUUCUUCGGACCUGUAAUUAUCCGGUGUGCCGAACACCACAUCUAGUGUGAUUUUUCCUGUGCAGCGCGCUUCCCGACUGGGGAUUAUUCCUCUAAAGGUUGUGCUGCUUCGCUCGACGCGGUUCCAGUCUAUUUCCAUUUUUUGAAGGGUUUCCUCAUAAAUGAGGUUCAGUCCGCUGCCUCCAUCCAUGAGCACCUUGGUGAGGCGAAAGCCGUCCACUAUGGGACUGAGGACCAAUGCGGCUGGUGAUCGGGCUGUUCGGAAUCUAGGUUCAUCACUUGCGUUGAAGGUAAUGGCGGUGUCGCUCCAUGGAUUUAUUGUUGCAACUUGAUAGACUUCGGCGAGGCUGCGGAGUGUUCUUUUUCGCACAUUGUUUGGUGCGAAAGUCUCGAAGACUGUGAGAACGGUACUGGUGUCCUUGGGAUGGCUUUCUGCGGCCUCCGAAUUAAGAGGUCCUCGCCGAUUUUGGCCACCUGCCGGAGUAUCCAACAUGCUCUAAGGCUGUGAGUUGGUGUGGCGUCCUCUGUACUGUGAAUUCUACAGGGUCCAUCAAGCCAUCUUUCCAGUACGGUUCCAUGCCCUGUAGACGGUUUUGGUUUUUGGUGUUUAUCCCGAGUGUCCUGUGAUAAUGCACCCUCUUAGUUCGGACGGGAUUACUAUUCAAGGCCGGAUUAUCCCAAAAAUUUAUUUUGGUUUUCCAGGCGCUUUCCAUCGCACAGUAUUUUUGUACUAUGGACGCCAAGUCAGCGAAGCGUGUGAUAUCACGACGACUUAUGGCGUUAAGGAUUCCCUUGUCCGUGCAAUUACUUUAGAAAAUUGAGAUUGCGUCUUCCUCACGGCAAUCAUUUAUCCUAUUCAUAACCAGGAGGAAUCUGGCCCAGUAAUGAUGUACUGUUUCCUCAGGCCUCUGCCUGAUUUGGGAGAGAUCACUUAUGAUCGGGUGGGCGGGUGUCGUUGAAUCUGAAACCUCACCCAAUCCAAGAUUCGGAGGCCGAAGAGUUUCCGAACUCUGAUGUUCGGAUUCUUGGAUGUUGUCCAGUGAAUCUGGCCCGUUGCCUGAUCCUAAGCUCAGGUCUUGAGUUACAUCUCCCCCUCCGCGGGUAUCCGGCUUGGAGGGGUCGGGAAUUCGGACAUAGCUAGUCGUUAAAAUAGAUGAAGGGUCGCCGCACUGCGUCUCUACCACGGCAACGUGGUGGGUGACUUGGGGAGAGUUAAUUUCUCUUAGAUCGGGUUUAAGCCCAACCUGGUCGUAAUCCAUAGCGACCCCCAGGGCGGCGAUGCGAUCCAAGAGCUUGUUUACGGAAGAGAGCUCCAUUGGAUCUAGCUGCUCGACGAGCUCCGAGCUGAUGUGUAGGUUGCUUUUGAUGACCCGAGAGGUCACCGUCGGCGCAACAGCCGAACAGGCGGUCAUGAGGAAACCACCUAGCCGGAGGGUUUGGCCGACAGCCAAGGCUCCCUUAGCAACGGCGUCGUCUUUAAAGAUGGGAGGAGGCAUCCUUCCUGAUUGUGACGGCACAGAGGAACUCUCAAUGAAAGCACCAAUGUCGGUGUCAAAACCGACGGAUCUCGGGUAGUGGGUCCCGAACUGUGUGUCUAGGCCGGAUGGUGACAGGAGGCAGGGAACACGAUGUUUUACCCAGGUUCGGGCCCUCUUGAUGGAGGUAAAACCCUACGUCCUGCUUGAUUAAUAUUGAUGAUAUAGGUAGUACAAGAGUAGAUCUACCACGAGAUCAAGGAGGCAAAACCCUAGAAGCUAGCCUAUGGUAUGAUUGUUGUAUAUGGAGUUGAUUGCCUAGGGACAACAACCCUCCGGUUUAUAUAGACACCGGAUAGGGUUAGGGUUACAUAGAGUCGAUUACAAUGGUAGGAGAUCUUGAAUAUCCGCAUCGCCAAACUUGCCUUCCACGCCAAGGAAAGUCCCAUCCGGACACGGGACGAAGUCUUCAAUCUUGUAUCUUCAUAGUCCUGGAGUCCGGCUGAAGGUAUAGUCCGGCUACCCGAACACCCCCUAAUCCAGGACUCCCUCACCGAUCCUUGUUUGGUGGCGGUCGCGUGGGCCAGUGAUGGUGCCUAGUCUUUCGGACACUGCGGAGGUGGUACUUCACCGUGUCAGCAAGGAGGACGAGCACGUCCGUCGCUACAUGGUUGCGUAUAUAUAUAUAUAUAUAUAUAUAUAUAUAUAUAUAUAUAUAUAUAUAUAUAUAUAUAUAUGAGAAGACGAAGAAUCCCGACUGUUGUCGUGGGGGUCGCUUCUCCUUCGUUCCCGUGUGCUAGUCAUUUUGGUGUAAUGCACUCGGGGACAAAUGGAGGAGCAACCAUCACCAAUGGUCGAAUGUAUACACCACGUGAGCUGAGAAUUUUCAAGAAAAGACUCGACAAACGGAUAGUCAACCCGUGAUGAAUAAUAAUGAUCUAAUUUAGUUUUUGUAGUACAUAUAUUUAAUUGUACAAGUUUAAUCUUUGAAUUAUGAACGUAGGAAAUGUCGUCAUCGGACGACGAAAGUCUCCCGGAGGAGUGCGGCUGGUGCCACGACGAUCGAGGAUUGUGCGACAGGCCUCACCUGGACGAUGAUCGGCGCUUCAGCAUUAAGCUCGAGGAGACCUUCGUGUUGAAACGAUACGCAACGGCGACAAGUGUUUUUUCGUAAUUAAGCAUGACUUCAACUAUUUCAACAUGUAAUUUUCAUCUUUUACAAUUUGAGUAUAGCUUAUUCCAUGCCAUGCAAGACGCUAUGUCUUGGAGAGGAUGGAUUUUGAAGACCAUGAAAAUUUUGAAACGAAGAAAAUUCACCUAAGGACCCAUCACGAUGUGGAUUUUGAAGUAAAUCUAUAUAAUGCUGAGAGUGUAACCCAUUUUGGUUGAAAAAAUUGGGAAGCAUUUUGCAAGAUGUAUGGUUUUGACGAGGGUAUGCUUGUCACCAUGGAUCUUCGUGAUCCUGACAUCGACCAAGACAAUAUGAACAUUUGGGUACUUGUUGAUACGCCUCCAGUUCUACCGCUAUGUGAGUUUCUCAAACAUAGUUAAUUAUUAACUAAUUUAUAUUGUUUAUUUCAAAAUAGUUGACAACUUAUUUUGAUUGCUCAAACAAUGUGCGGAACAUGGUAGACAAACCCACUACACCAAUGGCUCCGAGUUAACUUAUCAGGAGAAAAAUCAUCUGGUCGGAUUUUGUACUGAUCUUGAGAAUUACAAUAUCUACAAUCAAACUCCUCAACAUUAUGGUCAAUAUGUGCCACUAGUGCACGUGUUGAACUACGGUAACUACCAUGGAGAUGCCCUGGUAAGAUUUUUUACUAUUACGACAUCCGUGCAUCUUUUGCGUACUUCUAAAACUAGUACAUCAUUGCUAACUAUUAAGUUAUUACUAUGUUUUUCAACAGAGAAUCGCAGAGGAUUGUGUUCCUCAUUUGAUGUAUUAGAAUGGCAGCCUUAGUGUUUUGAACAUAUAUCCAGGUCAUACUACGAAUCUCAACUGUCCAUACCGGAUUUCUAAAAGAAGUGGAGACAUGCUAAUCAGAUAAUGGAAAAAAUGUGGACAAUCGUAAGGAGGUUCUUGGAAGCAAAAGGAAGCACCACGCAAGAAUUGGAGACAGGAUCGAUGAUCUCCAUUCUCCAUAAUGGAGAGUCAGGGUCUAUAUUGUUUUAUGCUAUUUUACCUUAAAUAGGGUAUUUAGGUCCUGCAUAAUACUGAUGAUCAUGUGUGAAGAACAAUUAAGUAGGGUUGGUUCGAUGACUAUCAGGAUGAUGAUCGUAUGACUUGUUAUUAAUAACGAGUAGAAGUUGUAUGAUGAUGAUUAGUAGGACUUGUUACUAUGAUGAUGCAUGAUGCGAGCAUGAAGAGUUAUUAUAUAUCUGUGGGUGAAAUGAACAUGGAUUGGAUUGAAGUGAAGGCAACAUGCAUGUGGUGCAUGUCGAAAUUAGUACAAUCCAAACUUGAGAUUGUACUAAUUUCGACAUGCACCACAUGUUGCCUCACUUCAAUCUAAGUCAUGUUUAGGCAUAGCAGUUGCAGUAGCACGGAGAUAAGAGAGGACACAUCUCUCUAUUAGCUACCUAUAACAACCUAAAUUAACCCCCAAAACCCCUAAACCACCUCCUUUCCAAAAAAACAGCCCCUGAAAUGCUGACGCGUGGAAGCUUAUUGGUCACGGUUAGUGCUACCAACCGGGACCAAAGGCCCUCCUGCCUGGGCUCCCCGGAGCGGCCACGUGGAGGCCCAUCUGUCCCGGUUGGUAUAAGAACCGGGACUAAAGGCCUAUGGCAUUAGUAACGACCCUUUAGUCUCGGUUACCCAUCCGGGACAGAUGGGCCUUAUGAAACGGGACAAAUGGCCCUUUUUCUACUAGUGUAAAAUAAUAAAGUACCACCAGGCUGAUCUCUAAUUUUCACUCAGCUAACACAAACGCGGUUUACACUGUCCGUGUACUACUCUUGAUGUCCAUUUGGAGUAGGAUUUGUAAGUGAAUGUUUAUCUACCGUUGUACUCAAGUUAACUUGAAUUAGGUCAGAUGAAUCAGAUACUUCUUCCAAUUGCUUGAACGGAUCAACAAGGCAUGCAUACUAUACUGCCACUUUUGCCUCAGAAAUGAAACUUUUCUAUCUUUGAUCAUGUCUCUAAGAAAAAGUAUUAAGAGAAACCAACUAUGAGGAUAAACAAAUGACCAAACUUAGAAGUAUGUACUUGAGGUACACGUCAGCCAUGACAUUACCUUGUCUUUGAAGAACACAUCCAACUCAUCCUGCUAUCCGGCAACCUGUGGCCACCCCCAAGCCUGAAAUCCUCGACGCUCCAUCCAACCUCUGCAUGGCAGUAAAGUGAAACCAAGAUCUAUGUCAUGAUAAAGCUCUUCAAAAAAAUCAGUGCUCUUAACUAAUGCAUCUAAAAAAAUAAUCAUUUGGCUACAAAAAUAGUUGCAAGACUAUAUGAACAAUUCAGUCUCAAACCCUUCAAAAUGCGCUGGCCCUUCGCUCCGGCAGAACCUAUUUCAUAACAAAACAAUCAUGAAAUUCUGUCAGGUGAGUGUAGGAUAUUGUAAUUAACCAAAAGGAUUAAUAAACGAUAUUAUAUUGUUUCCGACUACCGAAUAACCAAGCAGACUAAAGGGAUGAAGAGGCAUACACAACAUCAGGUACAUCGACGGCUCCAGCUAGCGAUGCUUCUGUGGAGAGAUGUGGUCGCUGCUACCUCUACAACAACAGUGUUGUCGGACGAAUUGGUGAUGCAUUGUACAAGUUAUACUUCGGCUCGAACCUUCUCAAGACAGGUCAGAGGCAUCUAAGAAAUAUGAGAAAAUUAGGAAAAAAAAUAAGAUGGUGAUUUGGUUAAUUUGAAGGAACUGUAAUUUGCAGGGAAGGGCGACGACUUUGCAACUCGGUGCUCACCCUCACUAUCAGCCGUCAGGUAGAAACAAUUUGUGCGCGCACCGGGGGUCCUCUUAUUCCCAUUUCAUUUGCUCCCUGUGCCACAUCCGCAGCAUCCACAAGCUAUAGAUCUUUGGAGGAGCAGACCACUACUGCUUCUAUGCUGAAGGUAUUGCAAUAGGUAAAACGGCAUCCUGAACCAAAUUUUAUAAAGAAAAGUAACCUACAGCAGAAGUAGGUAUUUACUCUAUGCAAAAAAAGAUACUACGAUACAAUACAUGAUAAUGCCUAGUCGAACUGAUGUAUUUGUUAGCUACAAAAGGUAGUAGGACAGUACUAAAAGGACCUACUAUUCAAUUCAAGUCUCUAGAGAACAAAAUCACAUUGCUCCUAUUUUCUUAAAAUGAUAAACCAGUACUAAAGAGCUGAUAUUCCAAAUCCGAGUGCUCACAAAUUAAAUGAGAAUCCUAAGCAAAGACAAAUCAUGAAAAUAAAUUAUGUCUGGAAAGGAUGUUUUCGGGAGUUAAUUGAUCAUUAUAUGGGUGCAGACCAAACAAAUAUAGUAUAUUCAGCAAAGACAAAAUUAUAUAGAGAAACAACGUUAAUUGAUCACUAUAUGGUUGCAAAUUAUACAGUAUAUAAAUCAUUUAUAUUUCCAUUGCUAACUCAAUAGAGAAAUGAGGUAAAUAUAGUAUAUUCAGCAAAGACAAACUAUAUGGGUGCAGUCAAAAAAAUGUAUGCGUUAGUCUACUCAUUAAUGAUUAAAAUACUACUAUACUCUAAAGGACAAUUUUUGUCCAAUGAAGAAACACUCUCCUGAUACUCAUCUGGCUGGCCGGACUCGGUAUCUCAGUGGUUCGUACCAUCAUUCUUCCUUUCUUUCUUCUCUACCUGUAGUGUUCCUUCAUAGCUGCACCCGGGCACAAAAUGAGCAUAGAGACACAGAAUGGAAAAUAGUUUUCUGUAAUGUGUGACGACCUAUUACUAAAACCGCAACCAAGUUAGCAAUUAUACACAUACCACACCAAUAACAUCAAAUAAAAAGGUCGGCCUCAGCAUGUAGUUCAAAAUGGGUACUGAUAUUUAGAUACAACUGGUUGAAAAAAAAUUGCAUGGAGAUGGUUACUUUAAAUUUACGUCGGCAAAAAAUUCAACCUCUUCUGCUUUGGGCACUCAAUGCUUGCUUUAUUGCAAAAGAAUUCUUUAUUUCUUGCAUCAAUCUGUGUUGAAGUGAAACACUCGCUAAAGUAGAAGCCUAGUCUAGUCAUAAAGAUAAGGAACUACUUUAAAAUGAAUCAGAUUGUGCACAUUCAGUAACAAGAAUGAAUAUCUUCAUUAACAGUCAUAUUCAACAUACCCUUAAGUUGACUAAAAUAGACUUGUUGUAAUUUACAGAAAAGAAAUACGUGAGAUAAGUCACCUGCCUCAUCUAUCAUUUAGGAGAGGGUUAGUAUAUGAAGAAAUAGGCAACUACAUGAUAGAAAAUUACAUCUUUGAAAUUCUAUAGAGGUAGACAAAUGAAAAUAGACCAACAGAACACAUACGGCCUGAUUAACAUAAUCAGGGAGAACACAAAAAUACACUUAAGAGUCCUCGCUUCAGCAACGGCAAGCAACAACCACAUAUAUCCAUCACAUGUAAAGGGGAGACGGAAACUACCUUAUUUGAGGACUAAAUUAUCAGACUGGUGUAGCUACGAUACAUGCCACAACUAAACAAAUCAACAUGAAUUUCGUCUGUGCAGAUCUCAUAGGGCAGUAAUCAACUGGAGAAAAACCAAGAACAAAAGGAAACAAGGAGACGGUCCUACAGAUUAUGCCAUAUACAAAUAUACAUCAUUGCAGUGCUUGCCUCAAAGCUCCUUCAUUGGGAAAUCAAUGGCCUAACGGAAGCUCGUCCACCCCGACAUAAAGCACUCAUCUAUAAACCUGAUUUCUACGUUGUCGGUUGACCACUUCACAUCAACAGAAGUUCUAAGUACAUGCCACAAUGGCUUCACAGAAAUGCUUGCAAAAUAUAAUCAAAAGUAGUGACCACAAUCGCAUUGUGUAAUUGCUCCUUGUCAAAGCACCCAAGAAUGCAACCAACAAGGUUCGAUAGCAAAAUAAAUGAGGAGAGACAUACCUCAACCUUGUAGGACAGACCCAUAGGAUAAACUGAUCCUAAGCUUGACUCCAAUCCUUCAAUAACAACUUUUUGGCAAUCAUCUAAAAUCUAUUUGGGCCAACUCAUCAACAAAAAAACGUUCUCCUUCUCAAAAGACUCAAGAGUGCAAGGAAUAAGGUCAUGCAGGAAAAAACACACUAGUAGAAAAACGGCAUAAUGUGAAGCACAUUAGUACCGGUUUGUAACAAAACCGGCACUAAUGUGUCCAUUAGUGCCGGUUCAAAACGGCUAGGCGGCCAGAGCUAAUUAUUACCAAUUCGUUGCGAACCUUUAGUACCGGUUCGUUGCAUGAACCGGUACUAAAGAGGAUGUGGCACACCGUGCUCCGGCUGGGGUCCCACCAGCGCCUUUAGUACUGGUUUGUACAACAAACCUGUACUAGAGGUUUGGAGUUGCAGCUGUUUUUUAGUCUCACCUCGCUCGGCUAACAGGGUUUUUACCAUCUUAAAUAUGUUACUUCUCAAACUAUCACAAGCCCUUGGUCUUCAUUGAACUCUAUGUGUAGAAUUUGUGGCCGCAAUAUGAGUCUUCACCGGUUUCUAAACCGUUGAGGACUCAUAUUGACAAUUCAGAUUGUACACAAAAAGAUCAAUGAUGAUCAAUGUAUUUUUUAUGUAUAUUUUUACAUGUUUACACCCUCACUCUGUCCUAUCAAACUCCGGACUUUUUUGCGUUCAGCAGGCACCAUUCAAAGCCACGUCAUCAAUUUUCAACCCUUUCUGACAUAAUUUGCUAUUUUUAAUGCAUUUACUGAUUUGUUUUGAGCUAAAUGGCCCUGAAAUUGAAAAGCACUACAAAUGAACUCAGAAAAGGUUGAAACUUGGCAUGGUAUCAUCAUUUCGCCCGCAUAGCAUGUGCAAAAAAGUAGAGAGGGUCACGGCAAAAACAGGAUGCACUUCGUGUACAAAUUGCACAAUCUCUUUCAAAGUAUCAGGGUUUCGGACGAAAACUCAUCUGUUACACCGGCAAUUCAAAAUUUUAGUAACUUAUUACAACUGCAGAAAAGAAAAAAAACUAUAUAAAAAAAUUACUCAGAAUAAAUAGAAGAAAAUAAAUAAAGCAGAAAAGAAAAAAACUAUCUAAAAAAAUUACUCAGAAANNNNNNNNNNNNNNNNNNNNNNNNNNNNNNNNNNNNNNNNNNNNNNNNNNNNNNNNNNNNNNNNNNNNNNNNNNNNNNNNNNNNNNNNNNNNNNNNNNNNNNNNNNNNNNNNNNNNNNNNNNNNNNNNNNNNNNNNNNNNNNNNNNNNNNNNNNNNNNNNNNNNNNNNNNNNNNNNNNNNNNNNNNNNNNNNNNNNNNNNNNNNNNNNNNNNNNNNNNNNNNNNNNNNNNNNNNNNNNNNNNNNNNNNNNNNNNNNNNNNNNNNNNNNNNNNNNNNNNNNNNNNNNNNNNNNNNNNNNNNNNNNNNNNNNNNNNNNNNNNNNNNNNNNNNNNNNNNNNNNNNNNNNNNNNNNNNNNNNNNNNNNNNNNNNNNNNNNNNNNNNNNNNNNNNNNNNNNNNNNNNNNNNNNNNNNNNNNNNNNNNNNNNNNNNNNNNNNNNNNNNNNNNNNNNNNNNNNNNNNNNNNNNNNNNNNNNNNNNNNNNNNNNNNNNNNNNNNNNNNNNNNNNNNNNNNNNNNNNNNNNNNNNNNNNNNNNNNNNNNNNNNNNNNNNNNNNNNNNNNNNNNNNNNNNNNNNNNNNNNNNNNNNNNNNNNNNNNNNNNNNNNNNNNNNNNNNNNNNNNNNNNNNNNNNNNNNNNNNNNNNNNNNNNNNNNNNNNNNNNNNNNNNNNNNNNNNNNNNNNNNNNNNNNNNNNNNNNNNNNNNNNNNNNNNNGGUCGUCGCUCCACCUGGUACUAAAGGUAGGGUCUUUAGUACCGGUUGGAGCCACCAACCAGUAUUAAAGGUCACCACCCGGUACUAAAGGGCUACCCUUCCCGCCGCUUGGCCUGGCCAAAAUUGACCUUUAGUACCGGUUGGUGGCUCCAACCGGUACUAAAGGCCCAUCCUAAAUAAGUGGCACUUACAAAUUUCGUCAGUUUUUAUCUGCUUCUUCUCCUCUGCCCCGUCGCCCGCCGCCCCCAUCGCCACCCCUUGUCGACGCCCCCGUCGCCGCCCCGUCCCCGUCCCCGUUGCCCGCCACACUUCAAAAUGAAGAACAUAUCCAUGAAGGUGGCAGACGCCAUUGCUUAUACAAAUCCCCCCGAAGCAACCUUCCAUUGCAACCCGAUUCCAGCCGGCUAUGCUCGUGUCAUGGUUGAUGAGGUGGUGGACCAAUAUUCGAGGCUAGAGCUAGACAUUCCUGGGCAUCACCAGGAGCACACACUGGGAGAGGCCAUACAUCAUAUCAUCCUAUGGAGAAAGGAUUGCAUCAUCUUUCGAAGGCCACCGACACCGCGUCGUCAUCCGACUCCUCCUCGAUGUGAGGCCACUCCUCCUCCAAGUCCGGCAUAGCAGUAGGCCACUCCUCCUGCUUCAAGUCCGGCACAGCAUGAGGCCACUCCUCCUGCUUCAAGUCCGACGCCGCGUGAGGCCAAUCCUCAUGCUUCAAGUCCGGGACAUCGUUAGGCCCCUCCUCCUGCUCCAACUCAGCCACGUCAGCCGUCUCCGCCGCCUUAGCAAUCGGGGAAGAGAGAUGCCGCAGCUAUGAUGCGUAGCGCUACGAGUCGAGGUAGUACAGGAGGUAUAGGCGGAGUCAAGCAAUAUAAAUAUGGUCCAAGCCUCGCUCCUCUUCCUCAGAGGCCUUACGACAUGACCGAGGAGCAAAACGUAGCCAUAGUGAAGGCCCUAGUGGACGCCCAUUUUGGACCGAAACCGGCACCGCCGCCAAGGGAGAAAGUGCCAGAGGAAAAGAUUGCCACUUUAUUCGUAUGGCUAGACCACCAGCUCCCAAGCCUGUUGACUCAGACUAUGAGCGCCAAAUCAAGAAGGCACAUUGAGCACGAGUACAGAAGGAGUCGAGCUCAAGCUCGAGCCAAGCAGCUGGCAAAAAAUGCAGAAAACCGUUCCCCAGCUGGGAGAACAGGCGACACAAUCGAUACCCCCGCUUGUUAUGCCAACAACACAUAAGAGUAUCGGCGCCCUAUAUAUAUGUGGGCAAACCAUUAACGUUCCCCAGCUGGGCAAUCUGGUAAUAACCGAGGAGCAUAUAAUGCAGGCUGAAAUGAUCGGUAUGACUGUUGGACAACUCCUUGAGAUCGAGCACAUGUCUCCACUUAGAGAGGAGGAAAUAAAACGAAAAUAUGUCCGUGGUGAACCUUUGAUCAAGCCCGAGGAGGUCAAGAACCUCCCUAUGAGAAUGUAUGAAUUGCAUCAAUGGUACAUGAAAAUUUGCAAGACCCACAAUCUAUAGUUCCUCAUGGUGAAAGUCAAGGAAGAGGAUAAUUCCAUAUGCUAGCUCUGUCUAUUGAGUAUAUAGAACUGUUUCAGUUAUUCAAUUAUGACACACUCGACAAAUCUAUCGUCAGUUGCUAUUGUCUGUAAGUCAUUUAUUUCUGUAAUUUAAGUCUCAAGCUAGCUGUAGUGCUCUCGUUGAUCAUUACAUGUAAUUAUCCUUACUAUAUAUUCUUUUCUGUGGAAUUAUGCAGGAUGAAGAUGUCCGAAAUGAGAAAAGCUGGACGCUAUGGCAUUGGGUUCAUUGACCCAAAUACCAUUAAUGAAGAGACAUGGUCAUAUGAACAUUAUAAACAAGAAAUAGAGAAUAACAUGCUAGAGUUCUUGAAGCGCCUCAUUACCAAUGCAGAUAUACUACCACUACAAGAAAUAUGUCAACUUGUGACCUUGACUAUUGGUCAAUGAAAGGUCAUUGUUUUUCAUUUCCGACCUUUUUUAACCAAAAACAAAAGGUCAAAAGCUGGCGGUCAUAAACUGAAAUUAACGACCUUCUCUAUGAGAAGGUCGUGGACAUUUACGACCAAAAUAUGCCUAUUGUUUUGUUUUGUCACUAGCAGCCUCCCCAAGCCACGUAGGCAUCCGACGUGGCAAUCUGAUGUGGCAUAAGAUUCAGCCCGGUCCAAUUCAGUUUUCUACAUGAGCCUAGCCCAACAAUUCGGCUUUUUUAAUGUGUUUUUUUCCUGUGUUUUUAUUAGCUACAUGGGUCUGACCUAGUAAUUCAACCCAUGUAUUAUUUUUUAGGCAAGCCCUUUUAAUAUAUGUAUUUUAUGUUAAUUUCAGUAAGCUACAUGGGCCUGGCCUACAAUUUGGCCUUUUUAUUUUCUAGCACACAACAUUUUGCAAUCAAUUUAUUUUUUAUUUCCAACUUUUGUUCCCAGCUCCGGUUUACAGAUGGGUCCCAAAUGUCAGGUUUUUCAUGACUUAUUAAUAAGCAAUAUAUAUGUAUAUAUCAAACAGACAGAAGAGAGAAAGCAUAUGAAAAUCUUCAAAUAAUAGCUAAAAUAAGUUUAUUAUAAUAUGCUAUACAGAACAGAACACGUGAAACUACAUACACUCAUUCACAUCACAACAACCAGUUUUCAUACAAUCAUUCACAUCACAUCAACCAGUUUAACCAUCGAAUCUUGCAUACUCAGGAACUUCAAACUUCACCCAGAUCCACACAAUCAUAAAUAAUGGGAUCUACAAAUAGACCACUCUACCAGUACAAAAGCUAGCUGCUCUUCAACAUGGGUAGAAGUCCUCAACGGAGUUCCAUUCACCUACAAGAACAGAAUGGAAUAUCAAGUACUUGCAUUCUUCAAGAAGAUUACAACCAACAUAUAUAUGUACGGGGACAUCAGGAAAGCUGAUGGAGCAAAAUCAAACAACAGAUAAAUCAAGUAAACAGACCAUUUGGAAAAAAAUAUACUACCAGGCUUGAACAUGAGCAUAGAAAAGAAAAGAUGAUUUCAGUGAAAUUAAAACUGCCAAUGAAAGCUGAAUAACAGUUCAGCUGAUUAACUCCUAGUAUGGAGGAAUAUCACAAAAUUAAACAAGAUGGUCGUGCAAGUUUCUAUACAAGUAUUCGUGAUUACGGUUUGUUAUCAUCGUCUAAAUUCUCCAACAUGCACAAAAUUAAUUAAUAUAUCUGAAUGUGCUACCAAUGAAGCAAAUUCUAAAAGAUACACGGACAGGGCUUAAUUGGCUAACCAUGUCAUUCUAUAAACACACAGCAAACUCAAUGAUAACGUGUAUAGUUAUUACCAUAUAGUUUCUAUAUGAGUAUUCAUGAUUUCCUUUUGUCAUCGUCGUUUAAAUAGCUUGGCGAACAUUGACAGCAAAGAAACAAAAAAUUUAAGUCAAUACCUUUGUGAGCAUGUAGUAGAUUGUUCACAUCCUUAUGAAAUACAUGGCAAAGAAGCUUUACCAUGUAGACAAACACCCACUAACUCAGACGCUACAGGUGCUUGUUUCAUCAUGUUACAAAGGAGAAGCACAAACCACAACUUUACUCCACACACACACACACAUACACGCACACAGACCAGUAGAUCAACAGGAGGACAUAGAUUAGACCAAAUCCACAUAAACAAAUCCAUACACAUAGCAGGAUAACUGGAUAUUGGCCAAUUGGUUUGAUCAGGAGCAACAGUGCAUAUUUUCCCUAAACCUAAAAUUGCCAUAGUGCGUAAAUCAUGCCACUGGUCAGAGCACAACACCACAAUCACCAGUACAAGGCCACCAGAAGCACCACAGAGAGGGAUAGAGCUCACCUAGGUGGUUUGUAGCCAAGGAAGAAGCACAGCCGG
RNAcentral lists this long non-coding RNA (93847 nucleotides) under Triticum aestivum (bread wheat). Its description in RNAcentral is "long non-coding RNA (TAES_LNC024955)". The record is from RNAcentral. Lineage: Eukaryota; Viridiplantae; Streptophyta; Magnoliopsida; Poales; Poaceae.